This 114536-nucleotide long non-coding RNA is filed under the name Triticum aestivum (bread wheat). Its description in RNAcentral is "long non-coding RNA (TAES_LNC016872)". The stretch from base 39446 to 39560 matches the Rfam family "MIR1120/MIR1122 microRNA precursor family". The record is from RNAcentral. Lineage: Eukaryota; Viridiplantae; Streptophyta; Magnoliopsida; Poales; Poaceae.
CAUAUUUUCCAUAUGUGCCGCUAUAUGAAGAGCUAGAAUCGUUGCACAAGUGAUGUCUUAUUCAUGCUAUGGAGCAGCGGGCAUGGUAUGUCUGCUUGAAUUUGGUCCUCCUUUCUCUGAUGUAUGCAUGUUUUUAAGUUUGGAGCAAUGCUGGUUCGUUCUGGGGGCACUGCGGCUGAUUUCUCUCUCGGACUAGUUAUUCAAAGUUUCAAUGCACCUUCUGCUGUGUGUACUUGUUUUGUCUUGGUGUACCAAUGGUUCUGGACAACGCGAAAUUGUGAUACACUUUGGAUGAUUACAUUAUCACUUCUUUUGGUGCUAUGUUUGUCCUGGCUUUUAAAUAGGUUAUUUUAUGAGCAGAAAAUCACAGCCACAAUGAUGCUGUUGAUAGGAAAUGUCAUAAUGUUCAUCCUGCUGUUAGAUAACUUUUGACACAAUAUUGCUUCAGAAGACUAGAAAGACAUCCUCUUUAUUUAUGAGUUUUGUUCGCAUGGGUAGGUUUAAAAAGUUUAAAAUAAGCGACACCGGGCACUUACCAUGUUAGUCGUGCCUAUAAUGGUGCACAUACACUCCAGUCCAACACAAUUCUUCUGUGUUAAUAAGAGGUAAUUUGACUUACCACUGAAGGGUUUGCCCAGCGGGACUAUGUUCAACUCUUUCGGAUGAUUGAUGCUGAGAAGGUCAUUAUCGAAACUAAUUUCUUUAGCUGGUCAACCUAUGUACGGCUAGUUUUUCAAGCAGAGCUGCAAUCUUGUUCUUAUGCACAUUCAGGAGAGUAGGGUCUUUUUUUUUUGAUUUAGUUCAUGUAAAACAAAAAGCCAAUGUGGCAGCCCACAAAACCGCUAAAUAAUCUUUGGACCCUGUAUUCUGCAAGAUUGUAACCUUGCCAACUUAUCGACAUAAACUUGGUUCUAGAAAAUGAGGAAAUAAGAUUGCACGGGAUCGAAAGCUAAUUUCAGACAUUGUUCUGUUGAAAGUUAGAGCUAAUCAAAGCUACUGCUGUAAUAGGAUUGUAUCAGGUUGCUGCGCUAAUGAUAUGUGUUCCGUACUUUUUAAUUGUCAGCUAGCCCUGGUAAAGCAAUUGGUACGCUUAGAGAACUAAUGGUGAAACGUUACUUGCAAUACAAGUUCAUUCUGUUAUCAACAAAUAUAGUCCGUGGUUAUGAAUAGGCUGACAUUGAAGAAGAAAAAAAGCACAUAGAUGUACAUAGUUUCUCUGAUCCAAAUUCUGGGCAACAAACAAACAAUUUUAGAGCUAGAAACCCAACUGGUUUCAGUUCGAGAAAAGGACAUUGAAAUUACUAGAGAUAUUGUUGUAAAAUAUUGCAACCUCACCCUACUUUUGUAUGCAUGUUGUCAGUGGUGCUCAAACCAAAUAGGGGGCCUCUGCUGUUUUGUUAUGUUGCGUCUGGUCCAUGCUAAGGGGUAUUUUUUGAUAUAUUACUGUAUAUCUUUUCUCUGGAGUUUAUGAAUAAAUCAAAUAGCACACACGCCACCCGUAUCAACAUGGAUUACUGACCCAUGUCUUUGUUAAACUAAAUGAUACCCCGGACGUUGUUGCGGGAAUAUAUUGCAACAUAUCUCAAUGUGAUUCGUUGGAUGAAACAUGAACAUUUGAAGUAAUAAUAUAAAAGGUUAAAGCUAAAAAUACCUAUAAUUUAUUUGCUUGAGUACUAUAUAGUUGUAAAAUGUUUAUUAAACUAGACGAUUCUCCGCGUGUUCCUGCUGGAUUUCUAAAGGACAUCCUGAGAUAUUGUAGUAUUAUCUACGAAGAAAAUUAAAAUCCAGCACCAUAUGAAAAAUAUACAACAAUGACACAAUAGUUGAGAUACAUACAUACAUAUAUAUAUAUAUAUAUAUAUAUAUAUAUAUAUAUAUAUAUAUAUAUAUAUAUAUAUAUGUAUGUAUGUAUAUAUAGGGAAAAUCCAUCCCACCACCCGGUGGUAGUUACCCCACAUGUCUCAUAUACUACCAUAAGGUACUAUAUAUACUAAUUUAUUAUUUUAAAUAUGUUCAUAUACUAUAUCUAAGCUAUUUCAAAGCAAGUUACAUGAAAAAAUUGCAUAUGAGCCCAUAGUUUUUGUUAUAUUUGUAAAAUGCGUACAUAUUUGUAUGUAAAAAAGAGCAUACUCAAAAAAUGGUACAUACUACCUAAAAAUUAGUAUAUAUACUACAUAAUCAUUGUUAUAUACUACAUACUACACAUACAUACUUUCGGUUUUGACAGAUACUACAUACAACAUACAAAAGGCAAGUGGUGGUAACUACCACUGCUUGUAGGAAACAUUUGUCCUAUAUAACGUCUCAUAUUCAUUGAAUAUCACUUGAAAGUAGUAUCGCCUAAGACACCAUGAAAGUAAUACGCUACGUAUCUUUACAUCAAAGGUCAUUGAGGUUCAAAUAAAAAUAUAGUACUCAAACAAGAUUGUUAAGUUUGUAGCUUAAAGAAAUAAAUAUUAUUGAUCGAAUGGCUACAUCACAUGGUUAUUCUGGAUAACAAUGUAGGAGUAUAAAAUUGAUAAAUGGGUAGCAUGUAAUGGAUAGAGGAAGAAAUAAUAGAUUAUAUGUUUUUUGUACAUGGACAGAUGAACUGGUUGAGAGUUCAGAAGUUAGAACAUAGUUUGCAGAUAUGUAGAAGAAAGUGGUAGUACUGAAAAAGGAAUAACAAUAGUCUGGUCCGAUGUAGCUGCAGGUUGCCCUAUUUGAGUAUUUGUCCACAUAGGAGUAUAUUGCUUACCAAUCUAGGGAACAGAGUUAUUUUGUUAAUUAUUCUCGGAUGGAGCUGACAUUACUAAUACCCUCCUCACAAAAAAAGUACUACUACCCAAUUAGAAGUACAAAUGAAAAUUAAAAUAACGUGUAUAUUUAUGUUUCCACAGUAACCAUCUCACUCCGUAGAUCAGUUCUAAAAUGACACCGAAUGUGUGUGGCCCAACAAUCUAUGACUUCAAGAAUCUACUGCUAGUCUGUAGCAAGAUUGUAAGAGCAUCUCUAGCAGACCCGUAUAAUGCCGACCCGUAUAAGGCAUUUACAGUUCGACAAAGAUAUGUUUUGCGGGUCAAAAUCAUGCGCGGUAGAGUAGACCCCGUAUAUAAAACUUUAUAAUUUGAAAAAAAUACUUCUGCGGGAGAAAUUGCAACCACACUAGUUCAUCACAUACUACAUGAUCACACACACUAGUUCAUCACAUACUACAUGAUCAUACAUACUACAUUCUACUGCUACUACUAGAGGGGGGUGGGGAAUCUCGCGGCGGCAAGGCCGAGGACGAUGUGCCAAAAUGGAAGAGCUCGCAGCCGAGGACGACGCGGUGGAGGAGCUCGGUCCUCCUCGUCUGAGCUGACGAGAUCGAUGAACUACUGCCUCUGCUCCUUCGCGGCAAGGUUGGCCGCGGCCUUCUGCUUGAGCAUGAGGUCCUCGAGCUCCUCGUCGUGGCGCCGGCGCCCCGCCUCCUCGCGCAAGCUCCGUUUGUCAAUGGCGGCCGCGACCGCGUUGACAUCGGCCACGAAAUCUUUGGGCCCAACGACGCCUUGGCGCUCGAUCUCCUCCGCCUCCUUCUUGACGACGACGAGCUCGCGGUUCUUCGGCUCCUCCGACCACUCCCUCUUCACGGGGAGAAGUGCCGCGCCGGAAGGGCCCCUCGCGGCAGAGGAAGAACCCACGGCCGAGGAGGGCGACCGCUCGUGCCGGCAGUCGUACUCAUCCGUCUCGCGAUGGAGGAGUCUUGACGGCGGCUCGAGGCCCUGGUUUGUCCACUUCCUCGCCGCACGCUUCCUCGCGCCGUCCGCACGGACACACCGCUCGUGCUCGGGGUUGCCGCUGCGGCCGGAGUUCCACAUACGGCCCCACAUGGCGUCUGGAGGAGGAAGAGGGCUCACAGGCGGCGAGAAAUGAGGGGGAGUGAGUGGGGAAUCGCGGGGAAACACGGCGGCAUGCGGAUAGGGUUUUGACCCGUAUCUGCCCCCGUAAACNNNNNNNNNNNNNNNNNNNNNNNNNNNNNNNNNNNNNNNNNNNNNNNNNNNNNNNNNNNNNNNNNNNNNNNNNNNNNNNNNNNNNNNNNNNNNNNNNNNNNNNNNNNNNNNNNNNNNNNNNNNNNNNNNNNNNNNNNNNNNNNNNNNNNNNNNNNNNNNNNNNNNNNNNNNNNNNNNNNNNNNNNNNNNNNNNNNNNNNNNNNNNNNNNNNNNNNNNNNNNNNNNNNNNNNNNNNNNNNNNNNNNNNNNNNNNNNNNNNNNNNNNNNNNNNNNNNNNNNNNNNNNNNNNNNNNNNNNNNNNNNNNNNNNNNNNNNNNNNNNNNNNNNUUACGGGCUGGACGAGUAUACAGACUCUGUUAUGGCCAGAAAAUAGACCGAGCCCGUAUACUCGCUGGAAUUAUGUGGGUUUGCGAGAUAUACGGGGUCUGCUAGAGUUGCUCUAAAAUUAUAUCAAAAGACUAAUUAGAUAGUAGCUAGACUUCAUCACCUCUCCAAAGUUGGCCCAUAUACUGGUUCAGUAUAGAUAAGAAAACACUCGAACUGAAAGAAAAUAAAUGGGAAAUAAAUAAAAAAAUGCUUUUGGCUGCCAUGUAUGAGAAAGGCAAGCGGAAGCCAUUGUCAUCAACACUAAAGAGUUUCACCUAAAAAUGCAAGCAAGAGUUUUGCAAGUCAUAAUCGUUCAACAAAGGAUGGAGAAAAAAAAGUAGUUUGUAGUAUGACAGAUGAGGGACGCCUUUGGGCUGACCGGAGCUAUUAUGGCAGGUGCUUCACUCGGGGUUGGGGAGUUGCCGGUGCAUCCAUACGCGAGCACCAAAUAUUUGACAGCAUUACGUCAUGUUUCAGUAUGAAGUGGCAUGCUUGCAUGUCGAGAGACAUAUGAUAGUGGAGUAGGCCUUUUCUCAUGCAUGUUUUGCGAUGAUGUGGCAUGCUUGCAUGUUGAGAGAAAUAGUUAGUGGGCGCUAGCUAUUUAGAUACAGAAGAUACUCGCUCCGUCUCAUAAUAUAUGAAUGUUAUUCCAGCUAUGUUAGCUUGAAAAACGUUUCUAUAUUAUGGGACGGAGAGAGUAUAUUACUGUAUGUAUUUCGCAUAAUCAUAUUUCAAUGAUAUAUUUUCAACCGAACUCAAAUAAUUUGGAUCUUUAGUUUGAGGGAGUCGGCGUCCUAUGCCUCUAUUGCUCGAACAUAUUUAUUUAGCUUGUUUCCAGCAUACAACGUUUUAAAGAAAAUCAAAAGAAUGGGACUGAAAAGUUAAAGCAAAUAAAGUAAUCAAACGUAUUUAUUUAGCUUGUUUCCUGCAUACAGAGUUUAGUUUAAAGAAAAUUGAAAGAAUUGGACCGACAAGUUAAAGCAAAUAAAGCAAAUAGGCCGCUCCGCCCUAUAUCCUAUGGCCUCUAGGCCAUGCAGGUGCGGAGGAUAUCGGCCCUUCGCUGGCGGGAGAGACUCUGUUCUCGUUCUUGUUAGGUUCAAGGUCUUGGUUGGGCACUAGUGCAAAACCGGGCUUUAGUGCCGGUUCGUGACGGCCUUUAGUGUCGGUUGGCGAACCGGCACUAAAGAGUGGGGACUAAAGCCCCCCCCCCCCCCUUUAGUACCGGUUCGUCAUGAACCGGCGCUAAAGUGCAAACACGUGGCACAAGCCAGGCCCGUGUGCGUGUAGGAUAUUAGUACCGGUUGGUAACACCAACCGGUACUAAAUGUUUGGGUGUUUUUUUUUAAUUUUUGCUUUAAUUUUGUGUUUUCAAUUUGGCUUUAUUUUCCAUUUAAUUCUUUUUUGUUUGCUGGUAUUUCACGAUAGUACAAAUUGUACACGUUAUGCAUAUAUAUUAAAUAGAUUUUCUCGUAUGUAGAACCGCAUAUAUAUAUAUAUAUAAUAUAUCAUCGAAUGUCUCACAGCCAACACCAUUAACUAUUCACACAUACACAUGUAUAUACAUAUACAAUUUCUCCUACAUGUUGCCUUGGUGCCUUCGGAGCAUGAUGACAAGUGGUUCAUGGGGGCGGUAGCGGGUAAUAGUAUUCUCCUUUGGGAUCUAUAACCUGGUCGAGCAAAAAUCCGGCUAUUUCCUCUUGAAGUGCUUGUAUGCGGUCCGAUGGUAGGAGCUUAUCUCGCACCGAUCUGAACUGUUAAGAAGGAGAUCAAUAUGCAUGUGUGUUAGUUGUGUGACUAGAUAUCGAUAAUGGUGUGAAUAGUGUUCUGACAAAAACGUACCCAGUCCUGUCUAUCAGAUCUGCUCCUUUCGCACGUCAUCAUGCGAAUGUUCUCGCAAACGUAGAAUGCACACAGAUUAUUCCCCGACGCCUGCCUCAGGGCCUUUAUGAGAAUGGAAUUGAAUCAGAUAAUGAUUAAUCAAGCAUGAUAAUUAAUUAAUAAUAUUGAAACAAGAAUUAAAGAGAUAGCUAGUACUACUUAAUUACUUACCUUGGGUCGAUGCCAAAACAAUUUUUUUGGCCAUGUGCCUGGAGUCACCUUGAUGAACUUUGCCCAUGCUCUGCCCGCCGGCAAAGAAAAUUAAUAAAGGGGUUAUUAAAUAGUUCUUAUCAGGAACUAAUAGUUAAUAAUGAUUGAAAUUACCUGUUGACUAUCCCCUUCACGAUGGUGUAGUCUUUAUCUUCUUUAGUUAGUGAGUCCAGUAAUUCAACUUUUCCUUCCUCGACUUUAAUGUCUAACAAGACCCAAUGCCAACUGCAUACGCACACGUUUGCAUGUCUUAACUAAACGGGCAUGUGCAUAAAAUUAAUCAACUACCGUAAACCGUAUACACUUAAUUAUUAACAUCUAGCUAGCUAGUAAGCAAAAACAAAAUUUGUAGUACAAGACAGUGUGACUCAAGGGAAGUUGUAAGGAAGUAGUAUAUCUUCAUUGGUAUUGAGGCGCUUCAAGAACUCUAGCAUGCUUUCCUCUACAGCAGCUUGACAAUGUUCAAUCUCCCAUAUUUCCUAAUUAAUGGUAUUUGGAUCAAUGAACCCAACGCCAUAGCGUCCAGCUUUUUUAAUUUCAUACAUCUUCAUUCUGCAUAUAAUAUCACAGAAAAAGAAUAUAGUUAGGAUAAUUACAUAUAAUGAUUGAUCAAAAUUAUCACUACAUAACUAGCUUGAGACUUAAAUUACAGAAAGAAAUCACUUACAGACAAUAGCAACUGACGAUAGACUUGUCGAGUGCGUCUUGAUUAAAUAACUGAAAUAGUUCUGGAUACUCAACGGCCAGAGCUUUCUCAUGGUAAUAAUGCUCAUGCCUGACAUUCACCAUGAGGGACUCUCAAUUGGAAAUCUUGGUAAUGUUCAUGUACCAUUGAUUCAAUUGAUACAUUCUCGUUGGGAGGUCCUUGACCUUGUCUGAAUGGACCAAAGGUUUGCCCCGGACAUCUUGCCAUGCUAUUUCCGAUUCUUUAAGCGUAGGCAUGGGCUCGAUUUUGAGGAGUUGUCCAACAGAAAUAUUGAGCAUUUGAGCCUGCAUUAUAUGACCCUCUGUUAUUACCACAUCGCCAUGCUGGGGAACGCUAAUGGUUUGCCCACAAUAAUAUUUGGCGCGCGUACUACUCCUCUCAUGUGUUGUUGGCACAACAAGUGGGGGGAUCGCUUGCGCCGCCAGUUCUCCCAACUGGGAAACGGUUUUCCCGCAUUUUUUGCCAGCUGCUUGUUGGCUCGAGCUUGAGCUCGCUUCCUUCUGUAGUCGUGCUCGAUGUGCCUUCCUGAUUUGGCGCUAGUCCGUGUCAACAGGCUUGGGAGCUGGUUCUCUAGCCAUACGAAUGAAGUGGUCAAUUACUUUCUCACGCACUUUCUCCUUUGGCGGCGGUUCCGGUUUCGGUCCAAAAUGGGCGUCCAGUUGGGCUUGCACUAGGGCUGCGUUUUGCUCCUUAGUCAUGUCGUAAGGCCUCUGAGGAAGAGGAGCGAGGCUUGGACCAUAUUUAUAUCGCUUGCCUUCGCCUGUACUUCCUGAACUACCUCGACUCGUGCCGCUAUGCACCAAAGCUGUGGGAUGUCUCUUCUGCGAUUGCUGAGCCGGCAGAGACGGCUGACGUGGAGUUGGACCAGGAGAAGUGGCCUGACGAUGUGCCGGACUUGAAGCAGGAGGUGUGGCCUGACACGGUGCCGAACUCGCAACCGGAGAAGUGGCAUGACGCUGUGCCGGGCUUGAAACCGGAGGAGUCAGCUCACGUGUUCGGGGACUUGGAGGAGGUGGCGGACUUCGAGGAGGAGUCGUCUCACGCGUUCGUGGACUUGGAGGGGCGAGAGUUUGCUGACUCGGUGGCGGACUUCGAGGAGUCGGCAGACGACGCGGUGUCGGUGGACUUCGAAAGAUGAUGCAAUCCUUUCUCCAUAGGAUGAUACGAUGUAUGGCCUCUCCUAGUGUGCGCUCGUCUUCACCUCCAGGAAUGUCAAGCGUUAGCCCCGAAUAUGGGUCCACCACUUCAUCAACCAUGACACGAGCAUAGCCCUCUGGAAUCGGGAUGCAAUGGUAGGUUCCUUCGGGGGUAACUGGAAAAGCAACGCCGUUCGCCACCUUCAUGAAUAUGUUCUUCAUUUUGGAGUGUAGCUCACAGUUAGUGUUCUCUAUGACGUCAUCCACAGGGUAUUUAUCCAGUAGUGUGUCGCCCGGGGCAGAACCAUCGCUGCUUCUCGGCAUGGAUGGGACGGUGCUAUCCAAUGCUGGACGAUCAUUCGCUUGCUGCUACCGCUGCUGAGACCCCCUUUCCUGGCUAAGUGAGUCGAUCUGCUAUUGCUGCUGCUGGAAUUUGAGUGCCAGGUCCGCGUGCCUUGCUUCUAGGCCUUGAAGGCGUUCUGCGUCCUGCUUCCUCUGCUCCUCCUCCAGCUUCCUUUUCUUCUCCUCCUCCAUCUUCCUUCUUGCACGGCUCCUGUAGUCCUCGUUCCAUUCUGAAAAGCCCUCAUACUAGGGAAUAACGCCCAUGCCUCGUGUUCUUCCCGGGUGUUCAAGAUUUCCCAGGGCGCGCGUAAGCUCGUCGUUCUCUCUGUUGGGCGUGAACACCCCCCUUCGAGCUUCAUCUAUUGCGUCAAUUAUCUUUUGUUCGGCUCCUUUUAGACUUGCCUUCUUUGAAACUCCGUCUGUCUUCGGGUCAAAUGCUCCCCCAUGCGCAUAGAACCAAGUUCUGCACCUGGGGGGCCAGUGCCGUGUAACCGGAGUGACCCCUGCAUCCUCCAUCUCUUGCUCAGACUUAUCCCACUUAGGCAAUCCCACCGCGUAGCCACCUGGACCCAGCCUAUGGAACUGCGUCUUUCUUGCGGCAUUUGCCUUGUUUUUCAUCGACCGUUCCUUAGAUAUUUCUGAAUCCUUGAAGGUCACGAAAUCGUCCCAGUGUUCUCUUUGCUUCUCCAGUGUUCCCGUGAAAUCUGGAGUCUUCCUUUCAUUAGCGAGGUACUUGGCCCAUACAGUUUUCUUGUGGGUGUUGAAUGCAAUUGCCAUCUUCUUAAGAGCAGCGGCCUUGACUUUGUCCACAUCUGCUUUAAUGAAAUGAUCUGGUAGGGUGAAGUGUUCCAUCAGAGAUUUGAACAGGUCUCCUUUGGCUCUUUUGUCGACCCAAGUAACACCUGGACGUUUAGUCUUUGGCUCUUUCCAUUCUUGAAUGGAGAUAGGGAGUUUGUCCUUCACAAGAACUCCGCACUGACGAGUCCACUUGUUCGCAAUGUUCUUAGGCGUGAGGGGUUUGCCACUAGGUUUGAUGGAUUCGAUGUGGUACUUUACACCAUCCUUCAACAAUCUGCCCGGGCCUCGCUUUGUCUUGCUGUCUGUAGAAGCAGAUUUGCUCGAUCCGGAGGGCUGAAAGAAGAAAGAUCGAUUCGUUAAUAUAUCUUCAAUAAAAAAACAUGUGAUGAUCACCAUGAUGCAUGCUUAUAUAAAUAUACCUCGCCGGUAGUGUUUGUUAUUUGAAGAUCAGCAUUGUCUGUGUCAUCACAAACAUUGUCUGUGUCAUAAUCAUAAUCAUAGUUCAUGACUUCAUCAGCCCGGUCGUCGAGAUCGAAUAUCUUUUCAUCACCCUCUCCGGUAUUGUUAAGAUAUUGGAAGCCAUCAUUUGCUUCAUUCAGAUCAACUAGCCUGUGAGGGUUGCGUAUGAUGUCGAACAAUUCCUCUUCUCUCUCUCUGCCGGUAUUGUCCGCCAUAGCUUUUACUUUACUAAUAAUACAGAAGAAAUAUAAAACAAUUUAGUAUUCAAAUUACAAUGCAUGGAUGCAAUUAAUCAAUAAGGAAAAACAGAAUCUCGAAUACAUCGUCUCGAAUAUAUAAUCUCGAAUACAUUAUCGAUCGUCUUAAUAUAUAUAAUCUCGAAUACAUCGUCUCGAAUAUUAUAUAUCGAAUACAUCACUGGCUAGGUACUUAAUAAAGAUCGAGUACUACAGAAGAAUCUAGGGCGCCACUCGCGGUUCCUGGGGCGCGGGCGGUGCACACCCAAAGAGAAGGAACCAUCACAGGAUCAUAUCUCCGGUCAUCUGCCCAAAGAACCCGCCAAGUAGUGGAGAAUCUAACAUCGUCCAUAGCAGCCAUGUAACGAUGGACGUGCUCAUCUUCCUCCCUGAUACGGCGACGCACCACCUCCAGUGGGGCCGGCUGCCUCUGCACCGAAUGUGGCCCACACGAACGCCACGAAAGAAGAUCAGGGUCGACGACAGGACCCGAGGUCGGGUUCCUCACCAAGCGGCGCGCCCCUCCAGGUAGCACCUCCCAGUGCCAGCCCGGCGGAGCCCAUCCCGGACAUGGGUCCCCUCAAGCAGGACGUCGUCGCGAACGGGUCGACGACGAGGAUGCGGGCCGGGCAUAUCGUCGAGAACAAAUACUAUAUGCCCGCAAAAAGUAAUAUUUUUUAAAUGAUUGGAUUGUGAUAACUAAAAUUCUAUAUAUAUGCAAAUUCUAACAAUUUGACAUUAAUCUAAUUCAUCUAACUAAAACUAAUUCUAAAAUUUCCUGAUUAUAUAACUAACAUUUCCAUAACAAUUCUAAUAUUUAUAUAACUAAAAAACAGAAAAAUUAAUAACAUUUCUAUAAAUAUUUCUAUAACUAAAAAACAGAAAACAUUUAUAACAUUUCUAUAAAACUAACAUUUCUAAUAUUUAUAUAACUAAAAAACAGAAUAAUUUCUAACAUUUUUAUAACUACAGAAAAAUUUAUAACAAACAAACUAAUGUGUGUGUGUGUGUGUAGUGUGUGUGUGUGUAGUGUGUGUGUGUGAGUGGACANNNNNNNNNNNNNNNNNNNNNNNNNNNNNNNNNNNNNNNNNNNNNNNNNNNNNNNNNNNNNNNNNNNNNNNNNNNNNNNNNNNNNNNNNNNNNNNNNNNNNNNNNNNNNNNNNNNNNNNNNNNNNNNNNNNNNNNNNNNNNNNNNNNNNNNNNNNNNNNNNNNNNNNNNNNNNNNNNNNNNNNNNNNNNNNNNNNNNNNNNNNNNNNNNNNNNNNNNNNNNNNNNNNNNNNNNNNNNNNNNNNNNNNNNNNNNNNNNNNNNNNNNNNNNNNNNNNNNNNNNNNNNNNNNNNNNNNNNNNNNNNNNNNNNNNNNNNNNNNNNNNNNNNNNNNNNNNNNNNNNNNNNNNNNNNNNNNNNNNNNNNNNNNNNNNNNNNNNNNNNNNNNNNNNNNNNNNNNNNNNNNNNNNNNNNNNNNNNNNNNNNNNNNNNNNNNNNNNNNNNNNNNNNNNNNNNNNNNNNNNNNNCAUCGACGGGGCUGGCGACGAGGCGCGGCAACGAGGGGCGGGGGCGGCAACGAUCGGGGCCGGGCGGCGCGACAGAGGGAAACAGAGGGAAGAACAGAGGGAAACUGAAUUAUUUUCAAGUGUAGUAUAUAUACGAUGGACCUUUAGUACCGGUUGGAGCCACCAACCGGUACUAAAGGUCUGUUUUGGCCAGGCCAAGCGGCGGGAAGCGCACCCCCUUUAGUACCGGAUUGUGGCACCAACCGGUACUAAAGGGGGGGGUCUUUAGUACCGGUUGGAGCCACGACCCGGUACUAAAGAGGGUGCGCUGGCUCCAGGCGGUGCGCAAGUUUAGUCCCACCUCGCUAGUCGAAGGGCUACCGCACUGGUUUAUAAGCCCUAGUGCGGUAGCUCUGUCGAGCUCCUCUCCUUACCUGGCCUACUGGGCCUACCUGUCCUCUUCUCCCAGUGGGCCUACUGGGCCUUUGCGGGCCUGCAUCCUGGCCCAACAAAAGGUUGUGUUGCUAGUCGUAUGCAGGCCGCUUUGGCCCAGUAGGCGGGCUUUUUUUUCUUAAUUUUUUUCGCUUUAUUCAUUUUUGUUUUAUUUAUUUUUGAGUUAUUUUUUGCUGUAUUUAGAGUUUCUUUGUGAAUAUUUUUGCUUUCGGUACAAAAAAUUACAAACUUUCUGUUAGUGCCGGUAGUUUUCAAAUUUGAAUAGUUUAAAUUUUGAAUUAUUUGAAAUUUGUGUGAAUCACUAGUUUGUGAAUAACUUAACUUUAAAAAAAGUUUUUUCAGUGAUUCUUUUUUCUUAUGUUUAAUAUUAGUGUGUUUUAUUAUUAUAUUCAAUUUGGUAAUGCUUAGGUUAUUUAAAAAAUGAAAUGCCUUUGUAACAGUUCAGUUUUCGUCGGAAACCCUGAUACUUCAAAAGAGAUUGUCCAUUUUAUACACGAAGUGCAUCCAGUUUUUACCGUAACCCUCUCUACUUUCUUGCACAUGCUAUUUGUAUGAAAUUAUGAUACCAUGCCAACUUUCAACCUUUUCUGAGUUUAUUUGAAAUGCUUUUCAAUUUCAGGGUCAUUUAGCUGGAAAAAAUCAGUAAAUGCAUGAAAAGAAUUUGUUUGCACAUAAAAUUUCUUCGCGUUUCAAAUGCCAAAACACAUAACUACCCUAAUUAUUACAGACAUUCCCUCCUGGGUGUGAAACACAGAAGAAAGUGAUGAUAGUGAAGCCGAUCACAUCCCAGAUCUUUCGGUGUGAAACUUUUUCUUCGCGUGUGUCCCUUUGCGCCGUAACCAUGGAAAAUCUUCAUCAUUUAACAGGAUGCUCGUGUCAAUAUUCACUGUGAAUGGAGCAAUUUCAUCAAUCUUUUCAUAAUCUUCUGACAUGUCUGUCUUGUCAUCCACUCCCACGAUGUUUCUUUUUCCUGAAAGAACUAUGUGGCGCUUUGGCUCGUCGUAUGAUCCAUUCGCUUCCUUAUAUUUUCUUUUUCUCGGCCUGGAAGACAUGUCUUUCACAUAAAAAACCUGCGCCACAUCAUUGGCUAGGACGAAUGGUUCGUCUGCAUAUGCAAGAUUGUUGAGAUCCACUGUUGUCAUUCCGUACUGCGGGUCUUCCGUUACCCCGCCUCGUGUCAUAUUGACCCAUUUGCACCGAAACAAAGGGACCUUCAAAUCACCUGAUCCAUAGUUAAGUUCCCAUAUGUCCUCUAUGUAACCAUAAUAUGUUUCCUUUCUCGUGUUGGUUGUUGCAUCAAAGAAGACACCACUGUUUUGGUUGGUGCUCUUCUUAUCUUGGGCGAUCGUGUAAAAUGUAUUCCCAUUUAUCUGGUACCCUUUGAAAGUCAUUAUAUUCGAAGAUGGUAACUGGGACAGCGAGUACAUGUCAUUUUGAAUAUCGCCAUCAUUCAGGGCAGGUUUCUGCAACCAACCGGCGAAAGUCCUCGUUUGUUCGCGUGUAAUCCAGUCGUCAGACUUCUCCGGGUGUUUGGACUGUAGAAAAUUCUUGUGUUCCUCCAUAUACGGAGCCACCAAGGCGGAAUUCUGUAGAACUGUGUAGUGUGCUUCAGUGAGAGAAUGCCCGUCCAUACAUAUUAUUUGAUGCCCUCCUAGCGUGCCUUUUCCUUCCAGUCUGCCCUUAUGCCGCGAUUCAGGAACACCAAUCGGCUUAAGGUCAGGAAUGAAGUCAAUACAAAACUCAAUGACCUCCUCAUUUUCAUGGCCCUUCGAGAUGCUUCCUUCUGACCUAGCACGGUUAUGAACAUAUUUCUUCAAGACUCCCAUGAACCUUUCAAAGGGGAACAUAUUGUGUAGAAAUACAGGACCCAAAACGUUAAUCUCUUCGCAAAAGUGAACUAGGACGUGCGUCAUGAUGUUGAAGAAGGAUGGUGGGAACACUAACUCGAAACUGACAAGACAUUGCACCAAAUCAUUUUGUAACCUUGGUAUGAUUUCUGGAUCGAUUACCUUCUGAGAGAUUGCAUUGAGGAAUGCACAUAGCUUCACAAUGGCUAAUCGAACGUUUUCCGGUAGAAGCCCCCUCAGUGCAACCGGAAGGAGUUACGUCAUAAUCACGUGGCAGUCAUGAGACUUUAGGUUCUGGAACUUUUUCUCUGUCAUAUUUAUUAUUCCCUUUAUAUUCGACGAGAAGCCAGAUGGUACCUUCAUGCUGAGCAGGCAUUCGAAGAAGAUUUCCUUCUCUUCUUUGGUAAGAGCGUAGCUGGCCUGACCCUAAUGUAUGCCGUCUUUUCCGUGCAUACGUUGCUGGUCCUCCUGUGCCUCUGGUGUAUCUUUUGUCUUCCCAUACACGCCCAAAAAGCCAAGCAGGGUCACGCAAAGAUUCUUCGUUACGUGCAUCACGUCGAUUGCGGAGCGGACCUCUAGGUCUUUCCAAUAUGGCAGGUCCCAAAAUAUAGAUUUCUUCUUCCACAUGGGUGCGCGUCCGUCAGCGUCCUUCAGAACAGGUUUUCUGCCAGGACCCUUUCCAAAGAUUACCUCCAAAUCCUUUACCAUAUCAUGUACAUCAGCACCAGUACGGUGGCGAGGCUUCGUCCGGUGGUCCGCCUCACCUUUGAAAUGCUUGCCUUUCUUUCUUAAGGGAUGCCUUGUCGGAACAAAUCGAUGAUGUCCCAGGUACACAUUCUUCCUACAACUAUCCAAAUAUAUACUGUCGGUAUCAUCCAAACAGUGCGUGCAUCCGCGGUAUCCCUUGUUUGUCUGUCCUGAAAGGUUACUGAGAGUAGGCCAAUCAUUGAUGGUCAUGAACAGCAACGCCUUUAGGUAAAAUUCUUCCUGUCCGUACUCAUCCCACGCACGUACACCUGUUCCAUUUCACAGCUGUAAUAGUUCUUCAACUAAUGGCCUUAGGUACACAUCAAUGUCGUUGCCAGGUUGCUUAGGGCCUUGGAUGAGCACUGGCAUCAUAAUGAACUUCCGCUUCAUGCACAACUAAGGAGGAAGGUUAUACAAACAUAGAGUCACAGGCCACGUGCUAUGGUUGCUGCUCUGCUCCCCAAAAGGAUUAAUGCCAUCUAUGCUUAGACCAAACCAUACGUUCCUUGGGUCACCUGCAAACUCCUCCCAGUACUUUCUCUCGAUUUUUCUCCACUGCGAACCCUCAGCGGGUACUCUCAACUUUCCGUCUUUCUUACGAUCUUCUGCGUGCCACCGCAUCGCCUUCGCAUGCUCUUUGUUUUGGAACAAACGUUUCAACUGUGGUAUUAUAGGAGCAUACCACAUCACCUUGGCAGGAAUCUUCUUCCUGGGGCGCUCGCCCUCGACAUCACCAGGGUCAUCGCGACUGAUCUUAUAACGCAAUGCACCGCAUACCGGGCAAGCGUUCAAAUCCUCGUACUCACCACGGUAGAGGAUGCAGUCAUUAGGGCAUGCAUGUAUCUUUUACACCUCUAACCCUAGAGGGCAGACAGCCUUCUUUGCUUCAUACUUACUCUCGGGCAAUUCGUUGUCCUUUGGAAGCAUAUUCUUUAUCAUUACCAACAACUUUCCAAAUCCCUUGUCAGAUACACCAUUCUCUGCCUUCCAUUGCAGCAAUUCAAGUGUGGUGUCCAACUUUUUUUUUGUCAGCUUCGCAAUUCGGGUACAACAAUUUCUUGUGAUCCUCUAACAUGCGCUGCAACUUCGUCCUCUCCAGAUCGCUUGCAUAGUUUCUCUUUGCAUCGGCAAUGGCCCGACCUAGAUCAUCAGCGGGCUCAUCUGAUGCCUCUUCUUCAGCUUCUUCACGCAUUGCCGGCUCAGCUUCUUCCCCCAUUGUUGUAUCAUCGUAUUCAGGGAACGCAUGGCCAGGAUAGCCAUCCUCGUCCUCUUCUUCUUCAUUGUCUUCCAUCAUAACCCCUAUUUCUCCGUGCUUGGUCCAAACAUUAUAGUGGGGCAUGAAACCGGACUCAAAUAGGUGGACGUGAAUGGUUCUUGACGUAGAGUAACUGUGACCAUUCUUACAGCCAGCACAUGGACAAGGCAUAAAACCAUCCGCCCGCUUGUUUGCCUCAGCGGCAAGCAGAAAAGUAUGCACGCCAUUAAUGAACUCGGGAGAGCAUCGGUCAUCAUACAUCCAUUGUCGGCUCAUCUUCAUUAAACAACACCGAAUAGACUGAAUUAAUACAAGUUCAUACAUAAAGUUCAUACAUAAAGUUCAUAUACAGCACUUAAUUAAAUGCAACAUACAAAUAACUCUCUAGCUAAAGAAUUUAAAUGCAACAACAAAUGCCAUAAAGAUCACAACUAAGGUAACAAUUGAUCCAACAGCAUAAUGAUACCAAGCCACACUAUCAAUGGCAUAUUUUCUAAUCUUUCUAAUCUUCAACCUCAUUUUCUCCAUCUUGAUCUUGUGAUCAUCGACGACAUCGGCAACUUGCAACUCCAAUUCCAUCUUCUCCCCCUCAAUUCUUUUCAACUUUUCUUUCAAAUACUCGUUUUCUCUUUCAACUAAAUUUAACCUCUCGACAAUAGGGUCGGUUGGAAUUUCCGGUUCACAUACCUCCUAGAUAAAAAUAUCUAUGUCAACUUGAUGGGCAUAAUUAGUCAUAAACACGAAAUGCAACAAGUAGUUUUAAAAGAGAAUAUACCACAUCCGAAUCAUAACAAGGACGAGGGACGACGGGGACGGAUAUCAAAACCAUGGCACUAUGUAUAACAAUCAACGUACGGGUAAGAUAAUUAUACGAUUAACUAUAUAUCCAAAUCACACAAACAUCAAUUUGGUAAUGUAAAACAUUCAUGAACAAGAGCCUCACCACAAGGUGGUGCCGGCGACGGGACGGUGCGGGCGAUCGACGGUGGUUACGACGGAGAUUUAGAAGGAACUAAGUAAACCACACCUACAUAUGCAAACUAAGUGUUAUUUUUGACCUCAAAUUGCAUAUAAAUCAAACACUAGCAAAUAUAAUUCCUCCCAAAUUAAUAACUAUACAAAGCAUUGCAAGAGCUAAUCUAGCAAUGAGAGUUGAAAGGACAAAGUUGCUAACCUUUGUGAUUAUUUGAAUGGAUGGGGGCCUUCAAAUCUUGACAAAAUUUUGGGAAAAAUGUGUGAUGAGCUCGAUAGGAAGAGGGGAAGAACAGAGGAGGAGAGGGGAAAUGGGAAGAACAGAGCGAGCUCGGGUGGACGAAGGGUUUAUGUAGGUCGACCUUUAGUACCGGUUCGUGCCACGAACCGGUACUAAAGGUGCUGGACGGGCACCAGACUGACAACACACUGCCACCAUCCUCUUUAGUACCGGUUCGUUCCACGAACCGGUACUAUAGGUUCGCCACGAACCGGUACUAAUGAGAACGGCCGGCUAGCCGUUGGAACCGGCACUGAUGGACACAUUAGUGCCGGCUCAAAACCAAACCGGCACUAAUGUGUCUCAUAUUAGGUGCUUUUUCUACUAGUGGGGGCUAUGUGGUGGCGGUGAUGCCCCUUAGUAGGAAUGAUGUCUCCCACAUUCUACCCACGUACGGAUGGUGUGUCUAGCAUCGUUGGAGGGCGUGUGGAGGUGUGUCUAUGCGGAUCUCGCGGGAUUUGACCGGUGCUGGUCUUCGGUGGAUCUAUUUGGAUCUGGUCUUUGUCUUUGUCUGGGUGUUUACAUGUUUGAUUUUUCGGAUCUAUGACUUUCUUCAUCAUCGAUGGUUGCUACUCUGGUGCGCUGGUCAUAUGGGGCAUUAGCACGAGUGCACGAUGACUUCCGAACUGUUUACUAUAACAAGGUUUGCCUAGCUCCGCUGAAGGAGGAGCGAAUGACGGUGGUGUGUCUUCGGCUCUCUCCAAUGCUUGUAGUCAUCGCUAAGUGGUCCACGGAUAUGACUGAAAUUUUUAUUACCUCUAUUGUUCUUUGUACUGCCAUGAUUAAAGAUAAAUAGAGUGGAAGUUUCUCGCAAAAUAAAAUUUAAAGCAAAUAGUACAAAAUAGAAAUAAUAGGGUGAUCACAUGACGUGUGGUUCCUAGUUUUGUAAAAAAGAGAGCUUAUUUACGAUUCUUAAGGAAAAGUUGAAAAAAGGAAAGAAUUGCAAGUUAAAAGGAGAAUAUGUUGGCAAAUAGUGAAACAGAAGCACCUUGUUAUGCUAAUCAUGUCAAUUUUAGCAAGGAAGGGAAGCUAAAAUAUUCUUGUUCAACAAAAAACACAAUAACCAAAAUUAAUAAUUGUUUCAUGUAUGAGUAUAACCUCUCGCAAAUCUAUUUGCUUGGCUACAUGCCUACAGAAAAAAGAAGGAUCUUUUGUAUAAAGGGUGGAUUUAAUUGACUCAAAAGGAAGCAACAAGAGGAUACAAACACAACAAGCACACACCCGACCUCUAUAUUACUAGGAUGCACACAAUCAACAAUACACACACGCAAAGAAUUAAGUUGACAAAAAGAGCAAAAUCAUAUUAGAUUGUAUAUAGGCCUAGGUGGACUGAAUGCUGGAAACUCAAAACAAUGAUCGACGAACUAAAGAAUGACCACCUACAACAGCCAUCUCUUGGACAACACAAGGACAAUGUAAAGGUUCUCCGGCAGCAACACCUCCAAGAAGGGAAUGAUGCUCAUAGACCAUGUCAUUGGAUCCGACCACCGAAGGCCAGUGGCGGAGCGUAAUGAGCAAACAAGGGGGUGGGGGCAACCUCAAACUCAAAGUAAAAUAUGUGCAAAAACACAUGCAUCUCACUGUCUCAUAACAAAAUAUUGCUUUCUCUCAGUUACUUGCAGUUUUUCUCCUGUCUCCUUCAAAUAUCGGCAAUCGGCAGGCGGCAAUGGUGCACAUCAAGUAGAAGCAAAGCCUGUUGCAAUCCAUCGAUUCGUGUUGCGCCUCUGCCAUUCUUGCCGAGAGACUCCGCCGAGAGAGUCGAUUCAUCUAAUCGAUCAGCCCAUGUCAAGUUCACGUGCAGGUGUAGAUACGUGUGCUGGUGCUUGUUACAAUGCAACUUGUAUUACUAGGAGGUCAAAGCCACCAUAUAUAUAAUGUAUAUGAGGAUGCCAAAAGUCAAGAAUACGCUGAAGACCCUAUAGGAGACAACAUCACAGAGAGACGAGCACCAAGCACCGAGCGACGAUGCAUGUGCGAGACGGGAUCAAUAUAGGGAACACUGUCAGAAGUCGGCGAGCAGCGACACAGAUGCAGGGACGGAAACCUCAUAUCCAUUUUUAUCUCUCUAUUUUUUUACACUCAGAAACAACCAAUGGAAUCGACCCAAAAUAACGGAAUCAAUAGGCCGAACGAAGUAUUAGCGCUCACGCGCGAGGCAGAUAGCCAGCGGGUUGACUCCAAAAGUAGGAGCGAAGACCAGGGUGCUUGAUCCAUAGGACAAGAACGGCACCCCCUCGAUCGAGGGCGGCCGAAUCGUGAGCGGGUCCCAAUCUAGGCUUCAAAGGGCGGCCGGGUGUCCAGAGGACACCCACGACUGGAGCCGCCAGCAGGGUGUGGACAAGGCGCCCUCGCCUGGAGCCAGAGGUGGCCGCGACGGGAGGUGGGAACGGCGGCCUCAAUGAGAGGGGGAGGCGCCACGGCCAUGGCGGGAGGUGGAGUCGGCGACCUCGGCAGAGGGUGGAGGUGCGGCGGCCGCGGCGGGAGGUGGAGGCAGCGUCCUCGGCGGGAGGUGGGCACGGCGGCCUCGGCGAGAGGUCGUGGCGUGGCAGACGUGGCGGGAGGUGAAGGCGGCAACGUCGAUGGGAGGUGGGAGGUAGAGGCGCGGACCUAGGGUAGAUCGACGAGAGAGCCGCCGGAUCGGACUGGUCUAGAGCAGAGAAAAACUGCAACUACCGGAAAAAAAGCGACGGCAGCGUGCGAGGUUAGAUCAGGAGGCGAGUUACAACGCAAAAAAAAACUCUAAACCUAGGCUCGAUACCAUGUUAUAAUGCAACUUGUAUUACUAGGAGGUCAAAGCCACCAUAUAUAUAAUGUACAUGAGGAUGCCAAAAGUCAAGAAUACGCUGAAGACGCUGUAGGAGACAACGUCAUAGAGAGACGAGCACCAAGCACCGAGGGACGACACAUGUGCGAGACGGGAUCAAUAUAGGGAACACUGUCAGAAGUCAGCGGGCGGCGACACAGGGACGGAAACCUCAUAUCCAUUUUACUCUAUUCUUUUACACUCAGAAACAACCAGUGGAAUCGACCCAAAAUAACAAAAUCAAUAGGCCGAAUGAAGUAUUAGCGCUCACACGCGAGGCAGAUAGCUAGCGGGCUGACUCCAAAAGCAGGAGCGGAGACCAUGGCGCUCGAUCCAUAGGACGAGAACGGCACCGCCCCGAUCGAGGGCGGCCGAAUCGCGAGUGGGUCCCGAUCUGGGCGUGCAAGGGCGGCCGGGUGUCCAAAGGGCGACCUCACCUGGAGCCGGUGGUGGCCGCGACGGGAGGUGGGCACAGCGGCCUCGAUGAGAGGUGGAGGCACGGUGUCCGCGGCGGGAGGUGGAGGCGGCGACCUCGGCGGGAGGUGGAGGCGCGGCGGCCGCGGCGGGAGGUGGAGGCGGCGACCUCGGCGGGAGGUGGGCACGGCGGCCUUGGCGAGAGGUGGCGACGUGGCAGACGCCGCGGGAGGUAAAGGCAGCAACCUCGACGGGAGGUGGGAGGUGGAGGCGCAGACCUGGGGCAGAUCGGCGAGAGAGCCACUGGAUCGAACUGGUCUGGAACAGAGAAAAACAUGAACCAUCAGCAAAAAAGUGACAGUUGGAUCAGGAGGCGAGUUACAAUGCAAAAAAAAAAACUCUGAACCUAGGCUCGAUACCAUGUUAUAAUGCAACUUGUAUUACUAGGAGGUCAAAGCCACCAUAUAUAUGUUGUACACGAGGAUGCCAAAAGUCAAGAAUACAAAAGGGCAAAGGCCACCAUCAAUCUUUCCCGAAUAAUAAUAAAGUGCUUGUCCUCAGCCUUUUUGCAAAAUAGUUCCCUCAUUUCUGAGAAAUUAACCCUUAGUCCUACUUAAAGUGUGUUACUGAUGGAUAGCGUUACGUUUUNNNNNNNNNNAACUCUGAACCUAGGCUCGAUACCAUGUUAUAAUGCAACUUGUAUUACUAGGAGGUCAAAGCCACCAUAUAUAUGUUAUACACGAGGAUGCCAAAAGUCAAGAAUAUAAAAGGGCAAAGGCCACCAUCAAUCUUUCCCUAAUAAUAAUAAAGCGCUUGUCGUCAGCCUUUUUGCAAAAUAGUCCCCUUGUUUCAGAGAAAUUAAUCCUUAGUCCUACUUAUAGUGUGUUACUGAUGGAUAGCGUUACAUUGUUUUGCAAAAAAAAAACUGCCACCACCGGCCACCUCCACCACUUAUCCAUUGCUUGCCUCCACUGGACCGCCAGGCGUGCCCUGCCGCUUGCCACUGGCGUCAACGCUGCAGAAGCCAAGGCAGGGAUGCGUCGCAGCGAGUGUCCACGCCGCUCGAGCCCGGGAAUGGGGCAAGGCGUUGUAGAGCGUGGCAGACCGAGGCGUCGCGGUGGGCGUUGUAGAGCGCGGCAGACCGAGACGUCGCCGUGGGCGUUGGAGGGCGCGGCGGACUGAGGCGUCGCCCGAUUCCUGGUGCACCAUCAAUAUAACUUUAACGGUGCUAUUAUAGAUCAAUCCAGGUGCUUAUGUGCUAGCUCUUGCACGUACGUACAUACAGCUCAUGUGGUGAUUUGAUCUAGUGGUCUAAAAAUCAACAAGGAGAAGAGACGAGCGCGUCCGUGUGUUUGUGGAACCUGGGAGGGAGGAGUUUAUUCUUGAGUNNNNNNNNNNCCCCCUUUGGCCUCCAUGAGCCCCCGCUAGUGCCGAAGGCCACAUUCUAGGUUUUCACCUUGAAAAUCAAGUCAAAGCAACUUUAAGCAAUGCAUUAAAAAAUGUAACGACAAAUGACCCAAAAACACUGUCAUUGCUAGGUAUAGCCCACUAGAGUUAGACCUAGGGUUUUUACCUCGAGACUCAAGAUUAGGUACUCGAGAAGCACCACUAAAUUGAAGACAUCCUAUUUUUUCACCAUAACUUGCCAUGAUCCUAGUAACUAUACACAUGCACAAUUUUAACGAGUGAAGCCACACAAAUAAUGACCAUGCCCGCACAAGCAGGCAGUCAAACUGUGACAAGAGUUAGUUGCCACCAAAGGCUCAAAAUGGCAAAGGAAACUAUCAUACAUACAAUAAAGAUUGACGAGGGAGGAAGGUCACCGACGCUACCAAACUUCCACUUUGGGAUGCUCCGACAUCCCCGAACCUUCCUCAUGAAUGACAUUCGGUGGCAGAUCCACAUAGCACCAUUAAAUUAGAUGGAGCUACAACGAUGUUCACAUCACAUUUAUCAGAGCCUCACAUUAGCUAUCAUAUAAACAUUUUUUUACCAACCACGCCAUUAAAGAAUGUAUGAACAUUCCACCUUGACAAACAAUGACUCCAACAAAUGUGCACACAAUAGAUUCGUAAGCCUAGAGAAAGUAUGAAGGAAUAAAUGUCCAACAGUUAAACAUAUGGAAUCCAACAUUAAAGAUUAUACUAUAUAAUUCUUAAUGGGAAAGGGCAGAAGGACACCACAUCUUCCUUUGAGGUAGAUUCUCUUGCAAUAAGAUUAAUGCAGCCGUUUGUAGCAUAUUGCUUACUGAACCGCCAACCUCUACCAUCCUACUUGUUGAGGUCGCAUGAAGGCAAGAGGAGGUGGGGACACACAACUAACAUACCCUAUGCAAGAUGAUGUAGAGAGGAGCGAGAGAGGAUGGCCGCGAACCAUAUGGGCUGGAGGAUAUGCACGAGGAUGAUAUGGUGAUGCAAGGGAGAGAGGCAGCACAUGAGAAGCAAGAGAGGAAGGAGCUAGGUUUUGUUGAUGAGUUGGUAGUUGGUAAACUAUGAUUUAAUUGUCAAUGAGAUGCAAUCAUAUCCUCUAUUUGCAUCUCAUAAACGGAUCCAACUAAUAGGAAAAGGGCCAUUGACGUAGAGUCGUUUGGUAGCCUGCACAGUGGUAGAUGGACUGCAUGUAGAAGGAAUCUUUUGCUUCAAGCGGUGUUUAAAUGCUCGGAUUGCAUUAGAUUCUUGUAUUACACGUUGUUUCAAGCACUUCCCGGGCAGGAGGAAAGACCGAAUCAGUCGUUUCCACUAAUGCAGGCUCAUGCAGACGACAAGGUGAGAAAGAUUCUCUCCUUUUCCCUGCCAGGCUGCAUCCUCCUCUCACAACGCAUGCGGGAAGUCGCCGUUACCAAACAAGACACCAUGCGUACUACCAAACCCCACUAACCACCAUGGAGGGGCCCAAACUACAUGCUUAGAUCGUUUUUUGCAUCAUUUUUUCUCUACCAAACCCUGACAAGUUUGACUCGUUUCCCUCAUGCAGCCCGAUGCAAUUGCUGUUGUCUACCAAAUAGCCCCUUAGUGCUGCUUUAGGUGAUGAGUUCUACCACCACAUAUAACUAUACCAAUGUUUGGCCAUUCUAUCACACUAAAAUAAUGCGAGGUGGCUGCAUUGCUUUGUCUAGUAGAUCCACGCCUUCCAAUACAAACUGAUGUACUAUCCUUUGAGCAUGGUUAAUAAUAUAGCCAGUUGUUGGCUAUAACUAGUUGCCAUGUCAUCUAUAUCCAAUGUAAUAGGUAACACGUAUAAUACUUGGCUUUAAAAAAGUACUACUUCGUCAACACAUGGCCCAUCUUUCACUUUCACAAACCUUCUCGGAGUUUAUGCGACAGCCCGCUUCUCUUUUCUCUCUUCCAACUGAACAACAAUAUAAUAUUUAUAUCCUUACAGUCUGAUUACGUCAUCUUAUUAUACUUGCUCUUACAUUGUUGUAGACCUAUUGUUAUAGCUUGUCUCUUGGCAUCAACAUGAAUGUUCAUGCAAGAUUGAAAAGAAGAAAAUUUCCUUGAUUAUCAAAAAAAGCUAAAAGAAGUCCUUUGAACACUCAGUGCUUCAGCCACACGAGCACCGGAGUUUUGUUUUCCUUAGCAAAACACUAAUGGCCCAUCCCGCAACCCACUGAUGGCCCAAACCCUAACGGAAGAAAACCGAAGUCCCUUGCCUGUGGCCAUAUGUUUGAAUCUCCUUGCUCCUGGCUUGAGGAUCGAUGAAACCACCGACCAUCUUGCGCCGCCAUGUUCGUUCCGUCGGAUCGCUCCCAUUUCCACUCAUGAAGGUCGUGUCUCAACUCCUCAACGUGUGUCCGGUAGGCAAUGCAGCAACAUCCGUCCACCAUCGCAAACUCCUUCACCGAUACCCUGACCCCCUCUCUAUCUUCUUUCGUUGCAGGUCUUCCUGUCCUCCCCACGACGGCAUAGCGGCCGAGUGGCUCGCCGAAGAUCUUCUUGUCGAGAUCCUCUCACGUGUCUCGACAAGGUCCCUAUGCUGCUUCAAGUGCGUCUCCGACCAUUGGCUCAGCCUCAUCCACCACCCCGAUCACCCACAGGAAGCUCCCUCAAACCCUAGCCAGAUUCUUCUACACUAGGAGUGACAACGGGCAGUUGCCUCUGGAAACACAAGUCCGCUUCGCCGGUGUCUCUGGGAAAUGCUGUCCUCCAGUCGACACCUCUUUCACCUUCCUUUGCAGCCACCGACGCGUCGAUCUACUCGGUUACUGCAAUGGCCUCCUCCUCUGUCGCUGGUACGACGUCUCUGCUCCAGAUGAUGAGUUCUGCUAUAUUGUGUGUAAUCCUGCCAGGGAGGAGUGGGUCAAGUUGCCGGACAUCAGUCAAGCUGACAAUGUGCGAGCACUGCAUUUGGGUUUCCAUCCGGCUGUGUCUGCCCACUUCUAUGUGUUUGCGUUGCUGGAGGAUGUCCAUUUUAUCUUCUACCUUGCCGAAGUGGAAGUGUACUCACCGGAAACCAGAAAGAUGGGUUUACAAGGAAAUUGGAUGGUACAAAAGAAUUAAGCUUCCUGCUUGGCAGUCUGAUGCUGUCUUCCUCAACGGCUGCUUGCAUUUUUAUGACUCUGGCAAAUGUUCACCGUUUAUAUACGUGUGGUGGACACGGAGGAAAAAUCAUGGCCGAACCUUGGUAUCCCUGGUAAGCUGUAUGGUGGUUUUAUUCGGCAGUCACAGUGCCGUUUGCAUUAUGCCAAUUUUAAGAAAGAUCACCAUGGUGAGGUGGUUCGACUAGUGGUCUAUGUUCUCGAUGACUAUGACAACAAAGAACGGAUAUUGAAGCAUAGUGUUGAAGCUUCAGAUAUAUCUGGAGCGACAAAUGUUACUGAUUCUGAUCGGUUUACAAUUCAUUCAGUUAUUCCCGUUGGAUUGCGAUUCAUCCGCAAUGUAACUUGAUCUUCUUCACCAUGGGGUCAGCUUUCACAUUAAUGUGCUAUAAUAUGGACCUUCGGCAAGUCAAAGUGAUUGGCAAUCAUGAUGGCUAUCCACGUGUACUAUAUGUGCCAUUGUAUGUAUUUCUGCUUGGAUUUGGUUCUCGUUUUCUUGGCUGAUGUAUGCAUGCUUUUUGUUGGGAAACGCAGUAGAAAACAAAAAAAAAUCGCACCUACAAUCAGCAACAUCAAUAUGAAGAUGCAUCAAUGAUCAAUGAGUGUCAUGCAACAUAAACUCGUAUCUUCCAUUUUAAGUUGGGGAAAAUCAUAAGCAUCUUAUUGACAAAGAACUAGCCAAUGAUUGCUUGUCUUUUACUCGCAUAUGUCUGAAAUAGUUUACCUUUGCUCUUAUAUAUGUCUUAGUUGAUCAUGAAACACUUUGGAUGAAUAUGGUGUCACUUCUGUUGAUGCUAAUUACUUUUGUUGCAUGUUUUGAAUAGAAAAUGUCAUUAGCAGAACAUCAAUAAUCUGUGAUUGGAUUAUAAUGUUGAUUCUUUUGCUAGACAAGUUCGUUACUCUAAAACUGAAGACAUCCAGUUUGCCGGUGACUUUUGUUGAGAUGGGCAUUUGAACAAGGUCUGGAAGAAGAAAUGUCAUGUCCCUUUUCAUGGUAGUUUCACUUAUUUCCUGUCAAAGAAAAAGUGUUAAUUCUAGUUGUAUGGUCAGCAUUUUUUGCAACAUGCACCCCACUAUCCCAAUGCAAAUAUGUAGUGUUGACUUUGGACGCCCUGUAACACAAACAACAAGUGGCUGUCGCUGUAUUUUUUUUUUUUUGAAAUAACAAGUGUUUGUUCUACUUCUACCAUGUCUGCUUAUAUGUUUUCAGAUACAAGUAAAUGAACCACGAACAAGAGUGAAAGACGGCACCAUCUGUAAAUAGCAUACCUUGGAAAAAAAAUUAUCUUCCGGUUUCUCUCCCGUUUUGUAAACGAGUUUGUCUCCCAUUUUUCACACAGGGCAAGGAUAUCAGCCUCGAGCCUCCAAGACAAACUGAAACCAACCCUGCCAUUUGUCAUUUGCUCCCUUCUCUGUAUCAGGGACAGCGCCAGUGUUUAUGAAGAGAUUGAUCUGAUUAGAAGGAAGGUUUGGCUGUAAGAAGACACUCUCUGGAGUCUAGACAUGUAGAAUUUUUGUUUUCCGAACAGAAAGUGCUCCAGACGACUAAAAGAGUGUCGUUCACUUUCCGAAGUACUUCAGUCAGUACGUACAGCGUUUCAUCGUCAUUUCUGAAACAAAAAGUACAGAAUGAAACCUGCACCUUUGUCGUGCCCCUCUCAUUUGCUUGCCUCACGGUGUCGUAGACGGCGCUGUUGUUCAGGAGGAACGAGAUUGUUUCUCCCUUUGUUGUUCGCGGUUUAAAAGUGGAUGGAUGUAGGAGGGCACUCUUGUGCACAUAAGGAUGUUCAUAAAUCUAUGGGAGCUCAAAAUAUCAGUAAUAAGCUUGGGUUCGCUCGCUUCUGACCAUACAUAUGAAUUGUGGCAGCCGGCUAGCAAGGAAUCUAUGGGCCAAAACCCACUUCUUUUCAGUUUCUGAAUCUACAAACCUAGAACCAGCUGAGGAAUCUGAAAAGAACUAGCCAUAUGUUGUGGAAGGCGCUGGUCGCUGAUGACCUGGUUAAUUAGGCCAGCACAACUACCAUCUCCCUACAUGAAAUAACACAUCCACAAGCAAAGAAAAAACCUCUUUCUGUAUCCUUCUCUCCUUCGCUAGAUUCAGACAGAAGAGAGAGGGCUGUCGCCCAGGGAGAUAUUAGUACAAUGCUGCCGUGAGGUUUAGCCCAAUAUAUUUGUGUAUAUUCCUACUUUUAUGUUUUUUGGGGUUGAUUUUUUAAAGGGGUCUAGUGGAAAUGUGACAUGUACGGUUUAGCCCAAUAUUACCAAUGACGGCCCAUUAGCCAUCCCUGUCGCUGUACGUUUAAAUCCCCUCCCCCGCCCCCUAGGUUUCAUCGCCCCGCUGCUCCGCGUUUGACGGCGCUGCCGCCGCCGCCAUGUCCACACCGGUGGAUCGAGCUCGCCCGUGGGAGGANNNNNNNNNNNNNNNNNNNNNNNNNNNNNNNNNNNNNNNNNNNNNNNNNNNNNNNNNNNNNNNNNNNNNNNNNNNNNNNNNNNNNNNNNNNNNNNNNNNNNNNNNNNNNNNNNNNNNNNNNNNNNNNNNNNNNNNNNNNNNNNNNNNNNNNNNNNNNNNNNNNNNNNNNNNNNNNNNNNNNNNNNNNNNNNNNNNNNNNNNNNNNNNNNNNNNNNNNNNNNNNNNNNNNNNNNNNNNNNNNNNNNNNNNNNNNNNNNNNNNNNNNNNNNNNNNNNNNNNNNNNNNNNNNNNNNNNNNNNNNNNNNNNNNNNNNNNNNNNNNNNNNNNNNNNNNNNNNNNNNNNNNNNNNNNNNNNNNNNNNNNNNNNNNNNNNNNNNNNNNNNNNNNNNNNNNNNNNNNNNNNNNNNNNNNNNNNNNNNNNNNNNNNNNNNNNNNNNNNNNNNNNNNNNNNNNNNNNNNNNNNNNNNNNNNNNNNNNNNNNNNNNNNNNNNNNNNNNNNNNNNNNNNNNNNNNNNNNNNNNNNNNNNNNNNNNNNNNNNNNNNNNNNNNNNNNNNNNNNNNNNNNNNNNNNNNNNNNNNNNNNNNNNNNNNNNNNNNNNNNNNNNNNNNNNNNNNNNNNNNNNNNNNNNNNNNNNNNNNNNNNNNNNNNNNNNNNNNNNNNNNNNNNNNNNNNNNNNNNNNNNNNNNNNNNNNNNNNNNNNNNNNNNNNNNNNNNNNNNNNNNNNNNNNNNNNNNNNNNNNNNNNNNNNNNNNNNNNNNNNNNNNNNNNNNNNNNNNNNNNNNNNNNNNNNNNNNNNNNNNNNNNNNNNNNNNNNNNNNNNNNNNNNNNNNNNNNNNNNNNNNNNNNNNNNNNNNNNNNNNNNNNNNNNNNNNNNNNNNNNNNNNNNNNNNNNNNNNNNNNNNNNNNNNNNNNNNNNNNNNNNNNNNNNNNNNNNNNNNNNNNNNNNNNNNNNNNNNNNNNNNNNNNNNNNNNNNNNNNNNNNNNNNNNNNNNNNNNNNNNNNNNNNNNNNNNNNNNNNNNNNNNNNNNNNNNNNNNNNNNNNNNNNNNNNNNNNNNNNNNNNNNNNNNNNNNNNNNNNNNNNNNNNNNNNNNNNNNNNNNNNNNNNNNNNNNNNNNNNNNNNNNNNNNNNNNNNNNNNNNNNNNNNNNNNNNNNNNNNNNNNNNNNNNNNNNNNNNNNNNNNNNNNNNNNNNNNNNNNNNNNNNNNNNNNNNNNNNNNNNNNNNNNNNNNNNNNNNNNNNNNNNNNNNNNNNNNNNNNNNNNNNNNNNNNNNNNNNNNNNNNNNNNNNNNNNNNNNNNNNNNNNNNNNNNNNNNNNNNNNNNNNNNNNNNNNNNNNNNNNNNNNNNNNNNNNNNNNNNNNNNNNNNNNNNNNNNNNNNNNNNNNNNNNNNNNNNNNNNNNNNNNNNNNNNNNNNNNNNNNNNNNNNNNNNNNNNNNNNNNNNNNNNNNNNNNNNNNNNNNNNNNNNNNNNNNNNNNNNNNNNNNNNNNNNNNNNNNNNNNNNNNNNNNNNNNNNNNNNNNNNNNNNNNNNNNNNNNNNNNNNNNNNNNNNNNNNNNNNNNNNNNNNNNNNNNNNNNNNNNNNNNNNNNNNNNNNNNNNNNNNNNNNNNNNNNNNNNNNNNNNNNNNNNNNNNNNNNNNNNNNNNNNNNNNNNNNNNNNNNNNNNNNNNNNNNNNNNNNNNNNNNNNNNNNNNNNNNNNNNNNNNNNNNNNNNNNNNNNNNNNNNNNNNNNNNNNNNNNNNNNNNNNNNNNNNNNNNNNNNNNNNNNNNNNNNNNNNNNNNNNNNNNNNNNNNNNNNNNNNNNNNNNNNNNNNNNNNNNNNNNNNNNNNNNNNNNNNNNNNNNNNNNNNNNNNNNNNNNNNNNNNNNNNNNNNNNNNNNNNNNNNNNNNNNNNNNNNNNNNNNNNNNNNNNNNNNNNNNNNNNNNNNNNNNNNNNNNNNNNNNNNNNNNNNNNNNNNNNNNNNNNNNNNNNNNNNNNNNNNNNNNNNNNNNNNNNNNNNNNNNNNNNNNNNNNNNNNNNNNNNNNNNNNNNNNNNNNNNNNNNNNNNNNNNNNNNNNNNNNNNNNNNNNNNNNNNNNNNNNNNNNNNNNNNNNNNNNNNNNNNNNNNNNNNNNNNNNNNNNNNNNNNNNNNNNNNNNNNNNNNNNNNNNNNNNNNNNNNNNNNNNNNNNNNNNNNNNNNNNNNNNNNNNNNNNNNNNNNNNNNNNNNNNNNNNNNNNNNNNNNNNNNNNNNNNNNNNNNNNNNNNNNNNNNNNNNNNNNNNNNNNNNNNNNNNNNNNNNNNNNNNNNNNNNNNNNNNNNNNNNNNNNNNNNNNNNNNNNNNNNNNNNNNNNNNNNNNNNNNNNNNNNNNNNNNNNNNNNNNNNNNNNNNNNNNNNNNNNNNNNNNNNNNNNNNNNNNNNNNNNNNNNNNNNNNNNNNNNNNNNNNNNNNNNNNNNNCAGUGUGUCCGUCUCAAACCGGACAAUGGCCGUUAGUCAUACAUUUAUGUAGUUGCAGUGGACACGAACGGGGAAACAUGGAUGAAAUCCGGUGUCUCUACUAGUUUGGUUGAUGGUUUUACUUCGAGGACAUAGGGUCGUGUUGGAGCUGGGAGUGCAGUGUUCGGCGGUUUGGUGGCACUCUUUCUAGGGCCAUUGCAUGGUCUGAUGUUGGUUGCACCCCUUCGGGCCUAAUCGUCAAACCUCUGCCCCGAGGAGCUGGCAGCAUUCUACGCCGGAACUCCGUCUAAUCCGUCCUGGCAAACGAACUUGAGACAUGUUGAACCGGGGAAAACUGACUGGAAGAAAAAGCGCGAACAUCCAUCCGAGCGUUGCCCCGCGAGGACUAAACCAUAACCUAUCUACUAGCCAGAGCCGAGGCCACCAGGAUUGCCCUCCCCGCCAUCGACCGCCAGAGCGGCAGCCAAAAUGGAGACAUAUCCAUAGGCUUGCCGGGGUAGGCGAGGGAAAGAAGGUUUUGCCUUAAUCGUCUUGUGAGACGAAAGAGAAAAUUAAAUUGUUCUUGUUCCAUCGUCAACCCAUUGUUAUAGCUCAUUUUACGGAAUAAUGCAUUGUUGUUCAGGACUUCUAUUCCCAGGUCACAAGCGAUAUUGAGAACAAGAAAUUUUCCUUGGAAUUAUCAAGAGAAUUUAGAAGGUUAUCUUUUUUUCAGCUGUGUUAGGUCAUUUUGCACUUGUCCAUGUGUGACAAAAGAAGGCAACAAGCUGCUAAUGCGGGCAUGAGAAGGCCCUGAAUGCGUCAGAGUGAUGAAUUGCCGAGAGAGCUUCAUUGUUUAGCCCAUUCGGCGACCAAGUGACGGCCAUUGGCUAACGCAAGAAAACCGAAGUCCGGAGCCUAGUCGCAGUGCUUCAAUACCCUUCUGCCUUAUCGCUACGGCACCACCGCCGCCAUGUCCAUGUCUGCGGAUUGCUCUCGCCCGCGGGAGUAAGUCUACUGUUGGAAAUAAUCCAUACCUAGUCACGUUACUCACGUACUAGUAUGCUACAAUAGUUAAUUAGGAGUACUAGUCGUCAACCCGUGCAUCCGCACGGGGCUAGUCAUUUUGCAAAUGUGUGGAGAUAUUAAUAAUAUACUAUAUACAUGGAUGUUGACAUAUUUUAAAUAUAGAAAAAUAAAAAAUUCAUAAUAUUUUUUUAGAAAAAUAAUACUACUGUGGAAGUACACUAUAUCACAUAUUCAUUAGUCAUGUUAGAGGAAUUUUUUUUGCAAAAGUAGCUAGCAUUAAUAUAUUGAUCCGAUUUUAAGUGAACUGUUGCACUCUCCAAUGUGUUGCAAGAGCCUUAUCUUAGUCAUCACUGUUUUACUUAACCUUAUUAGGUACAAAAAAAUGGAAAAUAUAAAUAGUAGAGAAUCGACAAAUAGUAUGUAGGGCAUGAAUUUCAAAUAUGCAAAUCAAAACGAACAUAAUACAUUAGGAGCCAUUGGAUCAUAUAUGACUUCAAUGAAACAAUCGACCUAUUAUAAAAAUCAAGCAAUAACUUGAAACAUUUCAUCACAUGAUUUUAUAACAUACACCUCGUUUAUUGUCCUUUUUGGCGGUACAAAUGAGCAAUGGAAACCUAAGUAACAGCAGUAUCAUAGCAAUAUCUUUACCAAACUUCGUCCAUUAUUAAUUACAAAUCACCUGGAAAUGAGAAUAUCACAUUAACUAAAUUUGAAACUUUUAUUUCAUUUGUUUGAACUAUUGAGGGUUGGAGGGUACCCUAAUCCUCAGAAAUUUGAACCCCUAAUUGGACUCUCUAAUGCAAACCUUCCUUUUUUGCCAAUGUUUUCACUGCUACUUAGCACAGACCAUCAUAAGCUAAAUACUUCAAUUUUUAUGCAGAUGUAUGAUGAGCAGUGCUAGUAAUUUCAUGAAAAAUGUGUAUGUGAAAAGAACACCUGAAAUUAGUAAAGCGAUGCAUGUUUACUCUAGUGCUCUGAAAGCUUAUUAACCUGGCAGAAUAUGACCAUGCUGCAUUUGAGGGUGACCAUAAUGUUCUACUCUAGCAGUUUAUUUCAUUUAUUGUUGUUUAUUGUCCGUGCCCGUGACUGGAAGAUACGUCAAGAUUGGCUUCAUUGCACCCACUGUUUUAAAUAGCCCGCUAUAGCACGCUAUAGUGUUUACAAAGCGUCUUGCCCUAAGAGAUUUUUGUCCAAACAAAUGAACAAACAUUUUAAAUAGCGCGAUAUAGCUCCGCUAUAGCACGCUAUAGCAUUUGGAAGAGGUCCGCCGCUAAGAUGCUUAGCGCGCUAUUUAAAACUAUGAUUGCACCUAAUUUAAUCGUGUUGACGCAGGUAAGCAAUGCGCUGUUCACCACAAUAAGAAAAUUACCAGGUUAUUCCAGAUGUUCAUUUCUUUAACAUAUCAAGUAUAGCAGAUAUAAGCAAAAGGUUCUGUAGAAAAGCAAAGCAGACAUUAGUUUAUACCAACAUACUUCUAUGCACCUAUAGCAUUCAGAUCUCCAUAGUCGAUACAACCUGAUGAUUUUAAUGCAUUUAAACUAUAUUUUAAGAAUACAUUAUGUAAUUAUACUUGCUAGAAACUUAUGAAAUUCAACUAUUUUGACAGGUUAUUAUCAAGGAAAAGAUUGACAAAAUGUACCGACAGAAAACCAAUCAUCUAUGAUAACAAAAAUUUAAAGGGCUAUUUGUGGAAACGAAAUGUAAAAAAGCAGCAUUAGCAAUGCAUCAAAAUUACAAACCAUCUUAUAACAAAAUAGUACACCACAAAACUUAUGGCCAGAAUAAUCGAGAAAAACGUAUAUCUAUAGUGAUCUUCCAGUGCACCCAAGACUGAAAUAAAAUAGAAGCUAAAGGAACAAAUUUAAUUAGGAGCACAUAGCUAAAUAUACUUCAGUUUUGUAAUCCAAAAAGAUAAAUUUAUCUAAAUGACAAAAAAAGAUAAAUCUUUGCAAGUACAAAAAUUGCAACUUAAUAGCGCACCAGAUAAUAAUCCAAGCAAACUUGUAGGUAUAGCCGAACAUGCUAGCAUUGGCAUCAGAUCAAUGGAUUGGGCAGCGUGUUUCUCCGCCCAGCAAAUAGACAUUGCCAAGCACUCCUAUAUGUUCAGGUCCUCAACGUGAGAAUCUUUAAAGGUGAUUUCCUUACUUUGUUGGGAUAGUACAAUGGUAUCAUAACCAAGCUAGGGAGAUUUUAUAUUUAACCUACAUAUGAUAAUAUAUUGUACUGUAAGUUAGAGUCACAUCCGAUUUAUUUGAAAAGCUUAUUAAGGAGGUAAUAGUAAUUAAUGCAACAACUGCAAAUAGAAAUUGUUUCUCAGUGUUCCUCCUGACUUAUGAACAUGUAUUUAUAUGUUUGCAUCAUCAAAAACCCAGUGGAGCUUAGCACAUCAUUUUUUCCAAGUGAACGUAAAUGUGAGAGCAUAUAUUUGACUGGAAGGCUACUGCUCCAUGCUCGGUGGCAUAUAUUAAUUUAGUGCUACCAUUGGUGUCGCUUCCAAGUAUGAUUUGGCGAGUCAACAUGGGGGUCGUCUUUCUAUAGGACCUGUGUAAUCCUUGCCAUGCCAUCUGGUUAAGUUUUAGCACCCCCGUGUCAAUUCUCCAUAUUCUUGUGUAUAACGUUAUUGGAUGAGCUGUGAAGACCGGUCCAGUUCAUCUGCAUAACUGACGUUAAAGCAAGUAAAAGGCAAGAAAAUAUAAAGAACUAGAGCAAUAGUCAAUAUUUUGGGACGGAGGGAGUACUUUAUUUAAAUAGAUUAUGUCAAAACUAAACUGGAGAAGUAAAAUCCUUUAUAAUCUUAAGAAUACAUACAAUGAAUCAAAAUCUAAAUUCAUCAUUGAUGCCAAUUAAUUAUCAUCUAACUGUCAAUUAAGUGAAUAGUAAAUCUAAUGAAGACAUUUUUUCAAGGUUUUCAUAUAUACUAAGGAUGAAUGCACGGUACAUACCUAUUGGACGUGAGGGAGAGGUUGAGAUAACCAAAAGGAAUAAAUAUGUGGGUCAACUUAGAAAACAAAACAUAGCUUCACCUGCACUAGUGCAGAACCGGGCAAUAGCACCGGUUCGUAAGGCCCUUUAGUGCCGGUUCCAUAACCGGCACUAAAGUGUGGUCACUAAAGCCCCCCCCCCUUUAGUACCGGUUCUGCACGAACCGGUGCUAAAGGGAAACCACGUGGCACGAGCCAGCUCCGGGGGCCUGGAGCCCUUUAGUACCGGUUGGUAACACCAACCGGUACUAUAAGGUUUGGGGGGUUUUUAGUUUUUUAUGAUUUCUUUUUCAUUUAAUUUUGUGUUUCCAUUUUAAUUCUUUUUCGUUUGCUGGUAUUUUACGAUACUACACAUUAUAAACGUUAUGCAUAUAUAAUUUCUAGUAGAACCAAUCAUCGAGUUCAACAUGAUUGUCAUGAUAUUAUAAGCGUUCAUAUAUAACACCACAAAAAGCAAAUCACUUAAGUUCAGAACGAAGAACACGGACAUGAAAGGCCAAGUACUAAUUAAGAGCAGCAUGAAGAACUAGCUAAAUCACUCCUGCUAGCUACUCUCUCUCUGGUAAAAUAGCAUAGAACAUGUAUAGCUCUCCUGAUUGAUCAUACUGGAGCAUGCCGAUGAACCUGUCUCCUAAUCGUGGGCUGCGCUUCUCAUUGCUGCCCCCUAGUACUUCUCUGCGAUCAUUAACAAUUUUCCUUCAAUCUUUCACUAUUAAGCAUUCAUCGCUUCUAGAAAUCCUGAAUGCAUUCAUGUGCAAUGUAGGAUAUCUUGGCCUUAAGCUAACAAUUAACAUCUGACCUUUAGUCUCGAUCCCCUGAGGCACAACUGUCAUCGAGAGUCCCUGUUGAAGAACAUCGUAUAGUACUUAAUUAAUAUACUCAGCAAUGAAAGUUUUAAAAAAAUAUGUAUGCAAAAUAUGCACUGAGGACAAAUAGUAAAUAUCUUACCAUCAUUCCUAAAUAGAUGUGACCGUAGUUCAAUACCAUCACUAUUGGUCGCACGUUUUGAGUAUUAACAUUUCCAAGUGCAGCAAAAAAAUUUGUCUUGACAGUAUGAAGAUCCUCAAGCCAUGAAACAUAAUGACUUAUCUCCUCGCAGUUUAGUUCAGCUCCGGGACAGUAGAAGGUCCUGUGUACCAAGCGCCGGACAUGUUUGGUUGAAUGGAGAUAAGCUGUCAAUAGAAAUUAGUUGUCAGUUAUUUUUGAAAUAAGCAAUAUCAAAGACAAAAAUAUAUUUGAGAAGAACUCACAUAAUGGUAGAACUGGAGGCGUCUGCACAUCGACCCAUAUGUCUCUAUUACCUUCAAUAUCAUCUUCCAGACGAAUAUCAAAGGUGAUAACCAUACCAGGCUCAAAUGCAUAAGCCUUGCAUAGUGCUUGCCAAGUUUUGCAUUCAAAAUAGGUGUACGUGUGUGCAUUGUAUACUUUGACGUUGAAAGUAUAACCAUCAUGCUCAGUGUUCAGGUAAGCUCUCUUUACCUCCAUAGUUUCCAUAUCUUUGAAACCUAUCUUAUCCAAGACAAAAAUUCUUGCAUGGCAUGGGAUGCGCUAGUAGAAUAGUGAAAAUUAAAAAUUAUAAGUCAGGCAAAUGAAGCAUAUAUAAGUCAUGCUUAAUUAUGAAAACAGACUUGUUGUUGUGACUUACUGUAUCGAAUUCGAAAGUCUCAUCCAGCUUGAUGCUAAAUCGCUUACCAUCAACAAGGAAAUUUCUGCGCACUGGCCGUGCUCGUCUUCACAGUAUGUGCACAUACCGAAAUUUCUUUCGUCGUCAGAUGACAUUUCCUAUGUUCAUAUUAGGCGAAACAUUAAACACUUACUAAUUCUAUUAAUUCAACUACUUACUAAUUCUAUUAAUUCAACUAAGCAUUUACUAAAAAUAAACUAGUUAUAUUAAUUCAGUUAGUUCAACUAAGCCUUUAGUAAAAAUAAACUAGUUAUAUUAAUUCAAUUAGUUCAACUAAGCAUUUACUAAAAAUAAACUAGUUCUAUAUAUUAAUUCAACUAGUUCAACUAAGCAUUUACUAAAAAUAAACUAGUUCUAUAUAUUAAUUCAACUAGUUCAAUUAAGCAUUUACUAAAAUUAAACUAGUUCAAAUAUAUAUCUAACUAUAAUAUUUUAAUUAGAUAAUCAAAUCUCAGAUACGACAAUUUUCUUACUAAAAAUAAACUAGUUAUAUUAAUUAUUCAACUAGUUUAAAUCUCAUAUACCUAAAUAAACUAGUUCGACAAUUUUCUUACUAAAAAUAAACUAGUUAUAUUAAUUAUUCAACUAGUUCAAAUCUCACAUACCUAGCUAAUUAAUAUCUAAUUAAAUUUUCUAAAAAACAGAAAACAGAAAACAGAAAAUAAGUAAAAAAUGUGUGUGUGUGUGUGUGUAUGUGUGUAGUGUGUGUAUAUGUGUGUAUGUGUGUGUACGCCGCCCCGUACGCCGCCGCCCCAUACGUACGAGCGGGGGCGCCGGCAUACGGGGCGGGGGCGCCGGCGCACGGGUGCGAGAGACGACGUACGGGACCGCGGCGACGACGAUGGACGGCGGCGGCGUUCGGGGCGGCGGUGCGAGACGAUGACGACGACAGGCGGCGGCGAGGACAGCGACGACGACGACGGACAACGGGCGACGGGCGGCGACGACGGUAUCGAGCGGCGCGCGGCGAUGUCGAGAGGUUGGAGACAAAAGUGGGGAGAUGUAACUGAAAUUUUCGUAAGUCCUAUAUAUAUAGGAUGGGCCUUUAGUACCGGUUGGAGCCACCAACCGGUACUAAAGGCUAACUUUGACCAGGCCAAGAGGCGGGAAGAGCAGGCCUUUAGUACCGGUUGGUGGCUCCAACCGGUACUAAAGGGUGAUCUGUAGUACCGGUUGGAGCCACCAACCGGUACUAAAGGCCUCGCGCUGCCACCCCAAAGUUUAGUCCCACCUCGCCGGGCGAAGGGCAGCCGCACUGAUUUAUAAACCCAGCCGCGGCUACCUCUUUGAACUCCUCUAUAUAGCAGGCUUGUGGGCCUAAAUUCUGCGCGCUGCCCUGUGAGUCUGCUGGGCCUUUAAGGCCUCUAAUUGCACGCCCGUGGCCUAGCAGGCCCACAGGGCAGUGCCCCAAUUUUUUUUAUAGUUUUUUUCUUUUCUGCUUUAUUUUCUUCUAUUUAUUUCUGCGUAGUUUUUUGUAUAGUUUUUCUUUUCUGUUAUAUUUAUCUUCUUCUAUUUAUUUCUGAGUAGUUUUUCAUCUAGUUUGCCAAAAUUCACCAUUUUCAGAAUUCAUUUUGUAAUGAUUUUCAAUUUCACAGUCAUUUUAUAUAGUUUUUUUCUUUUCAACUAUAGUUUUUUUUCCUGUUAUUUUUUCUUUUCUGCAAAACUUGAUGGUCAAAGUCUGGAGUUAUAACCAAAGUUAAAAAAAAAAAAAGAAAUGCCGACGUGCAAUUAGUUUUUGCCAUAACAGAAGAAGUCCGGAGUUGUAAUAAGUUAUUAAAAAUAAAAAAGAGGUGCAAUGCUCGUUAAUUUGCUUCAAGCCUUUCGGAAUAGUGUAAACUGCACUGCGCAUAGCUCCGUGCAGUCUACCAUAUUCCUGAAGGCUUCAAGCUAAGCAACGUGAGCAUUGAGCCUCUUCUUCAUCGUCUCUGCACUCAGGGCUUAUAAACCGCUCCUAGUCCCUCUCUCUUCGCGAGGUGGGACUAAAAAACAGCUUACUAAGAAACUGUAGUACUGGUUCAUCCAUGAACCGGUACUAAAGGUGCUCGUGCGGCCCCAGCUAUCCUUACCUGACACAAUCUCAUUAGUACCAGUUCGUGACACGAACCGGUGCUAAAGGUUCGCCACGAACCGGUACUAAACAGCUCCUCCCGCCUAGCAGUUGGUGCAUACUGAACGCAAAAAGUAUAAGAGCAUUUAGAUCAUGAUCUUAUAUUUCUUUACAGUCUAAAUUGUCAAUAUGAUCUUAUAACAUCAAAAAUACUUUGAUCAUCAAUGAUCUUUGUGUGUACAAUCUGAAUUGUCAAUAUGAGUCAUCAACGAUUUAUAAACCGAUGAAGACUCAUAUUGCGGCCACAAAUUCUACACAUAGAGUUCAAUGAAGACCAAGUGCUUUUAAUAGUUUGAGAAAUAACAUAUUUAAGGUGGUAAAAGGCUUGUUAGGGGAGCGAGGUGGGACUAAAAACAGCUUGCCAUAACCUCAUUAGUACCGGUUCGUGGUACGAACCGGCACUAAAUGGUGAUGGUGGGGCCAUAUCCUGACCGCAGGCUGACACAACCUCUUUAGUACCGGUUCGUGGCAUGAACCGGUACUAAAGGUUCGCCACGAACCGGUGCUAUUGAUCGCCGCCACGAACCGGCACUAAUGUACACAUUAGUGCCGGCUGAAAUUCAAAUCGGCACUAUUGUGCUUCACAUUUGACCCUUUUUCUACUAGUGCUGGUUGCCCUAUGCAUUUGGUGCCGAGGGCCGAGGCUCCUUUUCCUUUACACAAGAAUCAAUCCACCUGGCUUCCUUUUCAGCCGGCGUACAUGUACAGGUGGACGUUGCUGCUCACUAAUUACAGCAUCGCCCAUCAACUGAUUCUUGGAUCGAGCCUUUCUAAAUACAUGUGCACGUUCUGCGGCCGGCAAAUAAUCGCAGGGCAAGCUUGUUCCUCGUCAGAGAGUAAUAGGCAAGAGCAACAAUAUAUGCUUGGAGUCAGCUACAUGCCUGCACCAAAUUGUUUCCAUUAGUUGGGGACUGAGACAUGUACAGUUGGGCGCUGCAAUGGUUAAUCCCCAUGGCAUGGAGUAGGGAGGCUGAAGCUCCUCUGCCUUGAUGUAUGCAUGAGUGGAUCCUGAUGAGCGAGUAUUCUAGGAAACUAACAGGUAAUCAGCGACCUGAUGUAAAGCAACCAAUGUGAUACAAAUGCAAUUUUGUUAGCCAGUACAUGAAAGACAGUUCCACAUUAGUAAUGAAAACGCUAUGUACUAAAAAGGAUUACAUGCCCAAAGGACAUAAUAGUGUAUAUAUCCUACUAUUACUUCAUAUGCUUCAACAAAUUCCUGAGGAAAACUCUGCUAUAGGAAUUCAAGUGUUGGCACUUUAACAAUUCAACGAACAGUUGAGUGCAUUACCAAACAGAAAACAUAAUUGGAUCCCUACGUGCAUAAGAAAGGACCGGAAGAGUGAAAACAGAUUGUUGGCUGGAACAGUACCUCAAUAUCAGGUUGAUCUCGUAUUCGUCUAAAUCGUCGAUGGGCAUGCCCAUGUCCAACCGCCUGCAGUAUAUGUGUGUGGUGCGUGUCUCACCAUGUAGCUGGUCCUAUGCUUGAACGAUUCAUGUCAUCUUCCUCUGCCGCCAUGAUGUUUCAGCACCGCCCCCUGAUGGCAUCUCUUUCAUGUUCCUAAGCAACCUCCACUUUCUCUAUGAAGUGGCGGCUGUGUGCUGCCACGAUGAAUGCACGGUGGUGAGGAGAUAAAAGAAAGCGUCCUUGCAUCUAGCAAAUGGGAGUCAUGCGCCCCCAUGAGAAAUUUCCGGCGGCGAGAGAAAAAUAGGUCGGUCUCGCAGAAAGAUAAAAAGUAGGUGGAAGUCACGAGAACCAAAGUCGGCCAUAGUUUUCUUGAGGGUGAUAUAUAGGCAUGGUCAUCAUUUAGAUGAGACCAUAAAUCCUUUUUUUUCUCUUGGAGGAGAGGGUGGCUGGGUGCUAGGGAAGAUCGAGAGGCAUGGGUUAGCGACGAUAAGCUGAACUGGCGUCGAGGAGAUCGGAGGUACUCCCUCCGUUCGGAAUUACUCGUCCAAGAAGUGAAUGUAUCUAGAUGUAUUUUAGUUGUAGAUACAUUCAUUUUUGUGACAAGUAAUUCCGAACGGAGGGAGUAACACGGAGGGAAUCGUCUUGGGUUCCUCUUUUUUUCCAACAAAACGAACUUGGAUCCUAUUUUUUUACGAAGGAUUAAGGUGGCUCUUUGAAAAGAACUUUGGCAGAGGUCGUUAGCUAUUUUUUCCCUCAAAACAAUCACGAGAGAGAGAUGCUUACGUGACAGUUGUUUUUCAUGUGGGAGAUUGAGAAAUUUAGGUCGUGAGGGACGUGACUUUUUUUUCAGCCCAAAAUCAUAGGCGAGUGAUGGGCGCCGGUGCGCCCGCCGAAAUUUCGGCCGGUCGCACCGGGUACGUAUGAUUAGCUCGUAAAUAGCCGCACGAUGCCUACGUUUCAUAACUGAUUUCGCUAGUUAAAAGAAGAAACCGUGUCGCAUAUUUCAUCCCGAGCAAUUCUUGUUAUCCGCCACAUGUGAACCAGCUUACCGGCCGCCCACGUUGCCGCCGGCCGCCGGCCUCGUCGUUGCCGGCCACCGCCCUCGACCGCCCCCGUAUCCCUGGACGUCCUCCCAGCCGCGGGCCGCCGGCUCCUCUCCAGUGUCUCGUCGCUUGUUCCCAGCGUAGCCCGCACCCGGUUGCAGCAUCCCCGAUUCAUCGUGGUUCUCGUCGGCUCCGCCGCAUGAAGCUCCUGCCGAUGAAGGUCGCAGCUUCCACAAAGGAGGGCCGCCAUUGCAUCAAUGGUGAGGUGCCAGUUUCAACUUUUUGUCGCCGGGUUGAAACUUUUAAAAAAUAGGGUUGAAGCUUUUCAUGUCAACAAUUGCAACUUUUCAAAAAACUAACCUCGCCAGUAGUAGCGAAAGCAAACAGUGGUAGAUGGCGGUUGCAGCAAAAAAUCGUCCUCGCUGGAAGUAGCAAAUUGUCUCGCCGGUAGUAGCAAAAUUAGACGGCGGUUGCAACAAAAACUGGUCAUCGCCCAGUCGCGGGGCGCGGUAUGGCCAAUUGGUUGUAGCAAAAAAAAUGUGGUUGUAGCAAAAAAAGAUGACGGUGGUAGUAAAUCAUCUCGUUGUCGUCACUGGGUGCAGCUCCCUCAUGAUGAAUGUAUCAAAAUUGCUCACCGGUGGUAGCAAAAACUGAGGACGGUUGCAACAAAAAAAAUGAACCGCCAUAGUAGGUCGCAACUCUGCCAUGAUGGAUGUAGCAAAUCUGUCGCCGGUAGUAGCAAAAUUCAAUGACGGUUGCAGCUUCUGGCUCAACUUGUUGCGGCUUUCAGAGGUAGCGGAUUCCAUGGCGGUGUAGCGCGUCCGCGUUGUAGCAGGAUGUGAUGCCGGUUGUUUCCCGGAGCAGCGUCGCCACGUCUUCGCCGACACGGGUGGUAGCUUUCUUUUUUUGCUGCAUCAGCUCCACAGCAACGCUCACAUCAGCGGCGCUCGCGCCAAUGGUAUGUCUUCUUGAAGCACGGCCGUGUAGGGGAGGUCAGCCUGUGGUAGCCUUACCGGAGCUAGGAUGCGUCAAUGUGUGCGAGAGGUUGUGCAGGCGGAAGAGCAACAGAUGAAAAAAGAGGAAGAAAAGACGAUGCAGGCAAUACGAUUUCUGUGGACGAAGAGGCUCUGGGGAUAAAGAUGUGCGUGGGGACCCAUGUCCAUGUGGAGCGCGUGCAGUGGACCGGCGCAAAGUUCCGCCGGCGCACCAGUCGUAAAUGUUUCCCAUCGUCAAUUCUGUUUGGUACUCUGCUGCUUUUCCCAUCGGCGCUACUCUGCGCCGGUGCGCCUGCCGAGUCGCCCCGCCGGUCGUAGCACAUCUGUUGGAUUCGUCCCAGUUGUAACCAUUGAAUCAGUAUCCUUUUUGUUGUUAGGGCAUGCAAAGCUGAAAGCACUGAACUCAAGCAAAACUGAACGCGCUAAACGCAAGCAACCCAUCAUCUGCUAGCGUCAAAUGCGUCACCUUUGCCAUGCGCUGCACCAUUGCUCGUCGACUCGCUACGCCUAGCUCUCGUGAAUGUCGCGUCCGUCGACACAGCUCGUCGUGGCUGCCAUGCAUCGCCGUCGCACCUUGCUGCUGCCGCCUCGCGGCACCCAGCCAUCCGCCCGCACAAAAGGCGCUGUCAUCGAUUCGCGACGCCCCAGUUCUCGUGAAUGCCCCAUCCACCAUCACAGCUUGCCGUCAUCACCCUGCAUUACCGUCGCAACUUAUCCUCGUCGCUCGCCAUUGUUGGUUUGUCGUCUCCUAUUUGAAGCUUUUUCAGUUGCCGGAUGUAACAUUCUCAGGUGCUGGUUGCAGCUUUUCGCGGUUGAGCAGCAGCCGCUGCCAGCUUCCUCGUCUCCUGUUGAAGCUUUUCCAGAUGGCAGAUGUAGCUUUUUAGAAUGCCGGUUGUAGCAUUUGGAGAUGCCGGUUGCAACUUCUUCACGCGUUGGUCAGCCGCCCUGCUCUCUGGUUCCAGCAAAAAAAACGUUGGUCGUAGCAUUUGUGAUGCUGGUUGCAGCUCCGUUGAACACCGGUUGCAACCCUCAUUUUCUCCGCAUCCAGCAAAAAAGAGUGAUGGACGUAGCAAUUGGCGUUGCUGGUUGCAGCUUUGCCUCGUGUCGGUCGCAAUUUCAUCAUAGUUGGUUGUAGCAAAACAGUGCGACGCGUCGCACCUUGCAGCUUCACCGGCCACGGAUGCAACUCCGACCAAUGACGUAGCUUCGCCAGCCACGGCCAUGUUUUAGAGAUUAAAGAAGGAAAUCAUCACAUCAAUAGAUUGGUAGGAGGGAGAGGAUAAGAGGUGGAUUCAUGGAGUUUGAACGGAAGGAGCACUCCACCCGUGUGGAGUAGAAGACGAGGGAUGGUGAUUUUGUUGAGAGGAAUAAAAAGAAAAGGAUAAGCACGUGUGUGGUCAAAGAGAGGACAAGUGGGCUUAUACAUGGGCUGAAAUAAAAACGCGUCCAGGGCUAGCUUGCCGAACCCACCUGGAUCUAACGAGCAGCCAGCGACCGGCCGAAACGCUAGCCGGUCGACCGGCUUCAAUCGUUUCCCAAAAUCAUAUGGUAGAUUGUAUCGUAAUCUCUAGCAUCCAACAACCUGGGAGGGUUUAGAAGUAAAUAGGAGAGAACGCAGAUUUUCCAUCUUUUUGUCUUUUUGAGGAAACGUGGAGAGUCCAAGGUGAGUACGACUACCACAACAAUCUCGUGACCAACCCAAAAAUCAGUUUUUUUCUCAUGAACCCAGGAAAAAUUCGAAAGAUCUAGACCGUAAUAAUUAGGUCCCACAAGAUUAACGGCUCUUAAUUACUGAUUAACGUGGAAUUUUUAGGAAGUCUGUAAUUAGUAUAGGUAUAGGUAUAGGUAUAGGUAUAGAUAGAUAGAUAAUUAGAUAUNNNNNNNNNNNNNNNNNNNNNNNNNNNNNNNNNNNNNNNNNNNNNNNNNNNNNNNNNNNNNNNNNNNNNNNNNNNNNNNNNNNNNNNNNNNNNNNNNNNNAUGUGUGUGUACGCCGCCCCGUACGCCGCCGCCCCGUACGUACGAGCGGGGGCGCCGGCGUACGGGGCGAGGGCGGCGGCAUACGGGGCGGGGGCGCCGGUGCGCGGGUGCGAGAGACGACGUACGGGACCGCGGCGACGACGACGGACGGCGGCGGCGUUCGAGGCGGUGGUGCGAGACGACGACGACGACGGGCGGCGGCGGGGACAGCGACGACGACGGCGGACGACGGGCGACGGGCGGCGACGACGGGAUCGAGCGGCGCGCGGCGAUGUCGAGAGGUUGGAGACAAAAGUGCGGAGAUAUAACUGAAAUUUUCGUAAGUGCUAUAUAUAUAGGAUGGGCCUUUAGUACCGGUUGGAGCCACCAACCGGUACUAAAGGCCAACUUUGGCCAGGCCAAGAGGCGGGAAGAGCAGGCCUUUAGUAUCGGUUGGUGGCUCCAACCGGUACUAAAGGGUGAUCUGUAGUACCGGUUGGAGCCACCAACCGGUAAUAAAGGCCUCGCGNNNNNNNNNNAUAGAAUUUCUAGUAGAACCAAUCAUCGAGUUCAACAUGAUUGUCAUGAUAUUAUAAGCGUUCAUAUAUAACACCACAAAAGCAAAUCACUUAAGUUCAGAACGAAGAACACGGACAUGAAAGGCCAAGUACUAAUUAAGAGCAGCAUGAAGAACUAGCUAAAUCACUCCUGCUAGCUACUCUCUCUCUGGUAAAAUAGCAUAGAACAUGUAUAGCUCUUCUGAUUGAUCAUACUGGAGCAUGCCGAUGAACCUGUCUCCUAAUCGUGGGCUGCGCUUCUCAUUGCUGCCCCCUAGUACUUCUCUGCGAUCAUUAACAAUUUUCCUCCAAUCUUUCACUAUUAAGCAUUCAUCGCUUCUAGAAAUCCUGAAUGCAUUCAUGUGCAAUGUAGGAUAUCUUGGCCUUAAGCUAACAAUUAACAUCUGACCUUUAGUCUCGAUCCCCUGAGGCACAACUGUCAUCGAGAGUCCCUGUUGAAGAACAUCGUAUAGUACUUAAUUAAUAUACUCAGCAAUGAAAGUUUAAAAAAAUAUGUAUACAAAAUAUGCACUGAGGACAAAUAGUAAAUAUCUUACCAUCAUUCCUAAAUAGAUGUGACCGUAGUUCAAUACCAUCACUAUUGGUCGCACAUUUUGAGUACUAACAUUUCCAAGUGCAGCAAAAAAAUUUGUCUUGACAGUAUGAAGAUCCUCAAGCCAUGAAACAUAAUGACUUAUCUCCUCACAGUUUAGUUCAGCUCCGGGACAGUAGAAGGGCCUGUCUACCAAGCGCCGGACAUGUUUGGUUGAAUGGAGAUAAGCUGUCAAUAGAAAUUAGUUGUCAGUUAUUUUUGAAAUAAGCAAUAUCAAAGACAAAAAUAUAUUUGAGAAGAACUCACAUAAUGGUAGAACUGGAGGCGUCUGCACAUCGACCCAUAUGUCUCUAUUACCUUCAAUAUCAUCUUCCGGACGAAUAUCAAAGGUGAUAACCAUACCAGGCUCAAAUGCAUAAGCCUUGCAUUAUGCUUGCCAAGUUUUGCAUUCAAAAUAGGUGUAGGUGUGUGCAUUGUAUACUUUGACGUUGAAAGUAUAACCAUCAUGCUCAGUGUUCAGGUAAGCUCUCUUUACCUCCAUAGUUUCCAUAUCUUUGAAACCUAUCUUAUCCAAGACAAAAAUUCUUGCAUGACAUGGGAUGCACUAGUAGAAUAGUGAAAAUUAAAAAUUAUAAGUCAGGCAAAUGAAGCAUAUAUAAGUCAUGCUUAAUUACGAAAACAGACUUGUUGUUGUGACUUACUGUAUCGAAUUCGAAAGUCUUAUCCAGCUUGAUGCUAAAUCGCUUACCAUGAACAAGGAAAUUUCUGUCGCACUGGCCGCGCUCGUCUUCACAGUAUGCUAAAUCGCUUACCAUUUCCUAUGUUCAUAUUAGGCGAAACAUUAAACACUUACUAAUUCUAUUAAUUCAACUACUUACUAAUUCUAUAAAUUCAACUAAGCAUUUACUAAAAAUAAACUAGUUAUAUUAAUUCAGUUAGUUCAACUAAGCAUUUAGUAAAAAUGAAUUAGUUAUAUUAAUUCAAUUAGUUCAACUAAGCAUUUACUAAAAAUAAUAUAGUUCUAUAUAUUAAUUCAACUAGUUCAACUAAGCAUUUACUAAAAUUAAACUAGUUCAAAUAUAUAUCUAACUAUAAUAUUUUAAUUAGAUAAUCAAAUCUCAGAUACGACAAUUUUCUUACUAAAAAUAAACUAGUUAUAUUAAUUAUUCAACUAGUUCAAAUCUCAUAUACCUAAAUAAACUAGUUCGACAAUUUUUUUACUAAAAAUAAACUAGUUAUAUUAAUUAUUCAACUAGUUCAAAUCUCACAUACCUAGCUAAUUAAUAUCUAAUUAAAUUUUCUAAAAAACAGAAAACAGAAAACAGAAAAUAAGUAAAAAAUGUGUGUGUGUGUGUGUAUGUGUGUGUAGUGUGUGUAUAUGUGUGUAUGUGUGUGUACGCCGCCCCGUACGCCNNNNNNNNNNNNNNNNNNNNNNNNNNNNNNNNNNNNNNNNNNNNNNNNNNNNNNNNNNNNNNNNNNNNNNNNNNNNNNNNNNNNNNNNNNNNNNNNNNNNNNNNNNNNNNNNNNNNNNNNNNNNNNNNNNNNNNNNNNNNNNNNNNNNNNNNNNNNNNNNNNNNNNNNNNNNNNNNNNNNNNNNNNNNNNNNNNNNNNNNNNNNNNNNNNNNNNNNNNNNNNNNNNNNNNNNNNNNNNNNNNNNNNNNNNNNNNNNNNNNNNNNNNNNNNNNNNNNNNNNNNNNNNNNNNNNNNNNNNNNNNNNNNNNNNNNNNNNNNNNNNNNNNNNNNNNNNNNNNNNNNNNNNNNNNNNNNNNNNNNNNNNNNNNNNNNNNNNNNNNNNNNNNNNNNNNNNNNNNNNNNNNNNNNNNNNNNNNNNNNNNNNNNNNNNNNNNNNNNNNNNNNNNNNNNNNNNNNNNNNNNNNNNNNNNNNNNNNNNNNNNNNNNNNNNNNNNNNNNNNNNNNNNNNNNNNNNNNNNNNNNNNNNNNNNNNNNNNNNNNNNNNNNNNNNNNNNNNNNNNNNNNNNNNNNNNNNNNNNNNNNNNNNNNNNNNNNNNNNNNNNNNNNNNNNNNNNNNNNNNNNNNNNNNNNNNNNNNNNNNNNNNNNNNNNNNNNNNNNNNNNNNNNNNNNNNNNNNNNNNNNNNNNNNNNNNNNNNNNNNNNNNNNNNNNNNNNNNNNNNNNNNNNNNNNNNNNNNNNNNNNNNNNNNNNNNNNNNNNNNNNNNNNNNNNNNNNNNNNNNNNNNNNNNNNNNNNNNNNNNNNNNNNNNNNNNNNNNNNNNNNNNNNNNNNNNNNNNNNNNNNNNNNNNNNNNNNNNNNNNNNNNNNNNNNNNNNNNNNNNNNNNNNNNNNNNNNNNNNNNNNNNNNNNNNNNNNNNNNNNNNNNNNNNNNNNNNNNNNNNNNNNNNNNNNNNNNNNNNNNNNNNNNNNNNNNNNNNNNNNNNNNNNNNNNNNNUGCCACCCCAAAGUUUAGUCCCACCUCGCCGGGCGAAGGGCAGCCGCACUGGUUUAUAAACCCAGCCGCGGCUACCUCUUUGAACUCCUCUAUAUAGCAGGCUUGUGGGCCUAAAUUCUGCGCGCUGCCCUGUGAGUCUGCUGGGCCUUUAAGGCCUGUAAUUGCACGCCCGUGGCCUAGCAGGCCCACAGGGCAGCGCCCCAAUUUUUUUAUAUUUUUUUCUUUUCUGCUUUAUUUUCUUCUAUUUAUUUCUGCGUAGUUUUUUGUAUAGUUUUUCUUUAUGUUAUAUUUAUUUUCUUCUAUUUAUUUCUGAGUAGUUUUUCAUCUAGUUUGCCAAAAUUCAACAUUUUCAGAGUUCAUUUUGUAGUGAUUUUCAAUUUCACAGUCAUUUUAUAUAUUUUUUUUCUUUUCAGCUAUAGUUUUUUUUCCUAUUAUUUUUUCUUUUCUGCAAAACUUGAUGGUCAAAGUCUGGAGUUAUAACCAAAGUUUAAAAAAAAAGAAAUGCCGACGUGCAAUUAGUUUUUGACAUAACAGAAGAAGUCCGGAGUUGUAAUAAGUUAUUAAAAAUAAAAAAGAGGUGCAAUGCUCGUUAAUUUGCUUCAAGCCUUUCGGGAUAGUGUAAACUGCACUGCGCAUAGCUCCGUGCAGGCUACCAUAUUCCUGAAGGCUUCAAGCUAAGCAACGUGAGCAUUGAGCCUCUUCUUCAUCGUCUCUGCACUCAGGGCUUAUAAACCGCUCCUAGUCCCUCUCUCUUCGCGAGGUGGGACUAAAAAACAGCUUACUAAGAAACUGUAGUACUAGUUCAUCCAUGAAUCGGUACUAAAGGUGCUCGUGCGGCCCCAGCUAUCCUUACCUGACACAACCUCAUUAGUACCAGUUCAUGGCACGAACCGGUGCUAAAGGUUCGCCACGAACCGGUACUAAACAGCUCCUCCCGCCUAGCAGUUGGUGCAUACUGAACGCAAAAAAUAUAAGAGCAUUUAGAUCAUGAUCUUAUAUUUCUUUACAGUCUAAAUUGCCAAUAUGAUCUUAUAACAUCAAAAAUACUUUGAUCAUCAAUGAUCUUUGUGUGUACAAUCUGAAUUGUCAAUAUGAGUCAUCAACGAUUUAUAAACCGAUGAAGACUCAUAUUGCGGCCACAAAUUCUAUACAUAGAGUUCAAUGAAGACCAAGUGCUUUUGAUAGUUUGAGAAAUAACAUAUUUAAGGUGGUAAAAGGCUUGUUAGGGGAGCGAUGUGGGACUAAAAACAGCUUGCCAUAACCUCAUUAGUACCGGUUCGUGGUACGAACCGGCACUAAAUGGUGAUGGUGGGGCCAUAUCCUGACCGCAGGCUGACACAGCCUCUUUAGUAUCGGUUUGUGGCAUGAACCGGUACUAAAGGUUCGCCACGAACCGGUGCUAUUGAUCGCCGCCACGAACUGGCACUAAUGUACACAUUAGUGCCGGCUGAAAUUCAAAUCGGCACUAUUGUGCUUCACAUUUGACCUUUUUUCUACUAGUGCUGGUUGCCCUAUGCAUUUGGUGCCGAGGGCCGAGGCUCCUUUUCCUUUACACAAGAAUCAAUCCACCUGGCUUCCUUUUCAGCCGGCGUACAUGUACAGGUGGACGUUGCUGCUCACUAAUUACAGCAUCGCCCAUCAACUGAUUCUUGGAUCGAGCCUUUCUAAAUACAUGUGCACGUUCUGCGGCCGGCAAAUAAUCGCAGGGCAAGCUUGUUCCUCGUCAGAGAGUAAUACGCAAGAGCAACAAUAUAUGCUUGGAGUCAGCUACAUGCCUGCACCAAACUGUUUCCAUUAGUUGGGGACUGAGACAUGUACAGUUGGGCGCUGCAAUGGUUAAUCCCCAUGGCAUGGAGUAGGGAGGCUGAAGCUCCUCUGCCUUGAUGUAUGCAUGAGUGGAUCCUGAUGAGCGAGUAUUCUAGGAAACUAACAGGUAAUCAGCGACCUGAUGUAAAGCAACCAAUGUGAUACAAAUGCAAUUUUGUUAGCCAGUACAUGAAAGACAGUUCCACAUUAGUAAUGAAAACGCUAUGUACUAAAAAGGAUUACAUGCCCAAAGGACAUAAUAGUGUAUAUAUCCUACUAUUACUUCAUAUGCUUCAACAAAUUCCUGAGGAAAACUCUGCUAUAGGAAUUCAAGUGUUGGCACUUUAACAAUUCAACGAACAGUUGAGUGCAUUACCAAACAGAAAACAUAAUUGGAUCCCUACGUGCAUAAGAAAGGACCGGAAGAGUGAAAACAGAUUGUUGGCUGGAACAGUACCUCAAUAUCAGGUUGAUCUCGUAUUCGUCUAAAUCGUCGAUGGGCAUGCCCAUGUCCAACCGCCUGCAGUAUAUGUGUGUGGUGCGUGUCUCACCAUGUAGCUGGUCCUAUGCUUGAACGAUUCAUGUCAUCUUCCUCUGCCGCCAUGAUGUUUCAGCACCGCCCCCUGAUGGCAUCUCUUUCAUGUUCCUAAGCAACCUCCACUUUCUCUAUGAAGUGGCGGCUGUGUGCUGCCACGAUGAAUGCACGGUGGUGAGGAGAUAAAAGAAAGCGUCCUUGCAUCUAGCAAAUGGGAGUCAUGCGCCCCCAUGAGAAAUUUCCGGCGGCGAGAGAAAAAUAGGUCGGUCUCGCAGAAAGAUAAAAAGUAGGUGGAAGUCACGAGAACCAAAGUCGGCCAUAGUUUUCUUGAGGGUGAUAUAUAGGCAUGGUCAUCAUUUAGAUGAGACCAUAAAUCCUUUUUUUUCUCUUGGAGGAGAGGGUGGCUGGGUGCUAGGGAAGAUCGAGAGGCAUGGGUUAGCGACGAUAAGCUGAACUGGCGUCGAGGAGAUCGGAGGUACUCCCUCCGUUCGGAAUUACUCGUCCAAGAAGUGAAUGUAUCUAGAUGUAUUUUAGUUGUAGAUACAUUCAUUUUUGUGACAAGUAAUUCCGAACGGAGGGAGUAACACGGAGGGAAUCGUCUUGGGUUCCUCUUUUUUUCCAACAAAACGAACUUGGAUCCUAUUUUUUUACGAAGGAUUAAGGUGGCUCUUUGAAAAGAACUUUGGCAGAGGUCGUUAGCUAUUUUUUCCCUCAAAACAAUCACGAGAGAGAGAUGCUUACGUGACAGUUGUUUUUCAUGUGGGAGAUUGAGAAAUUUAGGUCGUGAGGGACGUGACUUUUUUUUCAGCCCAAAAUCAUAGGCGAGUGAUGGGCGCCGGUGCGCCCGCCGAAAUUUCGGCCGGUCGCACCGGGUACGUAUCAUUAGCUCGUAAAUAGCCGCACGAUGCCUACGUUUCACAACUGAUUUCGCUAGUUAAAAGAAGAAACCGUGUCGCAUAUUUCAUCCCGAGCAAUCCUUGUUAUCCGCCACAUGUGAACCAGCUUACCGGCCGCCCACGUUGCCGCCGGCCGCCGGCCUCGUCGUUGCCGGCCACCGCCCUCGACCGCCCCCGUAUCCCUGGACGUCCUCCCAGCCGCGGGCCGCCGGCUCCUCUCCAGCGUCUCGUCGCUUGUUCUCAGCGUAGCCCGCACCCGGUUGCAGCAUCCCCGAUUCGUCGUGGUUCUCGUCGGCUCCGCCGCAUGAAGCUCCUGCCGACGAAGGUUGCAGCUCCCACAAAGGAGGGCCGCCAUUGCAUCAAUGGUGAGGUGCCAGUUUCAACUUUUUGUCGCCGGGUUGAAACUUUUCAAAAAUUGGGUUGAAGCUUUUCAUGUCGUCAAUUGCAACUUUUCAAAAAACUAACCUCGCCAGUAGUAGCGAAAGCAAACAGUGGUAGAUGGCGGUUGCAGCAAAAAAUCAUCCUCGCUGGAAGUAGCAAAUUGUCUCGCCGGUAGUAGCAAAAUUAGACGGCGGUUGCAACCAAAACUGGUCAUCGCCCAGUCGCGGGGCGCGGUAUGGCCAAUUGGUUGUAGCAAAAAAAAUGUGGUCGUAGCAAAAAAAGAUGACGGCGGUAGUAAAUCAUCUCGUCGUCGUCACUGGGUGCAGCUCCCUCAUGACGAAUGUAUCAAAAUUGCUCACCGGUGGUAGCAAAAACUGAGGACGGUUGCAACAAAAAAAAUGAACCGCCAUAGUAGGUCGCAACUCUGCCAUGAUGGAUGUAGCAAAUCCGUCGCCGGUAGUAGCAAAAUUCAAUGACGGUUGCAGCUUCUGGCUCAACUGGUUGCGGCUUUCAGAGGUAACGGAUUCCAUGGCGGUGUAGCGCGUCCGCGUUGUAGCAGGAUGUGAUGCCGGUUGUUUCCCGGAGCAGCGUCGCCACGUCUUCGCCGACACGGGUGGUAGCUUUCUUUUUUUGCUGCAUCAGCUCCACAGCAACGCUCACAGCAGCGGCGCUCGCGCCAAUGGUAUGUCUUCUUGAAGCACGGCCGUGUAGGGGAGGUCAGCCUGUGGUAGCCUUACCGGAGCUAGGAUGCGUCAAUGUGUGCGAGAGGUUGUGCAGGCGGAAGAGCAACAGAUGAAAAAAGAGGAAGAAAAGACGAUGCAGGCAAUACGAUUUCUAUGGACGAAGAGGCUCUGGGGAUAAAGAUGUGCGUGGGGACCCAUGUCCAUGUGGAGCGCGUGCAGCGGACCGGCGCAAAGUUCCGCCGGCGCACCAGUCGUAAAUGUUUCCCAUCGUCAAUUCUGUUUGGUACUCUGCUGCUUUUCCCAUCGGCGCUACUCUGCGCCGGUGCGCCGGCCGAGUCGCCCCGCCGGUCGUAGCACAUCUGUUGGAUUCGUCCCAUUUGUAACCAUUGGAUCAGUAUCCUUUUUGUUGUUAGGGCAUGCAAAGCUGAAAGCACUGAACUCAAGCAAAACUGAACGCGCUAAACGCAAGCAACCCAUCAUCUGCUAGCGUCAAAUGUGUCGCCUUUGCCAUGCGCUGCACCAUUGCUCGUCGACUCGCUAUGCCUAGCUCUCGUGAAUGUCGCGUCCGUCGACACAGCUCGUCGUGGCUGCCAUGCAUCGCCGUCGCACCUUGCUGCUGCCGCCUCGCGGCACCCAGCCAUCCGCCCGCACAAAAGGCGCUGUCAUCGAUUCGCGACGCCCCAGUUCUCGUGAAUGCCCCAUCCACCGUCACAGCUUGCCGUCAUCACCCUGCAUUACCGUCGCAACUUAUCCUCGUCGCUCGCCAUUGUUGGUUUGUCGUCUCCUAUUUGAAGCUUUUUCAGUUGCCGGAUGUAACAUUCUCAGGUGCUGGUUGCAGCUUUUCGCGGUUGAGCAGCAGCCGCUGCCAGCUUCCUCGUCUCCUGUUGAAGCUUUUCCAGAUGGCAGAUGUAGCUUUUUAGAAUGCCGGUUGUAGCAUUUGGAGAUGCCGGUUGCAACUUCUUCACGCGUUGGUCAGCCGCCCUGCUCUCUGGUUCAGCAAAAAAAACGUUGGUUGUAGCAUUUGUGAUGCUGGUUGCAGCUCCGUUGAACACCGGUUGCAACCUUCAUUUUCUCCGCAUCCAGCAAAAAAGAGUGAUGGACGUAGCAAUUGGCGUUGCUGGUUGCAGCUUUGCCUCGUGUCGGUCGCAAUUUCAUCAUAGUUGGUUGUAGCAAAACAGUGCGACGCGUCGCACCUUGCAGCUUCACCGGCCACGGAUGCAACUCCGACCAAUGACGUAGCUUCGCCAGCCACGGCCAUGUUUUAGAGAUUAAAGAAGGAAAUCAUCACAUCAAUAGAUUGGUAGGAGGGAGAGGAUAAGAGGUGGAUUCAUGGAGUUUGAACGGAAGGAGCACUCCACCCGUGUGGAGUAGAAGACGAGGGAUGGUGAUUUUGUUGAGAGGAAUAAAAAGAAAAGGAUAAGCACGUAUGUGGUCAAAGAGAGGACAAGUGGGCUUAUACAUGGGCUGAAAUAAAAACGCGUCCAGGGCUAGCUUGCCGAACCCACCUGGAUCUAACGAGCAGCCAGCGACCGGCCGAAACGCUAGCCGGUCGACCGGCUACAAUCGUUUCCCAAAAUCAUAUGGUAGAUUGUAUCGUAAUCUCUAGCAUCCAACAACCUGGGAGGGUUUAGAAGUAAAUAGGAGAGAACGCAGAUUUUCCAUCUUUUUGUCUUUUUGAGGAAACGUGGAGAGUCCAAGGUGAGUACGACUACCACAACAAUCUCGUGACCAACCCAAAAAUCAGUUUUUUUCUCAUGAACCUAGGAAAAAUUCGAAAGAUCUAGACCGUAAUAAUUAGGUCCCACAAGAUUAACGGCUCUUAAUUACUGAUUAACGUGGAAUUUUUAGGAAGUCUGUGAUUAGUAUAGGUAUAGGUAUAUGUAUAGGUAUAGAUAGAUAGAUAAUUAGAUAUAGAUAGAUAGAUAAAUAGAUAGAUAUGGAUAUAGAUAGGGCAACAUAUCCUAUGAAUCCGUCCGGUAUGUUGUAUCCGUGUGUCCCUUUGCUCUCAGCCCCACGAUCAAAAUCGUGUGUGUUAACAGAUUUUGUAGUAAUUUUACACCUACACGCCCGCCCCCAACUGAAGCCAGCAAACUAAUUUUACAAGAACCCCCCUCCCCCUGCCAAUCGAGUGCGUCGUGCGUGGUGCAUCGUGCGCCGCCGCCGUCAAGCAGCAGCCGAUCCAAUUUCCAUUGAAUUGAUCCCGACGUCCAUCGGCAGCCAUCCCAUGCAGGUACCGUCCCAGACUCCCAGUCAUGUGAUCCUUUUGCUCCCACGUUGAUACUUGAUACGAACCUGAUCGAUGAGCACAGGCAAGCGGCCAAUACAUGUACUCUCCGAUCUAGACGUAUUUCUUCUAUAACGGGUGAUACUUUAUUUCAGCGGAGACUGAAGACGAGCGGCUAGCAGGUACCACAACAACAUAUACGUUCAGCGAUACGACAACAUCAUAAGUUUCAGGUAACACAACAGAGAAAUUCAGUCCUUGAAUAUACAUGUGUGACUGACAAAAAUUCAGUAGCACAGAAGGUUUUUUUUUGGCCAAAUGCCAAGCAAACUGACAAAAAUUGCACUAAUAUGAUUAUGUGAGCAAAAACACUAGUACAAUCUGCUACAGUUUAGAGCUUCGGGAUACAAUCAAACUGACAUGCUACAGAAUAUAAGCAUUGCACUAAUUCAUCUGUGUAUGCCUACAUCUGCUACAGACUAUAAGCAAUUAGGCACGACAUUAAUACAUGUACUACAGGGUACAACUUCCUAUGAAGGAAUUGCAGUAAUAUGACUAUCUGAGCAAGCAUUCGACUAGUACAUCUCCUGCAGUCUACAGCUUCCAAGUUCCAAUGGAGGACAAGCUACAGCAUCGGGAUUUCCGUGGUUGCAGGAGGCCGUCCAGGGGGUGUUGGCGCCUCAUCUCAGACGAGUCAUUACCGUCGCGGAACCAUACUGCCGUGUCGGGACGGCGGCCGGAUCUUCGUUGCCGUCGCUGGUGGUCGUUGGGUAGCUGUUGUCGUCGCUACUUUGUUGCCGUUGCCGGAGGACUGCAUGGAGUCGUCCAGGCCAAGCUUGCUGUCGUAGGAGGCCUCGGGUUGAGAUUUAGGUUUUGGAGCGAUGAGACGAGGUAUUUGGCACGAGAGGAUUCAGAAGAUUGGAGCAGGACGAAACGACAUGGGGCCUCCGUUGAGGAUCGUGGAUGAGAGACUUUGGGGGUUAUUUUGCAAAUGAAAUGGUUAUUAGGUCCAAAAGCGGGCGUCUAAAUACAAUUAUUCCUCUUGCUGCACAGGAGGCGCGCGAUUUAGAUUAUAGGGCUGAGAUCACAUGGACACAGGGAUACACAAUAGGCACCGGAUUCACAGGAUAUGUUGCCUAUAGAUAGAUAGAUAGAUAGAUAGAUAUAGCUAUUCGGCGUGCCGUGUCCUGCUACCAAAAGUUGUAAUCAGGUCUAGUUUGUUAGUAGCUUGUCUAGGUUAUCUAGUCCGACCAGAACAUGGAGUCCUUUGCCAAGUCACGUUGGGUCUGCUCCUAGGUGUGUAUAUAAAGCACACCAGGGCUGUUGUUUUCUAUGUGUGUAGCCAUCGCAAACUUCUUCCACUACUGGAAUUUUCGUAUACGCGGGGUGUCGGUGUCUUCACCCAGAGCCAAAACACGGGCACUCGGCAACGUAACGAACACCGUGAGCCGCACUCGGCAAAGGAAACAAAUCGCCAAACACAUGAUAAUGCCGACAGUAUUGCUCGGCAAACAGGCUACACUCGGCAAAGACACUAUUUGCCGAGGGCCAUUUGGUCACACUCGCAAAGUUUUGCCACGUAGCACAUUCGGCAGUGACUGACGGCACGGUCACGGUUGCAACUCUUUGCCGAGAGUGGCUCUCGGCAAAGAUUUAAUCACACCUCGCCUACCCACUAGCAAAAAGAGCUAUUUAAAUAGUUCAAUAGUCCCACUAGUAGAAAAAGGGCCUUAUGUUCAACUCUUUAGUCCCGGUUUGUAAUAGAACUGUGACCAUUAGUGCCGGUUCCAACGGCUAGGUGGGCGGCUCUGAUUAGUACUGGUUCGUGGCGAACCUUUAGUACUGGUUCGUGCCACGAACCGGUACUACAUAGGUGGUGGUAGGCUUGUGUCAGGCUGCGGUCCCACCAUGACCUAUAGUACCGGUUCAUGCCAUGAACCGGGACUAGAAGUUCACCUUUAGUCCCGGUUCAUAUAACCAACCGGGACUACAGAUAUCACUAUAUAUAGUGCUUCUUCCAGCCCGAGCCGAAGCCCUCUGUUUUUCCCUCCUCUUUGUUUCCCCCCCUCUUGCUCGAGCUCCCACCUCCAUUUUUGCCAAAAUUUUCCAACAUUUGAAGGCACCCCAUCCAUCCAAGUGAUCACAAAGGUUAGCAACUCUAUCCUUUCAUCUCUCAUUGCUACAUUAGCUCUUGCAAUGCUCUAUAAGUAUAGUGAUUUGUGGGUUUUAGUUUGAGAGGAAUUAUAUGUUGCAGUUUAUUUGAUUUAUAUGCAAUUUGAGGUCAAAAUAACUCUUAGUUUGCAUAUGUAGGUGUUGUUUACUUAGUGCCUUCCCAUCUCCGUCCUAACCACCAUCAAUUGCCCGCACCGUCCUGUCACCGGCACCACCUUGUGGUGAGCCUUUGGUUCUUAUCUUUAUAAUAUAAGAAAAAAAUCAUGUUUGUGUUAUUCAGAUAUAUAGUUACUUGUAUAAUUAUCUUACCCGUACAUUGUUUGUUAUACAUAGUGCCAUGAUUUUGAUAUCCGUCCCCGUCGGCCCUCAUCUGGGUUAUGAUUCGGAUGUGGUAUAUUCUCUUUUAUAACUAUUUGUUGCAUUUCGUGUUUAUGACAAAUUAUGCCCAUCAAGUUGACAUAGAUAUUUUUAUCUAGGAGGUAUGUGAACCGGAAAUUCCAACCGACCCUAUUUUCGAGAGGUUAAAUUCAGUUGAAAAAGAAAACGAGUAUUUGAAAGAAAAAUUGAAAAGAAUUGAGGGGGAGAAGAUGGAAUUGGAGUUGCAUGUUGCCGAUGUCGUCGAUGAUCACAAGAUCAAGAUGGAGAAAAUGCGCUUGAAGAUUAGAAAGAUGAGAAAAUAUGCCAUCGAUAGUGAGGCUUGCUAUCAAUAUGUUGUUGGAUCAAUUGUUACCUUAGUUGCGAUCUUGAUCGCAUUUGUUGUUGCAUUUAAAUGCUUUAGCUAGAGAGUUAUUUGUAUGUUGUUUUAUGAGAAUAAGUGUUAUAUGAACUUUAUGUAUGAACUUGUAUUAAUUUGGUCUAUUCGGUGCUGUGUAAAUGAAGAUGAGCCGGCAAUAGAUGUACGAUGACCGAUGCUCUCCCUAGUUUAUUACUGGCGUGCAUAUGCUUGCGGCUGAGGCAAACAAGCGGGCGGGUGGUUUUAUGCCUUGUCUAUGUGCUAACUAUAAGAAUGAUCUGAAUUACUUUAAGUCAAGAACCAUUCACGUCCACCUGUUUGAGUCCGAUUUCAUGCCCAACUAUAAUGUUUGGACCAAGCACGGAGAAAGAGGGGUUAUGAUGGAGGACAAUGAAGAAGAAGAGGACGACGACAACUAUCCUGACCAUGGGUUCCCUGAAUACAAUGGUACAACAAUGGGGGAAGAAGCUGAAGAAGAGGCAUCAGAUGAGCCCGCUGAUGAUCUAGGUCGGGCCAUUGCCGAUGCAAAGAGAAACUGCGCAAGUGAAAAGGAGAAAAAGAAGUUGCAGCGCAUGUUAGAGGAUCACAAGAAAUUGUUGUACCCGCAUUGCGAAGCUGACAAGAAAAAGUUGGGCACCACACUGGAAUUGCUGCAAUAGAAGGCAGAGAAUGGUGUAUCUGACAAGGGGUUUGCAAAGUUGCUGAUAAUGUUAAAGAAGAUGCUUCCAAAGGACAACGAAUUUCCCGAGAGUACGUACGAAGCAAAGAAGGUUGUCUGCCCUCUAGGAUUAGAGGUGCAGAAGAUACAUGCAUGCCCUAAUGACUGCAUCCUCUACCGCGAUGAGUACGAGGAUUUGAACGCAUGCCCGGUAUGCGGUGCGUUGUGCUGUAAGAUCAGCCGCGAUGACCCUGGUGAUGUCGAGGGCGAGCGCCCUAGGAGGAAGAUUCCUGCCAAGGUGAUGUGGUAUGCUCCUAUAAUAGCAUGGUUGAAAUGUUUGUUCCAAAACAAAGAGCAUGCCAAGUCGAUGCGAUGGCACAGAGAAGACCGUAAGAAAGACGAGAAGUUGAGAGUACCCGCUGACGGGUCGCUGUGGAGAAAAAUCGAGAGAAAGUACUAGGAGGACUUUGCAAGUGACGCAAGGAACGUAUGGUUUGGUCUAAGCGCAGAUGGCAUAAAUCCUUUUGGGGAGCAGAGCAGCAACCAUAGCACCUGGACUAUGACGCUAUGUAUGUAUAAACCUGCCUCCUUGGUUGUGCAUGAAGCGGAAGUUCAUUAUCAUGCCAGUGCUCAUCCAAGGCCCUAAGCAAGCCGGCAAUGACAUUGAUGUGUACCUAAGGCCAUUAGUUGAAGAACUCUUACAGUUGUGGAAUGAAAAAGGUGUACGUGCGUGGGAUGAUCACGAACAGGAAGAAUUUGACCUACAUGCGUUGCUGUUUGUGACCAUCAAUGAUUGGCCUGCUCUCAGUACCUUUCAGGACAGACAAACAAGGGAUACCGCGCAUGCACGCAUUGUUUGGAUGAUACUGACAGUAUAUAUUUGGAUAAUUGUAACAAGAAUGUGUACCUGGGACAUCGUUGAUUUCUUCCGAGCAGUCAUCUCGUAAGAAAGAAAGGCAAGCAUUUCAAAGGUGAGGUAGAUCAUCGAUGAAGCCUUGACACCGUAUCGGUGAUGAUGUACAUGAUAUGGUCAAGGAUUUGAAGGUAAUCUUUGGAAAGGGUCCUGGCGGACAAUGUUUGGAAAGACACUGACGGACGCACACCCAUGUGGAAGAAGAAAUCUAUAUUUUGGGACCUGCCCUAUUGGAAAGACCUAGAGGUCUGCUCUACAAUCGACGUGAUGCACGUGACGAAGAAUCUUUGCAUGACCCUGCUGUCGGUGGGAAAUGACACCUAUGGGAUCACGAGGAUCCCUUCUACAGUUGCGGGGCACGGGAUUGUGAGAAGAGCAGGAUUAGUAACCAGCACAAGGAUAGUUUACCCAGGUGUCGGUGUCAAAACCGGCGGAUCUCGGGUAGGGGGUCCCGAACUGUGCGUCUAGGCAGAUGGUAACAGGAGACAAGGGACACGAUGUUUUUACCCAGGUUUGGGCCCUCUCGAUGGAGGUAAAACCCUACUCCUGCUUGAUUAAUAUUGAUGAUAUGGGUAGUACAAGAGUAGAUCUACCACGAGAUCAGAGAGGCUAAACCCUAGAAGCUAGCCUAUGGUAUGAUUGUUGUUUGUCCUACGGACUAAAAACCUCUGGUUUAUAUAGGCACCAAAGAGGGUUAGGGUUACACAGAGUCGGUUACAAUGGUAGGAGAUCUACAUAUCCGUAUCGCCAAGCUUGCCUUCCACGCCAAGGAAAGUCCCAUCCGGACACGGGAUGAAGUCUUCAAUCUUGUAUCUUCAUAGUCCAGGAGUCCGACCAAAGGUGAUAGUUCGGCUAUCCGAACACCCCCUAAUCCAGGACUCCCUCAGUAGCACCUGAACCGGGCUUCAAUGACGAUGAGUCCGGCACGCAUAUUGUCUUCGGCAUUGCAAGGCGGGUUCCUCCUCCGAAUACUUCAUAGAAGAUUUUGAACACAAGGAUAGUGUCCGGCUCUUCAAAAUAAGUUCCACAUACCACCAUAGAGAGAAUAAUAUUUACACAAAUUCAAUCUGCCAACGUAUUCUGUGGCGUGACAUCACAACAUGGCCAAGCCUUUAUUCGAAUCGUUUUUACUGUCCCACCUCAGCGCGUUUAGCGAGGCGGUUUCCUUGGAACAUCUUGUUAAAGCAGAGAUCGUGUCCCCUUAUUCUGGGAUUCUCAUCAAUACGGGCGUGGGUAACCCAACCGCGCCUUCAAUUACGGUGCUCGGGAGAUAAGCGAGUUUUACCAGGCUGGUGGGGACGCAUAGUUUCAUCCGUCCAUAUAAGGGGAUAAGGAUCCACUUUUUCACACAUGCCUUCUUCCUCCUUUGCUCAUCCAUUUCCGCUCACUCGAGCUCCAGUGCCCAAGUCCGCACACCUCGCCUCAAUCUUCCCCUUCCAUGUCUGGAGGGGGAGGCAAGUGGAUGGUCUCCUCCGUCACGGAGGGACAUAUCAAAAAGUUGUGGAAAGCCGGAUACUUGUCCAGUGACAUCGCGCAUCGGCUCCCCGACAAGGGGCAGCUUAUCCCCAACCCCAGGCCCCAUGAGAGGGUGGUGUUCCUCACCCACUUCCUCCACGGACUAGGUUUUCCACUUCACCCAUUUGUCCGGGGGCUCAUGUUCUACUACGGCCUGGAUUUCCAUGAUCUGGCCCCGAAUUUCGUCCUCAACAUCUCGGCGUUUAUCGUCAUGUGCGAGGCCUUCCUCUACAUCCGGCCACAAUUCGGCUUAUGGCUGAAAACCUUCAAUGUCAAGCCGAAUGUAGUGGGCGGCCGCCAGGCGGAGUGCAGAGGUGCCAUGGUGGGCAGGAUGCCCAACGUUUUAUGGCUCGAGGGCUCCUUCAUGGAGACCAUAAAGGGGUGGCGAUCGAGGUGGUUCUACAUCACCGAGCCGCGUGACCCUAAAUGGGUGGCAGCCCCCGAAUUCCGAUCUGGCUUCCCUACACGGCUCACCUCUUGGAAAGAGACGGGCCUGACAUGGGGUAAUUCGGAAGAGCUGACCGGACUCCAAACCUGCGUCCAAUCCCUGGUGACCAAGAAGCUCAAGCUUGUCAACGUAGUCCAGGUCAUGCUCAUCCACCGGAUCCUCCCGUGCCAACAACGGGCCUUCAACCUCUGGGAGUUUGAUCCGGCACAGCACCAAACCUUGAGCAGGCUCUUCGACACUACAUACAAAGAUGCCUGGAAGGUGCUGUUCAAGGGCGCCGAGGCUCCCGCAUCUGAUACCGAAGAUCGCGGAUUCAGCUCGCAGUGUCAAGCCAACGAGGUAAGCUAUUUUACCCUUUACAGGACAUUCGUUUUUCAUAGUUUGACUCUAUGCUCGAAGACAUCCGGGCAGGUUGACUGUCCGGCUCCCUUGCCAGAAGACCCAGCGGACGCUCGAUUGAUGGGGCUGCUGGUUCCGGCACCUCAUGUGGUGUCGGAGAAGAAGGCCAAGAAGAAGGCCAUGGGAACUCGAAAGAGUUCCCGGCGCCAGGUUCUAUCGGACUCAUCGUCCGAUGACUCUGAGGCAGACUCCUCCCGCGAAGACGAGGAGGAGGAAAAAGCGGCCUCUCCCCCAGCAGGGGGGAGAAGAAAAGGAAGGCUGCCCCAACUGGGGAGGCCAGAGGGUCCAAGAAGGGAAGGACCCUUCCUCCAGACUACUCCACCAACGCCGACAACGGCGAAGAGGAGUGGCUACUGAGGGCUAAGCCCCCGGCGACAUCGUAAGUAUCCGGAUACCAGAAUAACUCAUGGCGUUUCGUUUGUCGUAUAGAAUCUCCUAACGCCGGAUAUAACCCUGCAGCCCGCCCAAGGACGAGCUCGACGCUUCAACGAGGGGCUCCCUGGCUUCGUCGGACGUGAAUAGCAAUUCACUUCCAGCCGCCUCCUCUCCUCGCGCUGCGGAUGACGCCGAGGUGGGGUCCCAAAAGGGGCCCAGCCAGGAGGAGGAGGCCUAGGAGGCACCGCAAGGCAACCUCCCAGACUCCAGGCACAAGGGGAUCAAACCCCAAAGGGCUCUAAGUCCGGCCCUGGGCCGGACUCCGUACCGGAACCUUUAGUGGUUCCGGAGUCCGGCAGGCGGCCCCUUCGUAAGAAGGGCGGGGCUGCAACGCCGGUGACCUCCGUCCAACUGGAUGCGCCGCGUAAUUUGCUGGAGGCGCUUAACGGCGCCUCCAUCGAUGAGGAGCACCGCACUGUUAUGAGUGUGAUGAUCCAGAAAGUUCAGUCCACCAAGAGCGGGCUGUCUGAAGCCCGUGCCAGCCAUCUAACAGGCUUUGAGGUAUGUAUUUGAGAUAUGUAAAAAUAUUACCGCAUAGACAGUAGCCCCUGAUGCUCAGUUUGGUGUUCGGAAAGAAAAGCCGAACUGAGGAUCUAAAAAGAUGUACGCAGGAGUCUAACAUAAGUAUGUCAAUACGGGGAAUGCAGGCUGUGCUGCUGACCUCUGCCGCACUGACUGCGGACGCAUUGAAGCAGAACCUCGAGUGGUCCGAGAACGAGCUCGGCCUUGCCAAAAAGCAGCUCGAGGACAAGGAAGGUAAGUAAUACCUUAUGGAAGUAUAUAAAAGAUGUGGUUGCAAAAAAUAGCAGGAAUAACGUGAGAAUUGCAGGGGCCACAAACGAGGUGGCGACCCUGAAGGAAGCAGUGUCCAAGGCCGAAAGCAAUGCGGCCGCAGAGCGCACCGAGCAAGAGAAGCAGGAGGCGCGGGUGGCGGAGGUGCGGCAAGAUCUCCAGGAUCUCGUGGAAAAGAACGAGAGUUUGGAGCGUGACUCAAAGACUCGAGAGUCCGAGCUCGCCUCGGCUCUUGAGAGCGCCAAAGCUGCUAAGGCAGAAGCCCAAAAAGCCCUCUAGGAAAUUGAGGCGAUGAAGAAGAUAGCGGCGGGUAAGGCAUUCUUCAUGCAAAGCAAACACGUGAAAGUGAAUUACUUGUUACGUACCCGAAUCCGAAGCUCUCGAGGAGCAUUCGCAGAUCUGCCCCGCAGUGUGUCCGACGCUGCCGCAUUCUACCGGGCCGAGGAGGGGAGCUCGACUGAGAAUGUGUUCUGGUCUCAGUAUGCUGAGGCCGGACACCCGGUGCCCUUGAGCGACCAGCUGAAGCAGCUGGUCGAGCUCCAUAAGGUGGCUGAACAGGCCAUGAAGGGCCUCAUAGUUCGGCUAUGGCCUAGUGAAGCCAUGCCUGGGAGCUACUUCGGGCUGGUGAGGCGGCUGGUGGACGUCUGUCCAUGGAUUGAAGUCGUCAAGCGCUUCGUCUGUAUCAAAGGUGCCCGCAGGGCUAUUGCCCAUGCUAAAGUGCACUGGGGCAAGAUGGACGCUGAGAAGCUUGUGAGGGAUGCUCCACCGCCGGGUAGGGAGUAUCGCAUGCCCGAGAUGUGUUAUGCGUGCGUCCUGAAGGGUGCCCACCUUAUAGCGGGUGAAUGCUCCAAAGAUGUAAUUUUGAGUAAACUCGCAUUUGUUAUCCUGUACGCUUGAAAACUUGUUCAUAUGCGCUAAGAAACGCUUGUGAAUUUAAAAUAUUACCUUCUGUGCGGCCGUUUAUUAAAUAUGAGAGAUGGCGAGUCAUCGGCUUCUGCCCCCAUGCCUCGAGUGCUGGGGUGUUCGGGAUAAACUUGAGCGCUCUUUUUCCCAUUCUUGGGUCCUUCGAGGGAGGCGCUCAACGCAACGAACAAGGCAACCGGACUAUAAUGCUUGAACACUCUCACUUAGCCAUAGAAUUCUAUAAUUUUAAAUUUUGGCGAAGCCCCUAAUAUUCGGAAGACCGAAUUCGGGGCGUUAUCCACGCCUGGGCUGGACAAAGCCGGCUCCUCGCUCUAAGCGGCAUAAGUCUUUAGGGACUCUAAAACCUCUCGAACAGCGACCGGCUCUCGCCCUAUCAUGAAGGUCAGUUUUAGCUUUCUCCACUUAGGUGCUCAACCCAGCUCAACCGGGGCACAAUCGCAGUGGUUCUCCCAGCGCUACCUUAGCCGAUAUAACGGAACGUAAGGUACAAAAACAUGGGAGCCGGGCAAACCCAACUAUUGACCCAAGACAUGAUUCGAAGCCGAUGCAUAUAAUGCUAUAAGUUCGGGGUGCCACACUUGUGAAAGUGUUCGGACUUAUCACACCAUAUUUUGGGGUACUUAAGCCCCUGGUGUAUUUGGCCGUACCAAAGCGUACGGAUGCAAUAUGUCAUAUGUGAACAUAUAUAGAUAAGAAAAAGGAAUGCCAUAAUAGGCAAAAGUUGUGCAUUAAUUAUUAAAAAAGCUGCGGUAAAAGCAGAACGAUACAAAUAGUGCGAUAAGCAAGGGACAGGACUAUUUGACACGUCCCCCUCCAGGAGCGAGCCACGGGAUGAUAUGUAAAACAAGUAAACUGCUCGUUAUAGAGACCACCUGGACAUUCGACGUAGCUUUCUGCUUCCCUGGCUGUUGCAUCGUGUGUUCGGCGAUUCUACUACCAGGCAGGGCUUCUUGAUAAAGGAGUCCUGAAAGUAAGAAAAAGAAUUACACAAUCAGGAGCCCCUGGUGCGGUUGAGCCGCAUUCUAGGCCUGCCAUGGUCGUGCCCCUCCCCCUAUAACCAUGGUAUUUCCAGAGCGUAAUUAUGUACGCGUAGUACUGGUUUCGCAAUGUCGCGAGGGCUGGGGUUGGGGCCGCAUUGCUACGCGUGCUCGGAACGUGCUGGGCGGUCCUGUUGUAGGUUACUCCGGGUGCGCUUGGCGGUGUCCGGACGUUUAAUAGCCGGACUCGAGAAUUGCCUUAAGAGGCUGCUUUGUACUUCCUCCGCGAGAGCCGCCGUGUGCUCCUCCGUUCGGAGAGAGCAUUUGGUGUUUCCGUUGACCGUAAUGACUCCUCGAGGGCCUGGCAUCUUGAGCUUGAGAUAUGCGUAGUGCGGCACCGCAUUGAACUUUGCAAAUGCGGUUCGUCCGAGCAGUGCGUGAUAGCCGCUGCGGAACGGGACUAUGCCGAAGAUUAAAUCCUCGCUUCAAAAGUUAUCCGGGGAUCCGAAGACCACUUCAAGUGUAACUAAGCCUGUACAAUUGGCCUCUACACCUGGUAUGACGCCUUUAAAUGUUGUCUUUGUGGGUUUAAUCCUUGAGGGGUCUAUGCCCAUUUUGUGCACUGUAUCCUGAUAAAGCAGGUUCAGGCUGCUGCCGCCGUCCAUCAAGACUCGAGUGAGGUGAAAUCCGUCAAUGAUUGGGUCCAGAACCAAUGCGGCGAAUCCGCCGUGGCGGAUGCUAGUGGGGUGGUCCCUUCAAUCAAAAGUGAUCGGGCAAGAGGACCACGGGUUGAACUUUGGGGCGACUGGCUCCAUUGCAUGUACGUCCCUUAGUGCAUGCUUCCGCUCCCUUUUGGGUAUGUGGGUUGCGUAUAUCAUGUUCACAGUCUGCACUUGUAGGGGGAAGCCUUCUGUCCUCUGUUGUUCGGCGGCCGGGGUUCCUACUCGUCGUCGCUAUGCAUCCCCUUGUCAUUGUUUUCGGCAUGUAACUUGCCUGCCUGCUUGAACACCCAACAAUCCCUGUUGGUGUUGUUGGCUGGUUUUUUGGGGGUGCCGUGUAUCUGGCAUGAGCGACCGAGUAUUCGGUCCAAAUUGGAUGGGCCCGGAGUAUUUCUUUUGAAUGGCUUUUUCCGCUGACCGGGUUUAGAGCCUCUGAAUCCGGCAUUGACUGUCGUAUCUUCAUAAUUAUCGCCGUUAAUGCGGCGCUUGUGCUUGUUGCGACGUAACCUGCCAUUGCUGUCCUUGGUAUCCAAAUUACCAGGGAUCUUGGUCAUGUUAUUGCUACGAGCUAGCCAGCUAUCUUCUCCCGCGCAAAAGCGGGUCAUGAGUGUUGUGAGGGCUGCCAUGGAUUUCGGCUUUUCCUGUCCUAGGUGCCGGGUGAGCCACUCGUCGUGGAUGAUAUGGUUGAAGGCUGCAAGGGCCUCUGCAUCCGGACAGUCAAUGAUUUGAUUUUUCUUGGUUAGGAACCGUGUCCAGAAUUGUCUGGCCAAUUCCUCUGGCUGCUGAAUUAUGCGGCUUAGGUCAUCGGCGUCUCGUGGUCGCACAUAGGUGCCCUGGAAAUUGUCGAGGAAUGCGGCUUCCAGGUCUUCCCAACAACCAAUUGACUCUGUUGGCAAGCUGUUAAGCCAAUGUUGAGUUGGUCCUUUAAGCUUGAGUUGGAGGUAUUUGAUGGCGUGUAGAUCAUCACCGCGGGCCAUGUGGAUGUGGAGGAGAUAGUCCUCGAUCCAGACCGCAGGAUCUGUUGUGCCAUCGUAAGAUUCAAUGUUUACGAGUUUGAAACCCUCAGGGAUUUGAUGAUCCAUCACUUCGUCUGUGAAGUAUAGUGGGUUUGCGGCGCUUCUGUAUUGGGCUAUAUCACAACGUAGCUCAAAUGGGCUUUGUCUGCUGUGUUCGGCCCGGCCGGAUUUGCUGUAUCCGGCAUGACGGUUGUCGUCACGUGUAGUGAGGCGCCCACGUGAUCCGUAGAUCGAUCUUGUUUGCCUUGCCUUGUCCUCCAAUAUGUCUCGCAGGUCUGGCGCACUUCCCCGUGCCUUAGUAUUUUUGAGCGGCGCCGGGGUGCGGCUUGAGUGGAGGACCGAGAGGUCUCUCUGUCGCGGCAACGAGGUGUCCGGUUGGCCGCAUCCUGCGCUGGUGAUGUAGGUUUGAGUGCUUCCUCCUCCAAUCGGGGUAGCAGCCUGCGUUUUGGGUAGCUCUUGGAGGGGCGUUCGAGUUCGUACUCUUGGCCGCAAGGACUUCAGUCCAUCUGUCAGCUAGCAAAUCUUGAUCAGCUCUAAGCCGUUGCUGCUUUUUCUUGAGGCUGCUUGCCGUGGCCAUAAGCCUGCGUUUGAAACGCUCCUGUUCGACGGGAUCCUUAGGCACGACAAAUUUGUCGUUGUCGAGGCUUGCCUCGUCUUCGGAGGGAGGCAUGUAAUUAUCAUCCUCCACCUCUCUAUCUACCGCUCUCUCAUGAGGGCUGGCUACUCCAUCAUCCUAUGCUGAAUCCUGCUGGAGGGGGUUGUCUUCGGCACUUUUCGGGGUGUUAUUGCCUCCCGUGCCGGAAUCACCGUUUUUGCUGUGGCGGGAUUUAGAGCGGCGCCGCUGACGCUGGCGCUUAGGCUGUUUCUUGGAGGGGUCAUCCUCCGUUAUUCCAUCGCCGUUCCCAUCUUUUGGGAUGUCCACCAUGUAAAUGUCGUAGGACGAGGUGGCCUUCCAGUGCCCUGUAGGCGAUGGUUCUUGGCCGUCUCCUGCAUCGUCGUCCAUACCGUCGAUGUCUUCAGAGUUGAAGUUGAGCAUGUCAGUUAAAUCAUCGACAGUGGCUACAAAGUGGGUGGUGGGUGGGCUUUGAAUUUAGGACAGGGCUCCAUCACCGUAGUACGGCCAGGGCUCUCCUAAUAAAGAGAGAGACUUUAGUGAAUUUAGUAUGUCGCCAAAGGGAGAGUGCUGAAAAAUGUCUGCGGCGGUGAACUCCAUGACCGGCGCCCAAUCGUAUUCGAUUGGCAGGGGCGCGGAAGGUUCGGAGUCCGGAGAGGAGUCCAGAGAGGAGUCCGGUACCUUGGAGUUACGAGCCUUGCAAAGGACUGGGAUAGUAUUCAGCUCCAUCACCGUAGAGAUAGCAGCCCCCGAGGCGGUGUCCAGCCACCCGUCCUCGGUCGGCGCAGUCGGCUCCGCGCUAAGGGUCGGAGCGAACACUUAUGCAGCCUCCAGGGCACUGUCCGGCGACAGAGCUAGAUCGUGACCAUCGUGCAGUGCGGCGCGCUUGGCUUUGGCUCGAACCCGUCGAAGAUCAAGUCUCCGCGGACGUCAGCCGUAUAGUUCAAAGCCGCCGAAUACGAAGAUCUGCCUGGGGAGACAAGUCUCACCCUGGACCGCAUCGUUGUUGAUGAUCGGAGGAGCCAUCGGGCCUAAAGAUGACGACACAGAGGAACUCUCAAUGAAAGCACCAAUGUCGGUGUCAAAACCGGCGGAUCUUGGGUAGGGGUCCCGAACUAUGCGUCUAGGCGGAUGGUAACAUGAGACAAGGGACACGAUGUUUUUACCCAGGUUCGGGCCCUCUCGAUGGAGGUAAAACCCUACUCCUGCUUGAUCAAUAUUGAUGAUAUGGGUAGUACAAGAGUAGAUCUACCACGGGAUCAGAGAGGCUAAACCCUAGAAGCUAGCCUAUGGUAUGAUUGUUGUUCGUCCUACGGACUAAAACCCUCCGGUUUAUAUAGGCACCAAAGAGGGUUAGGGUUACACAGAGUCGGUUACAAUGGUAGGAGAUCUACAUAUCUGUAUCGCCAAGCUUGCCUUCCACGCCAAGGAAAGUCCCAUCCGGACACGGGACGAAGUCUUCAAUCUUGUAUCUUCAUAGUCCAGGAGUCCGGCCAAAGGUGAUAGUUCGGCUAUCCGGACACCCCCUAAUCCAGGACUCCCUCACCAGGUUCGGGCCGCGAGGAUGCGUAAAACUCUAGUCCUGCUUUGGUGGAUGUAUUGAGUGUUCUUGAGCUCCUGAACUGGCUACCGUGGAUGCCUCAUUCAAAAGAGCCAAAUCCCUCUCCAGUACGCCAUGGGCCUCCUUUUAUAGUCGAAAGGGGCUGCCACAGUGGAACACAUGAGGUGGAAAGGCCUACAGUGCUAUGAGAUUAUCGCUCGUAUUACAAGACAAGGAUCAUUUAAUGCGUAGCUUAGGUGUCCUCUUGCUUUAUCGGGGAUGGGAGCGAGGCCCAUCCUGUCCGUCGCUGCUCCUCCUCGCUUGGACACGCUCCUUGGCCAGCGAUGCAUGCGGCGCCAUGUAGGCAGGCAAGCAGCUGAGGUGGCGCGGUGGUGGAGCCUCUAUGAAGAUCUGCAUGCCACCACGCAGGCGUGUGCUGAGUUGGCCUGGAAGCUGCAUGUUGCCACGCAGGUGCCUGCCCAGCUGGUUGGGCUGGCAACUGCAUGUGAACGGCGGUGGAGACUUGGUUGGUGCGGGCCUGGCAGUGGCCCCGCUGACGCCCUUGGUGAGGGUCUUGCCGGGUGGCCCGGCAAGGGUCUUGCCGUGGCGCUGUCGUCCCCGGCAAGGGUCUUGCCAGGGGUCUUGUGGGUUUCCUCGGCAAGGAUCUCGUCGAGGAUCGUUGCCUUCCAAUCCUUAUCUGAUCUUGAAUAUUCUCUGUCAUCACAAAGAUCUGCAUGCCACCAUGGAGGUGCCUCCCGAGCCCUAGGCCAACGUGGUUGAUGGUGUUGGAGACCGUGGGUUCGAGGGUGGCUCACUCUGCUGGUGUGGGCGAGCCGCCCCGGCAAAGGGCUUGCCGGGGCUGCUGAGGCUGCCCCGGCAAGGGUCUUGUCGAGGAAACCUGCUUCGUCCAUCUGCUCUCUUAUGUGGAUGGUUUUGUCGAAGAUCUGUAUGCCAUCUCAGAGGCGCCUCCCGAGCCCUGGGCUCAAGGGUGGUCCACUCCGUUGGCAGUGGGCAGGCGGCCCUGGCAAGGUUCUCGCUGGGGCCGUGGGGGCUGCCCCGGCAAGGGUAUUGCUGGGGGAACCCUCCUUGCCUGUUUGCUCUUGCUCUUGGUGUUUCUGGUCUGGGCGUCGCUUUGACCAUCUUGCGGCUUCGAUUCCUCCCUUCUGCCCUGCUAAGUGUGGAUUCGGCCUAUGGCUCUGACUGCCCAUGCACAAGUAAGGGGUGCAAAGAAGUGCCCCUACUUUGGUACACCGACAGGAGCCCCCGGGCCUGGGCCACACAUAGGCGCAACGCCUUGUUGGGCCAGGCCCAAGACGGUGCGCGGGCAGGCGGGGCGGUUUUUACCGCAGUAUUUGUCCGUCCGCCACGCUUCCCCACGAUCUGCGUUGAAUGUGUGACGUGGUGGUCGCGCGCACGCGCGGGUGAUCAAAGCAUGCUUUUGUCAUCUUGCGGUGAAUAGUAAAGAGGCGGCUUGCGCGUCCCUUCGAGACCGCGGGGCCGCCGCUCAUUUACUGUCCGUACCUGGGAACCGUCGCUCCACUUGUCCCAUUACCCCGUCUCCCACGCCACGUACACCUCAUGCAUGAUGCAGAGCGAAUGACAGGCCUGCGGGAUACGGGAAGGCGUGCACGGGUGGGUCGAUUCCCACGCUCCUUCAAUUGGGAGGGGAUGGCGGUCGACGGCCCCACGCGUUGUCACUUCAAUGAACCGGAUUGGCCGAGAGGGGCAGCCGAGCCCCGCCCCCGCUUCUUUAUAAGCAGGGGAGCAGGAGGAACGGCGCCUCUCAAUCCUUCCUCACCUGCUUCUCUCCAUUCUUGCUCCCUCCUUCCUUCUGCCAUGGCGAGGGGGCAUGGCGACGCUUCAUCGGUGGCGGCGAGGGUCUCGGCUAGAUAAUGCAUCGCUCCUGCCCAAGAGCUCGUGGUGGCAGAGCUAGCCGUUAGAGGAAGGGGAGGGGGGCGAGGUCGAGGCCGUCGCGGCGCUCGAGGGAGAGGAGGACGGGGCGGCAGAUCGGCCUCGCCUCCACCAGUGGCCCUCCCCCGGUGGAGGGUCACAUCGGGGAUAACCCUUAUGAUUUCUUCAUCAGGCUGCGCGAGCCGCCGCGCCGUCGUCUUCGCCUCUCCCCGUCUGAACUACCAACUAACCAUCUGAACUACCAUAUGAAUCACAAUCUAACCAAUGCAACUGAUACGUCUCCGUCGUAUCUACUUUUCGAAACACUUUUGCCUUUGUUUUGGACUCUAACUUGUAUGAUUUGAAUGGAACUAACCCGGACUGACGCUAUUUUUAGCAGAAUUGCCAUGGUGUUGUUUUAUGUGCAGAAAAUAAAAGUUCUUGGAAUGACCUGAAACUCCACGGAACACCUUAGAAAAAACAAUAAAAAAUCCUCGCCAAAGAUGAAGACCAGGGGGCCCACACCCUGUCCACGAGGGUGGGGGGCGUCCCCCUGUGCGCGCCCCCCUACCUCAUGGCCCCCCUGGUGGCCCUCCGACGCCAACUCCAACUCCAUAUAUUGGCUUUCGGGGAGAAAAAAAUAAGAGAGAAUAAAUCAUCGCGUUUUACGAUACAGAGCUGCCGCCAAGCCCUAACUCUCUCGGGAGGGCUGAUCUGGAGUCCGUUCGGGGCUCCGGAGAGGGGGAUUCGUCGCCGUCUUCAUCAUCAACCAUCCUCCAUCACCAAUUUCAUGAUGCUCACCGUUGUGCGUGAGUAAUUCCAUCGCAGGCUUGCUGGACGGUGAUGGGUUGGAUGAGAUUUAUCAUGUAAUCGAGUUAGUUUUGUUAGGGUUUGAUCCCUAGGAUCCACUAUGUUCUGAGAUUGAUGUUUCUAUGACUUUGCUAUGCUUAAUGCUUUUCACUAGGGCCCGAAUGCCAUGAUUUCAGAUGCUCACCGCUGUGCGUGAGUAAUUCCAUCGCAGGCUUGCUGGACGGUGAUGGGUUGGAUGAGAUUUAUCAUGUAAUCGAGUUAGUUUUGUUAGGGUUUGAUCCCUAGGAUCCACUAUGUUCUGAGAUUGAUGUUUCUAUGACUUUGCUAUGCUUAAUGCUUUUCACUAGGGCCCGAAUGCCAUGAUUUCAGAUCUGAACCUAUUAUGUUUUCAUGAAUAUAUGUGUGUUCUUGAUCCUAUCUUGCAAGUCUAUAGUCACCUACUAUGUGUUAUGAUCCGGCAACCCCGAAGUGACAAUAAUCGGGACCACUCCCGGUGAUGACCAUAGUUUGAGGAGUUCAUGUAUUCACUAUGUGCUAAUGCUUUGUUCCGGUUCUCUAUUAAAAGGAGGCCUUAAUAUCCCUUAGUUUCCAAUAGGACCCCGCUGCCACGGGAGGGUAGGACAAAAGAUGUCAUGCAAGUUCUUUUCCAUAAGCACGUAUGCCUAUAUACGGAAUACAUGCCUACAUUACAUUGACGAAUUGGAGCUAGUUCUGUGUCACCCUAUGUUAUGACUGUUACAUGACGAACCGCAUCCGGCAUAAUUAUCGAUCGCUAAUCCGGUGCCUACGAGUUUUCCAUAUACUGGUUCUCGCUUAUUUACUUUUCUGUUGUUACUAUUACAAUCACUACAAAAUACCAAAAACAUUACUUUUGCUGUCUUUACUUUUGUUACUGUUGCCACCACUAUCAUAUUACUUUGCUACUAAACACUUUGCUGUAGAUACUAAGUUUCCAGGUGUGGAUGAAUUGACAACUCAGCUGCUAAUACUUGAGAAUAUUCUUUGGCUCCCCUUGUGUCGAAUCAACAAAUUUGGGAUGAAUACUCUACCCUCGAAAACUGUUGCGAUCCCCUAUACUUGUGGGUUAUCAAGACCUUUUUAUGGCACCGUUGCUGAGGAGGAUAGCUCUAUUCUUUGAGUCACUUGGGAUUUAUAUCUGCUGGACGCUAUGAAGAACUUGAAAGAUGACCGAACUACUAUUUUGCCAUCAACUACAAGGGGAGGUAAGGAACUGCCAUCUAGCCUUGCACUAGAUUCUCCUUCUGUUAUAAGUAAGCUUGCGACACCUAAACCUGCAACUGCUAUGAAUUUUGGUAUGUCGCAUGCUAUUGAUGAUGCCACUUCUGCUAUGCAUGAUACUUAUGAUGAAACUACUUCUAUGCUUGAUACUAUUGUGCCCCUUGGUGAAUUUCUUGAUGAGCAAAUUGCUAGGUCUAGAGAAAGAGAAACUAUUGCACCUGAAUACGAUGAUGAUAGUGAUGAUGAUAAUAUGCCUGCUAUUCCUGAGGGUUAUCUUUUUGAUGCUGAAUCUUCUGUAGCUAUUUUUGCUUGCCAGCAUAGAUAUGAACUUAAGAGGUUGCUAGUUAAAUGGAGUAAAUAAUCUUCUAGAGAUAGAAUGAGACCCGACCCUGCUUUUGCUACUUCACCAAUUUGUGUUCCCGAUAAGGAUUAUUAUGAUUUUUCUGUUGAUCCAGAUAUAAUUACUUUGGUUGAAUCUGAUCCUUUUUAUGGCUAUGAAUCUGAAACUGUUGUGGCACAUCUUACUAAGUUAAAUGACAGCUGCUCUGUUUACUAAUAAUGAGAGAUCGCGCUACCUUUAUUUACUCAAAAUAUUUCCGUUCUCAUUAAAGGGUGAUGCUAAGAUAUGGUUUAAUUCUCUUGAUCCUGGUUGUGUGCAAAGUCCCCAGGAUAUGAUUUAUUACUUCUCUGCUAAAUAUUUCCCUCCUCAUAAGAAACAAGCUGCGUUGAGGGAAAUAUACAAGUUUGUGCAAAUUGAAGAAGAGAGUCUCCCACAAGCUUGGGGGAGGCUUCUCAAGUUACCUAAUGCUUUGCCUGAUCAUCCUCUUAAGAAACCUGAAAUACUUGAUAUCUUUUAUAAUGGACUAACUGAUGCUUCGAGAGAUUACCUGGAUAGUUGUGUUGGUUCUCUUUUUAGGGAAAGAACACCUGAUGGAGCUGAAAUUCUAUUGAAUAAUAUGUUGACAAAUGAAAAUAAUUGGGCACCUCCAGAGCCAGUUCCGGAGCCAAUUACUGAGCCUAUUCCUAAACCAACUCCGAAGAAGAGAGGUGUUCUAUUUUUCAGUCCCGAAGAUAUGCAAGAGGCAAACAUAUCUAUGAAAGAAAAAGGUAUUAAAGCUGAAGAUGUUAAGAAUUUACCUCCUAUUGAAGAAAUACAUGGUCUUAAUUUACCACCUGUUGAAGAAGUAUAUGAUCUCAAUAACUUAUUUACUGAAGAACCUCCCGAUAUCCCGACACAGGUAGUAAAGGUAAAUUCUCUCUAUAGAUAUGAUAAAGCUGAAGUCCCUCCUACUAAAAUUGCUAGUCAGUGCUUGGAUGAGUUUGAUGACUUUAUGUUUAAGCAAGAUGACUUUAAUGCUUAUUUUGGUAGACAUUUAAAACAAAAUACCUUUAUGAUUAAACUCUUGCGUGAUUAUAUGGCUGAUAUUAGAGGUGAACUUAAACUUGUUAGCAAACAUGCUUCUAUGGUUAUACCACUCAAGUAGAACAAGUACUUAAAGCUCAGAAAGAAGUGCUUGAUGAAAUGAAUAGUAAGAAAAAUGAUUAUGCUGUUAGAGUGGCUACUAGAACUGGUAGAAUGACUCAGGAACCUUUGUAUCCUGAAGGCCACCCUAAGAGAAUCGAGCAAGAUUCUCAGAGAAAUAAUAUUGAUGUACCUAGUUCUUCUAAAAGGAAGAAAAAGAAAAAUGAUAGGACUUUGCAAACUUCUAGUGAACCUAUUGUUGAACCACCUGAGAAUCCAAAUCACAUCUCUACGUCUAAUGUUGAAACACAAUCAGGUGAUGAACAUGAACCUAGUGAUAAUAUUAAUGAUAAUGUUCAUGUUGAUGCUCAACCUAGUAAUGAUAAUGAUGUAGAAGUUGAACCUACUGUUGAUCUUGAUAACCCACAAUCAAGGAAUCAACGUUAUGAUAAAAGAGACUUCGUUGCUAGGAAACAUGGUAAAGAAAGGGAACCAUGGGUUCAGAAACCCAUGCCUUUUCCUCCGAAACCAUCCAAGAAAAAGGAUGAUGAGGAUUUUGAGCGCUUUCCUGAAAUGAUUAGACCCAUCUUUUUGCGUAUGCGAUUAACUGAUGUGCUCAAAACAAAUCCUUAUGCUAAGUAUAUGAAGGAUAUCAUUACCAAUAAAAGAAUGAUACCUGAAGCUAAAAUUUCCACCAUGCUUGCUAAUUAUACUUUCAAGGGUGGAAUACCAAAGAAACUUGGAGAUCUAGGAGUACCUACUAUACCUUGCUCCAUUAAGAGAAAUUAUGUUAAAACUGCUUUAUGUGAUCUUGGAGCCGAUGUCAGUGUUAUGCCUCUCUCUUUAUAUCAUAGACUUGACUUGAAUAAGUUGACACCUACUCAAAUAUCUUUGCAAAUGGCAGAUAAAUCAGCUGCUAUACCUGUCGGUAUUUGUGAGGAUGUGCCUGUUGUGGUUGCUAACAUUACUAUUUUAACGGACAUUGUUAUUCUUGAUAUUCCCAAGGAUGAUAGUAUGUCUAUUAUUCUUGGAAGACCUUUCCUUAAUACUGCAGGGGCUAUUAUUGAUUGCAACAAAGGCAAUGUCACUUUUCAUGUUAAUGGCAAUGAGCACACGGUACACUUUCCGAGAAAACAACCUCAAGUUUAUAGUAUCAAUUCUAUUGGAAAAAUUCCAUCGAUUAUAUUUGGAGGUUUUGAAUUUCCUCUCCCUGCUGUCAAGAAAAAGUAUGAUAUUCUUAUUGUUGGGGAUUUUCAUAUCCUUGUUGAGGUAACUUAGUGUCAUUCAAAAUUUCUCCGGUUCCGUGGUUAUUCGGAAUGAGUUUGUUAACAAGACUUGAUCAACCUUGUUAGUGGGUUCAUUUUGAUGAUCACGAGAUGGAUGAAACUAGAAGCACAACCUUCUGUACCCUUUUUAUAUUUUCUGUUAUUUAGUAGAAAUAAAGUAAAAUAGUAUUUUUUCUGUCUGUCUCCUCACUUACCCGUGCAAUAUAAAAAUAUCCCGAAAUAAAAGUCCUCAGAAUGCCAUGCCAAUUUAAUAUGAUUUUCGGGAAUAUUUGAGGAUUAACUGUGCAAAAAUUACCGUGGGGGGAGCUGCCACCUGGCCACGAGGGUGGAGGGUGUGCCCUACCCCCCUGGGCGCGCCCCCUGCCUCGUGGGCCCAUGGUGGCCCUCCUCCACUUACCCCUGCACCCAUCUUCUUCCUAUGUCUCCCGCAAACAUGAAAAACCAACUCAAGCACGAGUUCCAGCCCCCGUUGCUGUGAUUUUCGAUCUCCUUGCUCAAAGCACCUCUCACAAAACUGCUUAGGGAGAUUGCUCCUUGGUAUGUGACUCCUCCAUUGGUCCAAUUAGUUUUUGUUCUAGUGCUUUAUUCAUUGCAAAUUUGUGCUGCAUAGGUGACCAUGUUCUUGAGCUUGCAUGUCAAAUUUAUAUGGUUCCAAGUAGUUCCAAAGCUUUAUAUAGGCUCUAGGCACUUGUGGGAAUUGUUACAUGUGUGUCCCUAUAGGGAGCGUUCACUUUCCUGCUAUACAUUAUUUUGCUCUCUUCAUAGGUAGAUGCAUAAAUGCUAAGGAUGAAGCAUGUCACAUGUGUGUCCCUGAUCUCAGCAUUCUUAGGAGUGCUAUGUUACGAGACCAAUCUUAUCAUAUGGGAGCCAUUAUAGCUCGUAGGUUGCAUCAGAAUAGACAUAACAGAGAUUUCUUUGGAGGAAUUUAUGCAACCCGCUUAGCUAAUUUUCUUGAGAUAGACAUUCGUGAGGGUGAUAUGGGGUUACCCCUUCUUAUUUAGAUUUUGAUUCUAUGGUUUCCCACCAGUUUGUUGAGAGGACUGAACCACCUCUCCAGUAUCGACUAAUCUUUAACAAACGUCAUAUAGUCCAUAUUGCUCUUCCUGCUCUUGCCUUCUUUGAUUCUCAGACAAAAGGAAGAUAUAUUAUUACCAGAGAGGAGGCAGAUGAGUACGAGAGGAGAGCGGAGGCUGCUCGACGCCACGCUACAGCUCAGGCGGCGAUAGCCGCUGCGUCACAGUAUGACCCCAGCUUCACCUACGGGUAUCCGCCAGGCUAUCCCUGGCAAUAGACCAACUUAGGCCAAAAGCCUAAGCUUGGGGAAGUACAUAUUUCCCACCGACAUUGCAUUCAUGUUCACACACUCAUUUCUAGCUGUCGGUGCUCAUACUCUUUCACUGUAUAUCCAUGCUAGUUUAUUUUCUUUUUCCUGCUUUCUUCUUGUGUGUUUGAUAAACCUUAAGAAAAAACCAAAAAAAUUAGUAGUAGUUUAUUUCUUUGCUGUAGUAAUUAGAAAGAAAACCCACAAAAUAUUUCCCAUUCUUCUUUUGCUUGUUGGGAGCUUUCCCGUGUAAAUAGUUUUUAUUUCUUUUCCUUUCUUUGGGGGUCGAGAAGACUAUAUUGAAAAUGCUUAGUGGCUCUCAUAUGCAUGAUUGUUUAUUUAACUUAGAGCCCAUAUUACUUGUCUUCUCUUUGAGUUGAAUGCUUGCAGAUUCCAGCUUAGUCCAAUGCACGUGCACUCUUAUUAUUAUACACAUCGUUCGGUCGUGCAAGUGAAAGGCAAUAAUGAUAAUAUAUGAUGGACUUAUUGAGAUGAGAAAAGCUGGUAUGAACUCGACCUCUCUUGUUUUUGUAAAUAUGAUGAUUCAUCGUUUCUGAGUCAGCUAUUAUGAAGUAACAUAUUUGCAAUGACAUUUAGAGAUUAUAGUUGCUUGUGCCAUGCUUGAUUAGCUAUGAGUUAUAAUGGAUUACCUUGCGUGCCAACAUGCUAUUAGAAUGAUUAUGAUGUGGUAUGAUGGGAUGGUAUCCUCCUUUAAAUGAAUUGAGUGACUCGACUUGGCACAUGUUCACGCAUGUAGUUGAAUCAAAUCAACAUAGCCUUCAUGAUAUUUAUGUUCAUGGUGGAUUAUAUCCUACUCAUGCUUGUAUUUGGUGUAAAUUAAUUUUAAUGCAUGUUUACGACUAUUGUCGCUCUCUCAGUUGGUCGCUUCCCAGUCUUUUGCUAGCCUUCACCUGUACUAAGCGGGAACACUGCUUGUGCAUCCAAACUCCUUAAACCCCAAAGUUGUUCCAUAUGAGUCCACUAUACCUUCCUAUAUGCGGUAUUUACCUGCCGUUCCAAGUAAAUUUAUAUGUGCCAAACUCUAAACCUUCAAAUAAACAUUCUGUUUUGCAUGCUCGAUUAGCUCAUAUGUCAACUAGAGCUUCCCUUAUCUUCCGUGUUAGGUGGGUUAUUCUCAAGAGGAGUGGACUCCGCUCCUCAUUCACGAGAAAAUGGCUGGUAGUCGGGAUGCCCAGUCCCAUGCUUUAUGCAAACUAAAUCAAAAUAACUGCAAACAAAACUCCCCCUGGGACCCGUUGAAUGUUGGAGGCACUCGUUGUUUCGAGCAAGCCAUGGAUUGAUGCUUGUGGAGGAGGGGGAGUAUAAACUUUACCAUUCUGUUUGGGAACCGCCUAUAAUCUGUUUAGCAUGGAAGAUAUCGUCGUCUUUUAGUUGUUAUGUUGACAAUGAGAGUAUGCCGCUCAAAAUAUAAUUUAUCUCUAUUUCAAAACCGAGCUCUGGCACCUCUACAAAUCCCUGCUUCCCUCUGCGAAGGGCCUAUCUAUUUACUUUAUGUUGAGUCAUCACCCUUCUUAUUAAAAAGCACCCGCUGGAGAGCACGCUGUCGUUUGCAUUCAUUAUAAUUGGUUUAUAUUGGGUAUGACUUGACUGGAUCUAUUUUACCAUGAAUUACAAUGUUUAGUCAGUCCUUGAUCUUUAAAGAUGCUCUGCAUUUAUGUUUUGCGGUCUCAGAAAGGGCUAGCGAGAUACCAUUUUGUUAUAUCAUGUUAUGAUUAUUUUGAGAAAGUGUUGUCAUCCGAGUUUUGCUAUUAUAGCUCCUAGCUGAUUAUGCUAUUGAUAUGAGUAAUUGUGAGACCUAUGUGUUAUUGUGAGUAUGGUUAGUUCAUAAUAUUGGCUGAAACUUGAAUGCUGGCUUUUCAUGUUUACAACAACAAGAGCAAACAGAGUUUGUAAAAGUUUUUCUUUUUCUCUUUUAGUUUGUCAACUGAAUUGCUUGAGGACAAGCAAGGCUUUAAGCUUGGGGGAGUUGAUACGUCUCUGUCGUAUCUACUUUUCCAAACACUUUUGCCCUUGUUUUGGACUCUAACUUGUAUGAUUUGAAUGGAACUAACCCGGACUGAUGCUGUUUUCAGCAGAAUUGCCAUGGUGGUGUUUUAUGUGCAGAAAAUAAAGGUCUCGGAAUAACCUGAAACUCCAUGGAACACCUUAGAAAAAACAAUAAAAAAUCCUCGCCAAAGAUGAAGACCAGCGCGCCCCCCUACCUUGUGGGCCCCCUGGUGGACCUCCGACGCCAACUCCAACUCCAUAUAUUGCCUUUCGGGGAGAAAAAAAAUCAGAGAGAAUAAAUCAUCGCGUUUUACGAUAUGGAGCCGCCGCCAAGCCCGAAUCUCUCUCGGGAGGGCUGAUCUGGAGUCCGUUCGGGGCUCCGGAGAGGGGGAUUCGUCGCCGUUGUCAUCAUCAACCAUCCUCCAUCACCAAUUUCAUGAUGCUCGCUGCAGUGCGUGAGUAAUUCCAUCGUAGGCUUGCUAGACGGUGAUGGGUUGGAUGAGAUUUAUCAUGUAAUCGAGUUAGUUUUGUUAGGAUUUGAUCCCUAGUAUCCACUAUGUUCUGAGAUUGAUGUUGCUAUGACUUUGCUAUGCUUAAUGCUUGUCACUAGGCCCCGAGUGCCAUGAUUUCAGAUCUGAACCUAUUAUGUUUUCAUGACUAUAUGUGUGUUCUUGAUCCUAUCUUGCAAGUCUAUAGUCACCUACUAUGUGUUAUGAUCCGGCAACCCCGAAGUGACAAUAAUCGGGACCACUCCCGGUGAUGACCAUAGUUUGAGGAGUUCAUGUAUUCACUAUGUGCUAAUGCUUUGUUCCGGUUCUCUAGUAAAACAGGCCUUAAUAUCCCUUAGUUUCCAAUAGGACCCUGCUACCAUGGGAGGGUAGGACAAAAGAUGUCAUGCAAGUUCUUUUUCAUAAGCACGUAUGACUAUAUACGGAAUACAUGCCUACAUUACAUUGACAAAUUGGAGCUAGUUCUGUGUCACCCUAUGUUAUGACUGUUACAUGACGAACUGCAUCCGGCAUAAUUGUCCAUCGCUAAUCCGGUGCCUACGAGUUUUCCAUAUACUUGUUCUCGCUUAUUUACUUUUCUAUUGUUACUAUUACAAUCACUACAAAAUACCAAAAACAUUACUUUUGUUGUCUUUACUUUUGUUACCGUUGCCACCACUAUCAUAUUACUUUGCUACUAAACACUUUGCUGCAGAUACUAAGUUUCCAGGUGUGGUUGAAUUGACAACUCAGAUGCUAAUACUUGAGAAUAUUCUUUGGAUCCCCUUGUGUCGAAUCAACAAAUUUGGGUUGAAUUCUCUACCCUCGAAAACUGUUGCGAUCCCCUAUACUUGUGGGUUAUCAGCAACUAGGGAGCAAUUAACUCUACAAGAUAAGCAAGUGCAAAUACCUGAUCCUCCACGGUAGGCGGCGCAAUGGGGGCAUCUGGAUUGACUGUGCCGCUUGGUCCCUUCACCUUCUGCAGCGAUGAGGCAGAGCCCGCCACAUCUGCAGCGGUUGCGAGUUUCCCCGCACCAUCAUGAACGCCACCAACAUCCGUGGUCGCCGCGCCCGGACCCUGCAGCUCCACCACAUCUCCGGCCGCUGCGCCGGCGUCGCCACGAGCGUCGGCCAUCUUACAGAUGGAGGCGAUGAAGGUGAGGAAGAGGAUGCGGUGGGGGAGAGCGAGAUGGUGCGGUGGAGGCAGUGGAGGAGAGCAAGAUGACGCCGGUGGGGGAGAGGAAGAAGAUGUGGCAGGGAGGGGAUUUGGGGUUAAAUGGUAGGGGCGAUGGAGGUGGUUGCCCUCUUUAUAUGAUGGGACGUUUCAGGCAUGUCCAUGGACACAUGCUACCCCACGACCGCGGUCUCGCAUGCGCCCACGUAUACGCGGCCCCACUCGUCAGCUAACGGUCAAAGGUAUUGACCCGACAACAACGUCCGUUAUAACCUGUUUUGAGGGUUUCGGGCAAGGGAGUGGGGAAAAGUGAGCAAAAGUUAACAGAGUGGGGAUGAAUGAGUAGAGCUAGGGAACCAGGAGCACAGAAAUAAAAAUCCCUUUUGUGUAUGGGGCAAUGAGAUAUUCAUGAACAAGCAUCAAGUGAGGAAAUUGAUAAGGAUUGUUAGCAAAAAGAUAUGAAUUGUGGCAAGCAAAUUAUUUGUUUAUGCUCUAUCCAACACAAGAGUGAGCUGUAGGAUGGUAACUACAAAAUCUGCAGCCUUGUCUUUUUACUGCCCAUAAUGAUUUGUUAGAAAACAAUGUCUGAAUCUUUUUCAUUCGCGGUGGUUCCCGAAGCAGUUCACUCAAGAUUACCUUGCAAAGUACAUGAUUGGUGGACACACAAUAAAGGUUAAAGUAUUUCAUCCAGACUAUAGUGAGCAUCUAGAAGUCAUAAUGAAGAUAGUGAAGGAUGGACGGGAAACCAUCACAAGGGGUUGGCCUAGAGUCAUGCGCGCAUUAUGCAUGAAGGAGGGCACAAUAUGGGCAUUCCGCUUCAGCUUCUCCAGCAACCAAACUGUCUUUCGCCUCUCUCUUUACAGUCUUUAGUACAACUGUGGUCCAUCAUUCUUUACUUGGUGCUUUUGUAGUUCUUCAGUAUAUGUACCUGUGCAUCAAAUUAUGCAUUCGUGGUUGAACCUAUAUUUGUAAUAAACCUGGUUGGAUAUGAAAUAAGUGAUUGCCUACUUUCAAAUUCAAACAAGUGAUUUUUUUUCAAUUAGGGAUUAAUUAGGGAUUACACUGCACAUGCUUAGCAAAAGCGAAACGUAUGGAAUAGACAUGGAGAUCAGACACGUUUCUAGGAUUUACUACGUGUGCGAUCAAUCUCCACCGCACACAUGAUUAGCAGGAAAAAACGUGUGUGAUCAAUCUCCACUGCACACAAGAUCAGCCAAGAAAAAACGUGUGCGAUUAACAACAGUAUCGCACACAGUUCUUUCUUAUUAAAUGUUUGUGAUAUUCACCUUACCACACACGCCUCGAAAUUAUUGACUGUUUGUGAUGUUGUACGCAUCGCAAACGUUUGGUACUUCUUAGAUUAACUGUGUGGGUUGUACAUACUAACGUAAACAUAUUCCUUGGAUGGAAUGUGUGGAAUGUACAUAUGAACGGAAACGUUUAGCGGAGGCUGACUGUGUGGGAUGUACUUAAAACAGGAAAUGAUUUCGCCUGUAUAAUUCUUUUUUAGCACUAUUGUGCGUAUAACCGUAUUUGCUCGCUCGCCGGUCGCACACGACCUCAUUUUGCCGAGCGUGUGUGCCAGGAGGGCAUAUCCCCGACGGUUUUUGGGUCGUGUGGGAAGGGCCCCCCUAUCGCCCACACUCACUUGGCGACGUUUCCAAAUUCCAUCGCGGAAAGGUGUUUAAAACCGUUUGUAUAGCACCGACGCGUACUAGUGCACUUCGAGUAUCGGAGAGGUAUCUCUGGGCCCUCUCGGUAAUGCACAUCAUAUGAAGCCUUGCAAGCAAUGUGAGUAAUGAGUUAGUUACGGGAUGAUGCAUUACAGAACAAGUAAAGAGACUUGCCGGUAACAAGAUUGAACUAGGUAUGAAGAUACCGACGAUUGAAUCUCGGGCAAGUAACAUACCGAUAACAAAGGGAAUAACAUAUGUUGACAUUGCGGUUCGACCGAUGAAGAUCUUCGUAGAAUAUGUGGGAAACAAUAUGUGCAUCUAGGUUCCGCUAUUGGUUAUUGACCAGAGAGGUAUCACUACUAGGAAAACCCUUGCCAGUAGCGCUGGUUUUUUGGCUAUUAGUAGCGUGGGCAGGCGCGCUACUUCUACGGUGCUACAACUAUUUUUUAGCAGUAGCGCUUGUUUGAACCAGCGCUACUGCUAUCUGUAUCUAGCAGUAGCGCACCUCUGUCCAUCACUACUGCUAAUACUAGUAGCGUGGCCCUUCAAAAAAACGCUAUUGGUAAGCAGCGCUGCUACUACUCCAAUACCCCACACUACUGCUAGUAUUUUCUUUUUUAUGUUGUUGUAUUCUUAGUUUUACAGGUUUUAUACUGUGACACCCCAAAAAUUUUAACCUGGUUUUGUUAAUUAAAUCUUGCCAGGAAAUUUAACUUUUCAUUUUUUUUGGUUUUCUUGAUUUCGGAACCAUUCUCUUGUUGGUUAUUAUGGAGUUUUUACCCCAAGUGAAAACUUUCCAAAUGUUUUGUUGGACUUGUGUACCCUCUCAAGAAAAACUUUUCCUUUCAUCAGAGGAAUUAGAUAUAUAAUGAUUUCCCUGAUCUUUAUUACUUUAAAAAUGGUCUCCCAUGGUUUUAGGGUACCAUUUCAACUACAACCCUUUGAUAAAUUUAUUUAAAAUUCCAACCAAAAUUUGGAGAUGUCAUGUGAUGUUUCUAAAUCACUUUUAUGCAAAAAUAUCUUCUGUCCAUUUGGAAAUUUUGAGCUCUACAACAUAUUUUUCAAAUCUGGUCCAGUGGGCAAAAUUUGCACUACAGCCUACUUAAAUAUUUCUUUAAAGCAUCCACCAAAAUUAUGGGAUGUCAGUGGUAGCAUGCAAUUCAACCUUAUGCAAAACCCUAGUGUUGUUCUUUGGAAAUAUUGAGUGAAUCAACCUCUUUUUCAUUCUGGUCCAGCCUUGUGAUUUCUACUGCAACCCUAAUUAUUUUCGCUCUAGUGACCUUGUGCUUUCUCCUGCUUGUAGUCAACCCUACAAAACCCCUAAGUCCAGGAGCAUGCACCCAUUGGGACAUUUUUGGUUCAUGUAAUGAUGCCGUUUACCCCCUGUCCAGAAUUGAAGUUUUGCAAGUUUUGCACUAGCAAGUUUCUAGAUUUGGCCAACUAACCUUGCCAUCCUGACCUGCAUCUAAAGAGACUAGGAUCUGGAAGAUUUGGCCACUCCAAGAAAUGCCUAGGUGCCUGUGGCAUUUUGUCAAACACCUUGAGUGCGUGAACAACUUUGACAUGUCUUUUGUCAUUGCACUUUGACCUUGCACCUCUGGGCAAACUAACUUGUCCACUAAGCCUCUGGAUGACUUUAACCUAGGUCUGUUAAACCCCAACCUCACCCGAGACCUCUAGCAUACCCUGGCAUUUUGUCGAGCACGUCCUGUGCGUGCUCUGGGCACGAGCAGAGCACGCGUUUUGCACGUGCUGCGCCCGAGCCGCCGCGUCACGCCCCUGGUUUCACCCACACUGCAGAGCCGUGCCACACACUCUCCCUCUCACCAGAACACGCCAAGCAGCCCCUCGCCAUGUCUCUGGCAAGCCAGGAGCUAGCCGCCACGGCCACCCGACAGCCCCUGCCUGCUCAGGUCGGUGCCGCCCGAGCCGCUAGCGCUCGCCACCUGCCCCUGGAGCAGCGCGAGCUCAUCCACAAGCGCGUCCUCUAGCCCUCGUCGCCGCCACGUCGCCCUGACCGCUACAGAGCGGCGGUUCGCCGAUGACCUUAUCCUCGGCUGUGGAACCGCCAUGGAUGUGCUAUAAAAGGAGGCCCCCGAGCUCCUCCGAGCACUCAGGCAGCCUCUCACCGACCUCCUAGUGCCCUCGUUGCCAUCAAUUGAAGGGGAGAAGGCCGUCUUCCCCAACUCCGGCCGGUUCGGCUGCCGCCAUGUCCCAGUCCAUUUCGUCGCGACCAAGCCCCCUCCCGUCCAUCCAACACCACCAACCGACUCCCCGUCGUCUUGCGGAGCCACCCAUACCCCCCACUGUGACGGAGAGCCACCGUAGCCCCAAACCCAAUUUGCUCCCGAAGCCACCGACCGCCGCGAGGCUCGCCGCCGACGACCCCCUCCGUCUCCGCCGGCAAAUCGACCACCGAUAGGACCGCCUCGACCCCCUGAGCCCGCGGAUGGCUUCGGAUUCUCGAACGGUGCUGCCGUUCGCCGGCGAGUAUCGCCGGAGUCCCGCACCCCGCUCGGGCAGAGGAAGAGGAGGGAGGGAAGACCAGUCAAACCUGACCAGUGGGUCCCCCGGACCCACUGUCAGUGACACACGCCUGUCCACACGUGGAUAAGUGGAGACGUAAAAUCAGAGUACGUGUUUGACGUGUACGUAUAUUCGAAUCGUUUUUCUUUUCUGUUUAAAUUUUAAAUAAACAGAGUUUGACCAAACUUUGACCGACCAUAACUUUUUAAAUAUAACUCCAAAUGAAUUGAUUCUUUUUCCUAACUUUCUCAAAUAUAUCCUAGUUUAUUUUCAAAUUUAUUUGAAAAAAUUUGAGACAACUUUUUGGUACUGCUUUUGAAACUAUAUAUUGAUUCAAAUAUAUUUUUAAUAGGAUUUUUGGAGAGAGGAGAUAGCUUUCAAAAGUUUUGGGAGUGCACCUUGCCUCCCCACAACUUGAAGGCAAGCAUUCUGAACCCUGGCAUGAUAUUGUAGUGUGUUGUUUGAUACGGUUACAACACCUCUCGUCUUGGAGUUUUUUUUCGUUAUUUUUCUAUGAUAAUAAGUGCAAACUCACGAGUGCAUAUUGAUGAUUCAUGCUAUUGGAGUUUGAUAUGUUGAGAUGGUAGUCACCAUCACAUACCUCCCGUGCAUACCGGAAGGAACCCAGGAAAGCUUCUGUCUUGGGUAGACACGAGCUUGUUUCUGUUCGUUGAGACGAAUGUGUCCGGUACGGCAUAGUGAGACAAUGAGCGGUGGUUAUGUCUGUUAGUUAAAGACAUAUUUGUUAUGCUAAACAUGCAGGAAAUUUAUAAUCCUCCUGAGUCGUCCGUAGACCGAGUCUUGUUCUAGUAACCCCCAUACUUGUUUCGUACUACCACUUGCCCUGCCGCGGGUAGGGUGCGGUUCAGUAAAUUGUCAACCACUUUCUUGGCACACACCGUACAGAGAGGCCAUGGUGGAAGAUACCGGUUGUAGCCGGUAGGCAGGCCACCUAGUCCAGGGGCAUGGGUGUUUAGUUGGGACUGAGAGGGGAGGCCACCCCUUAGAGCGCGCGAUAUAAAUUUGAUCCCAUGCUACGCGAGGUUGUAGCCUCCCCACUUAGAGUUUUACUUGACUGGUGUCGUGGGUGAUUCCAAACAUCGGUAAGUUAAGCUUGUGUGUGCAAGUCAGGUGUGUUUUCAAUUACAAGACCGUAGACGGAAUUAGUCCCGAUGGACUAAAGGAAUCCGUUACUCGUGGGUAAAGAGUACACCCUUUGCAGAGAUCAAAUCUAUUUGAAUAGCCAUGUCCAUGGUUAAGGACUACAGUCUGGGAUGGGUGAAGUGCCGGUCUUAGUGUCGGUCUUCAGAGGUGAAACCGUUAAACCAGAACUUUGAUUUUUACUUGUGAUAUAUAAUAGUUACGAUUAUUAUUGUUGUGGACUAAUCAAGUGUAGUGUUUGAAGUUAUGAAUAUCCCUGGGAUGGUUCUACCUCUCGGAUAUUCACGGUGAUUACUUAUUUAUUUUUAUAAGCCCUUUAUGUGGUGUCGCUGAGAUGCCCGACUGUGGCAUGCUUGUUGUUUAUAUACUUUAUAAGCCCUUUAUGUGGUGUCGCUGAGACGCCGGACUGUGGCAUGCUUGUUGUUUAUAUACUUUAUAAGCCCUUUAUGUUGUGUCGCUGAGACGCCUGACUGUGGCAUGCUUGUUGUUUAUAUACUUUAUAAGCCCUUUAUGUGGUGUCGCACAGACGCCCGACUGUGGCAUUUUAUUUCCACUCCAUUAUUGCAUAUUCGUGUUGCAUAUAAAUAGCCUGCUUGCGUGCAUAAAAGAUUUUUAUUUUCUGACUGAUGAGGUGAUCAUAGAAUAUUUCAAUGCACGAUUAUCAUUUAUAUUAUCCCAGUGUUCAUAAUGUUUGCGAGUACCUUCAAAGUACUCACUGGCUUGUCCCUGGCUAUUGUCUUGGCCAGAUUUCUUGCUUGGAGAAGGGCGUUCCGACGACAGCCCCGGAAACUAAGCAACGGUGAUAGCAGCCUCGCGAAGAUAGGAGCUAACCUAGUUAGAUGUUCUUGUGGGAAAUGGAGACCCAUAGACACUGAUGAUCCACAAACUGCUUCCGCCCUCAACCACUUGAAACCAUUUGUUGUACUCCAGGCCAGGAUGGUCUUGUACUACAUAUUUGUAUUUUGCUUGGAAAUUCUGUAUCAAGUCGGUGUCUCAUCAGCUAACAGUUAUCCUGGGGUUGGUGAGCACAAUGGCCAUUUUCUGGGAAAUCAAUUACCCAGAAAACCGGUCGCGACAAACUUGGUAUCAGAGCCAGGCUGAACAUUGGCUAAUCCUAUCUUAGCCUGGUCGAAAAACCUAGGUUAACCAACCCACCAGACUCUAACCAAAACCUCGGCCAAGCUUCCCACGCAAGAUAGCCAUACAGUGAGUCUGACACCUUUUGGCAGUCGGUGCCCAACCUAUCCACCUAGCCUGUCGAUCACGCACCAGUGACCGACGCCUGAGAUGUAUCAUUCGCAAGCGUGCGAAGGAAGACUCCGUCCCCUUUUUCUAUAAAAAGGACACGCUAGCCUCAACCCAACACAGCACAGCCCUACCCCAAACCGAGCCAUAAUGCCUGGCCCCGUCGUGCACAAUGAGACCACAGCAACCAACCUUGGAAGCUUUGUGACCAUACUCGCAAACCUCACCCGUCGUGCCUAUGCGUUAGAAGAGCCUCCAGAAUAUGUUGUGUACCAAGGACCCAUGGGCGGUGAAAGCCGUCAAUUCUGGGCCACCGUGCACAUCUACGGUAGGGGUGUAUCUCUAGAACGCCCCUACAGGUUCACUGGAAGGACAACUUCCUUUGAGCCACAAGCCAUCCAACUAGCUGCUCGAGAGGCCGUAGUUCAACUCCGGCACUUGUCGCCCAGAGUUAACUGCCGCUCGUUCUACUACUAUCCCUGCCGUGAUGGGUAUGGUAGGCCACCCUAGGUUGCCAACGGAGAUCACGAGACGGAUCCUGCUUUGCUGCAUCUAGUGCGCUAUGUAAGUGCGCUAGAGAAACUGUUUGAUCAAAUCACCCUUGACCUGAUCGCAGCUCGUGGAGAACUGGUUCGCCGAGCCCCGGCAAGGAGAGAACGAGCCCGAUGCCGACAACCCAAUUGUGCUGUUCGAACACCCGAUCGAGUCCCUGAGGUCUGCCCCAGUCAUCGACCAAGGCGCUUUGAUGACCCCAGAAGUGCUUCGUCGCCUUUUGGGAACACGCUCCAACGAGACUGUGGCCAACAACCCCCGAGAUGGUCAUCAUCGCUACCCCGACCCUGCAGCCCCUCAACCCCCUCCAGCUAAUCCUGACAGUGAGAUCCGAGGAGAAGCCUCGACAUCCACAAGGCACGCCCGCUUGGAUAUAAACGAGGUAGACUAAGUUACCCGAAUAGUGCCGAGUCCCAGUGUAUCCUCGCAUUGUAAUCAUGUGACCUUGCGAAUAAACGCAGCCUGUUGUUGUGCCUCUGUUUUUAAAUAGUAACCUUGCAAGGUUAUUUUAGCCUGCAGUUACAUUUUUAUUCCGGGCACAGCUACCAAAACCAACCCCGACGACAACCAAAGUACCACGUCACUCUUGUGAGAUAUGUGUAUCUGUGGCUUUGACCCCGACCCCAUGAGAGCAGAACCGACAAACUAGUACCCCUCACCGCAGUAGAUAACCCAGCCGGGAUGCUAUAUAAAAAGGCCACCUCGUGACCUUGCCAAGCACCCCUCACCUUGUGCACCAUUUCUUGCUAUGCCGAGCCCUAGUAUUUAUCUGAGAACCCCAGAUGCAACCCCGGGUAGUUUUGUGAAAAUAUUGUGGCAUUUUACCUGCAGUACCAUGGGUUCUACCCAGCCACCCUAGUACGAGCUGUUCAAAUCGAGAAUCACACAGUCCACCUCGAGAUAUUGGGCAGUAGUGCACAUCCCUCCCGUAAACUCAAACCAAGACCCAACGGAGGUCUCCUUCAUGGGGAAAUCUAUGCCGACCCCACAUAUGGCCAUAGAAGCUGCUGCGUACGAAGCGCUUGCUCGACUUUGGUUCGCGGUACCCUAUGCCAGCGAACGAGGGUAUUAUUACUUUCUGAGCCAUGCAGCACCCGGAACGGUUAAAACGCUUGGUCCACCCAUGCUUUUCCUCUCCAUUUUUCACAUGGAAAGGGAAAGCAGUGCCAACUUAUUGGAAUUCUGCAGCCCGGCCCCUUUUCUCUUUCUUCCAACGGAAAGGGUUCUCUUCUCUUCUGGUAUGGAGUUCGACUCGCUUCGGUUCCUGAACUGAGGGAAACCGGUGCCUGAGAGAUCCGUUAUCUGCAGUCUUUGAGCUUGGGGAAUCGGUCCUGCACUUGUCCUAUCAUACCUUUUUCGUGUAUACGAAAUAGUGGACUUGACUAACUCAAUUCUUAGGAAAUGGCGAAUAAGAUCAUUUGCUCUUACCUCAACAAGGGAAGCCCCCAACCAGUUUGCUUGCUCACUAGAAGAAUCAAGCGAGAGCAGCUAGUUUAGAAGGAAAAGGACACCUGGGGCUAUUCGGCCGCAGCGUUGUCGCCCACCCCGCUUUGGGCACGGGGAGGCGAGAACCACCCCUCCAUUCAUUUCCUUUUCUUUCCAGGCUAGCUCCCGGCAUUCAAAUCAACAUGUUUUUAUUCUUUAGCCUUUUCGCCCAGCUUUGUCAUUAUUGACAUGUUUUUGCGAUCCCUAUUUUUGAGAUCCUCAAUGACUACCACCAGAAAGGGAAUAACGAACUUGCAAAAUGGAUCUGUUUAUCAUAAAGAGAUUCAUUGUUCCAGACCCUGCUUCACCUUAAUUUUUAUUUGAAUAAAAAGAUCACAAUAAACUUUUGGUUAAAGUUCUAUCUUGGUCGAAGUGAUGGUGGGGGAUCAAGAAGAGUGGCUAUGUGGGGUUUGAACUUGGACACCACCGUGUUCGCGCCGGCGGUCCAACAAAGAGGCGAAGUAGUGGUGUCUUUCUUUCCAUUACGAAUGAGUAACAUCCUUUCCCGAUGGACGUAUUGAGAGAGACCCAGUGCUGGCUAACCUUGUCCAGUACGUCAUGGCUCAAGAACAUUUAACCCAAUGUGUGAUGGGUUAUCUACAGAGCCUCGCGAUUUUAAAUCCUCAGAUCGCCAUCGGUAGACCACUAGGCCCGGCCAGGAGAGGCACAUUCAUCGACUGGUCAAUCCACUGCCCCCGAUAAAAGAAGAGUGUGUCCCAGUACCAGAGACGUUUUCUCGGGACCCCAUCCAGUUACCGUUUCCAUUUUAGACGUCACUACUGUGUUUAUUAUUGCAACAUUUAUUUAUGUGUUGUAACUUAUGCGUGGUACCCUGAGUUUGCGACGAGUCAAUUAUUUGGCUUCUCCUAAUAUGUGUAGUUUUUGUUGUGGUUUAUUUUUUCUUUAAAUUAAACGAUUUUCCUCGCGAAAAAUCCUGGAAUAAGACUUCUUUUCCCGGAGCUGCUGCAUCGUAUGCCUUCUCACGACAUGGGAUUUUUUUAUUCACGCAGCACCACGGCAGGAGACUCACAACCACAAUCACUCGAACACAUACACUGCUUGCAAAACCUUGCAACCGUGUUGCAUCUAACUGGUCACCUCCCGACAACAGUUAGCACCCGACACACCCCACCUACUCCUCGUGAUCACCGCCCGACAACGUAUUUCAUGGGCACUUUUUGAAUUAUCAUGAAUAUUUUUAAAUUUCAUGGACACUCGAUCUCGAUCCCCCUCCAUCUCGGUCGCUAUCCUACCUCGCCAGAUCCGACCCCCCUCACCGCCGAGCACCCCCCGGUCCACUGACCGCCGCCGCCGACCCCCCGCACCCUCGAUUCCCCUACUCAACCGCCGCCGCCGACCCCACNNNNNNNNNNNNNNNNNNNNNNNNNNNNNNNNNNNNNNNNNNNNNNNNNNNNNNNNNNNNNNNNNNNNNNNNNNNNNNNNNNNNNNNNNNNNNNNNNNNGGCAUUACUGUUUGAUGAUAUUUAAAAAAAAUAUUACUAUCUUAUAAAAAAAUAUUACUGUUAUGAUUUAAACAAGUUUGAAUAUAUUUAAACACAAAUAAGUAUCAAACAACAUUUUAAAUGCAUAGAAAAAAUUGUGGAGCCUGGGAAUCGAACCCAGGACCUCCUAGUGUGAGAACUGGCUGCUGACCAGUCAAGCUAGUAGAGGGAACUUGAUGUGGAUCAGGUCAGGUGGAAGAUAACCUGUUGGCUCAAGCAAAAAUCAAAAAAAAAAUACUAAUGGCGCACCAGGGUGAGGUGCGCCGUUAGUAUGGAUGUACUUAUGGCGCACCGAGGGGUGGUGCGCCAUUAGUAUUGUGCCGCCCCCAUCCAUAUUUCCUCCCCGGCCCAAACCUAUCCCCUCUCUCUCCCUCGCCCUCGCCCUCGAUCCCCUUCCCCUCUCCUCUCCUGACGCCGCUGCCCCACCGCCUCGACGCCGCCCCGACGCCGCCUCGACGCCUCGACGCCGCCUCGAUGCCCCNNNNNNNNNNNNNNNNNNNNNNNNNNNNNNNNNNNNNNNNNNNNNNNNNNNNNNNNNNNNNNNNNNNNNNNNNNNNNNNNNNNNNNNNNNNNNNNNNNGACGCCUCGACGCCUCGACGCCGCUGCCCCGCCGCCUCGACGUCGCUGCCCCGCCGCCUCGACACCGCCCCGAUGCCACCGAGGAGCACAACCUGGCGCAGGCGCAUGGCGUGCAGGGCUACCCCACCCUCCUCUUCUUCAUCUACGGUGUGCCCAGGGACUACUCCGGCGAGAGGACCAAGUGAGCAAUUUCUGCAGAUCCCCAAUUCCCUCCCUGUUCCCGCUCCGCAGCUGCUAAGAAUUUUGUUUUUGCUUUGCUGCAGGGACGCCAUUGUCGCUUGGAUCGGCAAGAAGCUGGGCCCUGCGGUGCAGAACCUCACCGUCGUCGACGAGGCCGAGAAGAUCGUCACCGGCAACGACGUGGCUGUGCUCGCCUUCCUCGACCACCUCUCAGUAUGCAAUGCGCCUUCUCCAGUGGCAGCAAAGUCAAACAAACCCAAAAUUGGUUCAGUUGCAAACCAUGUUACCCACAUUGACCGAAAAUUGGUUGAAUUGCAAACCAUGUGACCCAGAUUGACCCAAGAAUACAAUGCUUGAAUUGUGGCCAAACCAAGAACAUGUGGCCAUGUUACCCAAAAUACAGUGCACCUAGUUUUCCCAAUGCCUUUAUUCUUCUGCUUGCUCACUACUAGAUGAUCCAAGUGCGACCCAUGUCAACAAUUGCCCCCUUUGAACCCAAAAAGCAGUACAUAUAGUCCAAUCCGUGCGGCUCUACGACUCGACAGCACAUAACAGGAAUUUAGAAGGGAAAUUGCUGGAGAGCAUGGCCAUAAACUUACAGGAAACGGGUGACAAAAUAUUGUACAAGGGAAGUAGCAUAACUUGCUGGAGUGCAUUCAGAUGUGCAUGCUGCAGAGCUAUGUCGUUUAUCUUUUAGUAGUGAAUUAACCACACAAUAGAAUUCAUCUCUGAGCAACAUAUGGGCAGAAGAACAUGAGUUUGUAUAGUUACUAACAAUGAAGAUUCUGUGCUUGCAAUGCAGAUUCUGUAAAUUGUGAGGAGAGCAGAGCAGAGGUAGCAGCAACUGAAAGUCUGAAUUCUGAAGAUCUCUGGGCAAUGCAGUGUGAUGUAGUAUUGUUGCUCAUGGUAGCCUGGGCUGACCAAUCCAGGCGCCAAUGUUUCUGAAGCUAGGAAGGUGUGCAUGCAUGCUACUGAAUUGUGCAGUGUAUCUAGUAAACUAACGACAUGCAAAUUGUUCAUGGCGGCCUGGUUUGACCGAUCCAGAAUUAUGGACGCCGUUGGUUCUAAACCUAGGUAGGGGACAUGUGUGUAGCCCUUUUGCUGUCGGCGCAGUUUAUCUAGCAAAAUUAACAUAUGGUCCAAGUGCUAGUACUGCAGCAACUAAAAAUCGUGAACUAAUUGACAAAGUAGAGUAGAGCUUGCAGCAACUGAAAAAUCUGAACUCUGAAACACUCUAGCACGAGAGUAGAGCAGAGUGUAGCAUUAGCAUAUGAUCCAAGUGCUAGUACUGGUAGUAAAUAGCUAAUACAGUUAAUGAAGAAGAAAAAAAAACUGCUAGUAUAGUUAAUGAAGAAGAAAAAAAACUGCUACUACUGCUAGUAAAUAGCAUCAGACUGAAUGUCUUUUAUAUAUGGUACUGCUAGUAAAUAGCUUCUUCUAUAUACUAAUUUGCAUCAAAGUGUAGAACAAAGCAUCAGACUGAAUAACUAACAGUGGGUAAUUAACCUAACUAUUCAUUUUUCCUUAGGUUAAUAUUAAAAUGUCCAGUGUAUAUAUAUUUGAAAAUGAUUGCUGCUAGAUGUUAAUUUGCUGGUACUAGCUAGAAUUUGGCACUGAAAAGCAAAAGCAAAAGCUAAUUAACUGCUGGGUAAUAGCACUGGUACUAGGUAGCUAAAAUAUGUGUUCUGAAACACUGAGAGCAGGAACACUUACUACAUACAUAUGCUCAAGAAACACUUACUAACCAGAAAAGGUUUUGACUUGAAAUGUUAAUAGCACAGAGAGCACCACAAGUUAAACACCUCAAUCUGUUAGUAUUUGUCUGCAUUUUCUCACAUUCUUCUUGUAUCUAAUCCAGUAUUGCUUGUAGUGGUUUGUCCAAAAUGUUGAAUGAUACUGCUUGGAGAUGCAUAUAUUGUUUCACCUCUUCACAUGCCAAUGUAUUUUCCAUGUUGUGAUGGAGGCCUUUUUUGCCUUGUCCACCCGAGAGGCCCUUGAGUUUGCUGGAAUGUCGAUUAACUUCCGUUCCAGCAAAUUCGGGGACUCCAUAUGUCCUAUUUUCAGCAAAGGUCAUGCUGAAAUUUUCCGUGAAUUUUAGCAUGACUUUGCUAAAAAUAGGACAUAUGGGGUACUUGUGACUAAUGCAUGGGGGUACUUGUGACUAAUGAUGAAAGCUUAGGCUUUUAGGGUGCCUCGGCGUCAAAAACCCCUCAAUGAUAAAAUCAUAGCUUUUAGGAUGCCUCAAUGUCGACAAACCCUAAAUGAUGAGACCAUGAUCUUGUUCCUUGACAAUAACCAACUUUUUGACCAAACUUUGUUCCUAUUUAGAGAGAAACAUGGCCAACAACGAUGAGGCCGGGGGUUCGGGCGGCAAGGCAUUCUGGGAGCUGUCCCAGAAGAUGGAGGUACAACCUCACUUGUAUGAGGACGCCGCCUUCCCCACCGAUCCUAAGACCAGUGGUGGUACCGCCGAGGAUGACCCCACUGAUGCCACCACUGAUGGUGCCGCCGAGGAUGCCACCACUGAUGAUGGAGGCGCACGCACAGAUGGCAGCCAACAGAAGAGGCAACAGAAGGACCGGCCCCCGACCGUGCUCCGCACCCUCAAGGAGGAAGUUACUGAAGUGGACUCCGACGGGAAUCCAACGGCGCCCGAACAAAUAGUCAAGGGGUACUCGCUCAGCUCGGGUGCAUUCUCCGGAGCACCGUCUCGAUCAACACCGAGAACCUGAGGCAUCCUGACCGAGGGAAUUUGCGCAACCUCCUCUUCACGAAGCUGCACGAAUGAUACAAGUUCCCCGCUGAAUUUGAAAACACAAGCCUCAAAAGGAAUAAAGUGAACAAUGCUGCCCUCACGAAGAUGAGCAAGGCCCUCUCUACUUGGAAAAGCAAUGUGAAGAGAAUGAUCGAGAAAGGUGAGAGUUAUGAGAAGAUCAAGGAGAAAAAUCCUUCGAUCACCGAAGAUGACUACAACGACUUCAAGAUCAAUUGCUCGAGCACCACAAACUCCCAAUCAAGUCAGUGGGGGAAAGAAAUGCGGGAGCUGAACUUAGGGGAACACACACUCGGUCCCGGUGGUUACAGAGUGGCGGAGCCUAUGAGGAGGCGGACCGUGCCGAGCAAGGCCUACCGCCCCUCUUCGAUAAAUACAGUGACAAGCAGACCAGGACCUUUGUCAGGGCCCAGUACAAGAAGGACCCGAAAACAAAGGAGCUUACCACGGAUCCGAAGACCAGGGUGCUUGAGCUUGUUCUGGUAAGGAAUACACCCCCGCGUAAUUAGCUCCAUAUGGUUGCAUUCUAAUUAAUGAAGCCAAAUUUCUAAAUGGUUCACAUUCCUUCCGCAGGCGACUGAAAGCAGUAGCGCGGGGUCGACUAAGAGCAACCCUUGGGACACCACUCUAAAUAGGGCGUUGAAUGUAAUGAAGAACAAGGAUAAGCUCAGUAAGCCGACGUCAGCUGGUCGUGUGGCCGGCAAAGGCUUGUCGACAAAAUGGUCGUCAUACUAUAACAAUGGUGGGAGAAAGGAGAAAAAGACCAGCUCGGAAAACCAGGCACGCGAGGUUCAAGAACUCAAGGCACAGGUGGCGCGGAUUCCAGAGAUUGUCCAAGAGCAAGUGCAACAACAACUCGGAGCGACGAUCACCGCCAUUGCGCCUACCUUGAUCGAGGGGUUGAGUGCGUGGAUUGCGGGCGGCCAACAGGGGCCGCCCCCGAUUCCUAGCUUCAUGUCCAGCAACUCGCAGAAUGCGAUGGCGGGGCCAUUGGUGUCUCUGGCGGAGGCGGCAUUGGUGUCUCCGACGCCGGAACGGGAGCUUAAUGCACCCGGGUGUACGCCGGCCGGCACCUCUGCAGCAAGCGGCCCCUCCGUCAACUGCACGCCCGCCGUUGGCGGUGCCUCGACAUUAGCCGAGCUCGACGCCAUCAUCACGGUAACUAAUUAAGCCUCUCUCGGCCGAGGACUUCAUCUCCUUGCCUUUGACUGGGCAUCCCUGACGCCCUACAUGAUUUCGCAGGGCGCCGCCGACGUUCCGUGCACUCUCCUGCACUUCGUGAACAACGAGUUGGUCGAUGUCGCCAAGGGAAAAAUCAUUCAACCAGGCAACCCCUUGUUCCACGGUACCCAGAUGCCACCCAACUUGUUUAGGGUUGAACUGGUUCGGGUGCUGCCAGGCUGCAACGAGUUGUUACCUCCGAUUCGACCCGUUGGGGCCGACGAUGAUGACGUGAUGACCCUCAGCGCCUGCCUGUGCUGGCCCCUGCUUUGGCCGAAGAGCCAGAUUUGUUUGGGGGCGGGGGACACCACCCCAAAGACAACACCCCAGUCGUGACGGCGCCAAGUCGGCCCCAUGGCAAGACCGCCGCAACGGUGCCGGACAUCCCUAUGCCACUGGAUCCAAACAUGCAUAUGGCACAGGAUCAGAACGACGACGACGACGAUACAUUUGGCAACGUCGAUCAGUACUUUGCCGAACAUGGGUAUGAUGGCGACUUCAUGGGGCCUCCUUCUCAAGAACCCAACCCAACAAAAGACGUGCGCGAUCUAGCUGGUACCGCGGAGAAGCCAAGUUGCAACAGGCGUCGUCUGCCGUUCAGCUCUCAGGAGACGCCUCCAGCUGCCGACUUCACCGAGCCUCAGAUAGGCGAGGUGCGAAAUAUUAUCAGCCUAAACACACUCAAGAAGGCGGUCUGUGAGCAGAACUCGGUCCCAUUACAGGAGAAGAAGAAGGCACGCAAAAGAAGGACUAACAAGGGUGCGAGCCAGACGGCACCGAGUACUAUCCAUGCUCAGGACGGGCCACCUUCACCUAAGGAUAUCUCGAGGAGGGUGCAUGUGGCGGGAAGGGCGAUGCUACCGACAAAUAUGCUCAAUGCUGCAACCGGUGCUAUGCGGAGUCUGCAUGACAGUGUUCUUUCUUUGGAGAAGCGGCGUCUCAGAGAGAAGGAUGUGGCAUACCCGGUUUUCGCGGCCAAGGUGCCAGAGGGCAAGGGCUUUGUGGAUAACUCCAUCGGGCGUACGAUCGUCCUGCGGUUUGAUGACAUCCACGUUAUGUUGAACCUUCAUCCGCUGCACUACACCUUCGUUCGGCUAUUUUUGUUGAGUAUGGAGAUGCGGAUCAUUCGCGACAAGACCCCGGACAUCGUGAUAGUCGACCCCUUCUACAUGCGUGCCAAGAUCUUGGGCAGCGCUGGGGACCGGCAAGUCGCGAGUUCUUACCUCGAAGGUGUCAUUCUGGCAAACCAAGAUAAGGAUAACUUCCUCGUGCCUUACUUUCCCGAGUAAGUCCUCCCCUCAACCGGCCCGUAACAUAUGAAUUCUUAGAUUUCGAUCAUUUUUCUUUUAACAUUCCGUGUUUUCUGCAGUGACACACAUUGCACGCUCAUCCUCCUAAGCCCCAAAUAUUCCAUGGCCAUGUAUUUUGGCCUGGACCGUCAGUCGAACGUAGACUACACAAAUGUCAAGAAGGUUCUUGAUGAUGUUCUCCCCGGCUACGCCAAAUCUGGAGGCACCUUCACCAGGCCUAUUCGUAAGUACGGCAAGCACGUGUUCUCCCACAAUACGACGUUCUGCUGCGUCAAGCAGCCGCCUGGCGGUCAGAAGGAUGCCUACUACGCCAUCCAUCACAUGCGGGCGAUCGUACGGGACCAUCAUCAACUUCUGCUACCGAGUAAACACAAAGAUUGGGCCACGAGCGUGUCGGCAAUCCAGGACGCGGACAUCAGACAAGAAUUCUUUCGCAUCCAGUUGGAGUUUGCGGAAAUCAUCCAUCAAGAUGUCCUUCGUACCUCGGGGCAGUUCUACCUCAGAAAUCAACCGUCCAACAGUGACAUCGACACAAUGCUACAAAUGCAGGCUGACAACACCCGUUAUUUCAUGACUCCCACGAUAGACGGCGGCUUCAUCCACGCUCCGGUCCCUUGAGUCGAGUCGAAAGCAGUGAUGCUGUGUCUAGUUCUGAAACAUCGAUUGGCUCAUGUUGUAAUUAAACUUUAGUGAACUUGUAGUAUGUCUCUUUGGUUUCGAGAGUCGUUCAACUUAGAUGUAAUCGAUGCUAUUAAUGUCUUGCUUUUCUUUUCCGAUCGUUCUGUUCCAUACUUAUAUAUUGCUUAUGUAUUGUCUGUGAAUUGGUACUAACAUUUCGUUUGGCUAGUGCAUAGCGAUGCCGUCGUAUGUCGUGUACAAGGGUAAGGUUCCUGGAGUCUACAAUGACUGGGAGGAGUGUCGGAGACAGGUUCACCGAUUCAGCGGUAACAGUUACAAAGGGUACACCACUAGGGCCGAGGCCGAAUCUAGAUACGCCUGCUAUCUAGCAGGAGAGGGGAGGGAGCGUUGGAGGAACCGGAUGAAGACGAGUUUCAUCGUGAAGAUGCUCAUCGUGAUGACCACAGCUCUCUUCUAUGUGAUGGUAGUUUAGAUGAUCGAUAUCGACUUGUAAUGUGAAGACAAACUCGCUACUCGCGGUCUUGAGACUUGUAAUAUAAUGUUCUAUCUUUGUUCGGUCUUUUCAAUUCGGAGACUAAUAUGAUGAAUUGUAUUCGGGGACUAAUAUGAUGAAUUGUAUUCAGAGACUAAUCUUCUAUUGUAUUCGAUGAAUCUGUUGUUGAUGUGUGCUGUCUAUAUUUUGUCCAAUUAUACAUUUUGUAACCUGUGCAAAAAACAGAAAAUUAAAAAAUUAAAAAACCUAAUAUUCAUACUAAUGACGCAUCACAUCACAGUGCGCCAUUAGUAUGCCAAAGGAUACUAAUGGCGCAUCAUUAAAUAGUGCGCCAUUAGUAUGCCGAAGUUACUAAUGGCGCAUCUUGUUGUUGUGCGCCAUUAGUAUGCCAAAGCACCUGGGUAUACAUGGCCCCCUGGGAGGCAUACUAAUGGCGCACUGUUGUAUAUACUAAUGGCGCAUCUGAGGUCCGCCAUUAGUAUACCAGAUACUAAUGGCGCACCAGUGGUGCGCCAUUAGUAAAAUAUACUAAUGGCGUGGCACUAAUGGCGCACCACUAAUGCGCCAUUAAUGGCCAAAUUAGGUGCGCCAUUAGUAGGCCUUUUCCUAGUAGUGGAUUGAUUUGAUUAGUAUGCUUGAAGUACUAUUAUUUUUGCGUCAAUAUAAACUUUUGUCUUGAAUCUUUCGGAUCUGAAUAUUCAUAUCAUAAUUAGGAAGAUUUACAUUGAAAUUAUGCCAAAGUAUCACUCCGCAUAAAAAAUUCUUUUUUAUCAUUUACCUACUCGAGGACGAGCAGGAAUUAAGCUUGGGGAUGCUUGAUACGUCUCCAACGUAUCUAUAAUUUUUGAUUGCUCCAUGCUACUUUAUCUACUGUUUUAGGCAAUAUUGGGCUUUAUUAUCCACUUUUAUAUUAUUUUUGGGACUAACCUAUUAACCGGAGGCACAGCCCAAAUUUGUUGUUUUAUGCCUAUUUCAGUGUUUCGGGGAAAAGGAAUAUCAGACGGAGUCAAAACAGAACGAAAUCAACUGGAGAAGUUAAUUUUGGAAGGAAACCAACCUGAUGGGCUAGAGUGCACGCCAGGGGAGUCCCGGGCUGCCCACGAGGGUGGGGGGCGCGCCCCCCUGGGCGCGCCCCCUACCUCGUGAGCAGCCCGGAGGUCCACCGACGUACCCCUUGCACCCAUAUAUACCUACGUACCCUAAAACUUCCAGAACAGAAAAUAGAUCGGGAGUUCCCCCGCCGCAAGCCUCUGUAGCCACCAAAAACCAAUCGGGACCCUAUUCCGGCACCCUGCCGGAGGGGGAUCCCAUCACUGGAGGCCAUCUUCAUCAUCCCGACGCUAUCCUUGACGAGGAGGGAGUAGUUCACCCUCGGGGCUGAGGGUAUGUACCAGUAGCUAUGUGUUUGAUCUCUCUCUCUCUCGUGUUCUCUCUCGUGUUCCUCUAUGGCACGAUCUUGAUGUAUCCCGAGCUUUCCUAUUGUAGUUGGAUCUUAUGAUGUUUCUCCCCCUCUACUCUCUUGUGAUGAAUUGAGUUUCCCCUUUGAAGUUAUCUUAUCGGAUUGAGUCUUUAUGAGAACACAUGAUGUAUGUCUUGCCGUGAUUAUUUGUGGUGACAAUGGGAUAUCAUGUGCCACUUGAUGUAUGUUUUGGUGAUCAACUUGCAGGUUUCGUGACACUUGGGAACCUAUGCAUAGGGGUUGGCACACGUUCUUGGCUCUCCGGUAGUAGCUUUGGGGCACUCUUUGAAGUACUUUUAUGUUGGUUGGAUGAAUAUGAGAUUGUGUGAUGCAUAUUGUAUAAUCAUGCCCACGGAUAGUUGAGGUGACAAUGGAGUAUCUAGGUGACAUUAGGGUUUUGGUUGAUUUGUAUCUUAAGGUGUUAUUCUAGUAUGAACUCUUUUAUAGAUCGAUCCGAAAGAAUAGCUUUGUGGUGGUUUCGUACGCGACCAUAAUCUCUACGUUUGUUCUCCGCUAUUAGUGGCUUUGGAGUGACUCUUUGUUGCAUGUUGAGGGCUUGUCAUAUGUUCUAUCUAUGUUAUUAUUGUUGAGAGAACUUACACUAGUGAAAGUAUGAACCCUAGGCCUUGUUUCCUACCAUUGCAAUACCGUUUACGCUCACUUUUACCGCUCGAUAACUUGCUGUUUUUAUUAUUUCAGAUUAUAAAUACCUAUAUCUACUAUCUAUUUUGCACUUGUAUCUUCAUCUCUAGUGCACCUAUACAAUUUACCAUUGUAUUUGGUGUGUUGGGGACACAAGAGACUUUUUGUUAUUUGGUUGCAGGGUUGUUUGAGAGAGACCAUCUUCAUCCUACGCCUCCUAUAGAUUGAUAAACCUUAGGUCAUCCACUUGAGGGAAAUUUGCUACUGUCCUACAAACCUGUGCACUUGCAGGCCCAACAACGUCUACAAGAAAAGGUUUUGUAGUAGACAUCAGCGACCGCAAGAUCGGUGACUUGCUCUCUCCUGACGAUGUAGUUCAUGUGCAGCACAUACAGGCGGACAAACGUAAAAUCGAGUGUCCUCAUUUCAAACAUCUGGAAGAUGUAAUCAAACCUUAGGAAGAAGAGGUCCGCGGGGCAUGUGUGGACUUGCAACUGCUCGGCACAUGAACCGUAUAGAGUGGGUAUCCUAGAUCAUCCGAGGCGAGGAGGCUUCUCUCUGUCGAAAGCACAUGGUCAUGGAGUCUCCUGAGAUCCCCUUCCAUGGCAGCUAGUCCAUUCGCCGGUACCAUUGGCUCUCCCGCGACAUGGAUUAAUGGCGCAUGUUUCAUCUGUACAUGGUCAACCUUGGUCGAAGGCAGCUGGCUGCUAGAACCAACAUUGCCAGCUUUAUUGGAUUUUCUCGCCGCCGGUCUCUUCCUCUGCUUCUUCUCAGUGGGCUGAGGUGCUGGUGGGUCUAUCAGACCCUCCCUGAGCACCACCCCUAGUUUUGCCGGGCUCGGCAUUGGACGACUCUAGCUAAGUAGUUGAGCUUGGGUGGAGCCGGCAUCUGGAGGUGUGUCCUUCGAGGAUUGCAUGAACAAAGACUUCUUGCACUCCAGAGGACGUUCCGGCUCUGGUACAUGCAUCUCAUAUUCAUAUGGUUGACUCAUUGUUACUUUGUUGUCAAAGGAAGUAUUUAAAUACUGGUUAAGGUCAUCGUCGGCCUCCUCCAUGUCAUGAUCCCUAUCCUCUUCCAUGGGGCAGAUGGCAUCAUCUGCCGGCGGAACGGUUGGCCCUCCUUCCUCAUGUCUCUCGAUCUCAGCAAGCAGCACAGAUGAUUGUUGUACUUGUGUAGGUGGUGUUGUGGUCAUACCUUCCUGAGGUCCCGUUGGUGUGCUCCCGGCCACCUCGACACGAAGAAGAUUUUUUGGCCACAGGAUCGGCCAAUUUUUGCAUUGGCCAAGCUGUGUGGGGGUCUCGUCAUCCUCUGCAUUGGUUUGUAUCGUACGAGGGAGACCCUCGUAGCCCGCUUUCACACUCGCUACGGAGACCCUUAAGGCGUUAUCAGGCAUCGGCGGGCGGUGAAAUAAUCGAUCCUUAGGCUUCACUAUAGUACCCUUCCCCACAUCCACCAACCCGCCCUUCAUGUUGUAAAGGAGGGUGCACGGAGUGGAGUCGGCCUACAAAGACAUAUACGUGCGGCAUAGAGAUCCAAAAAGAACGGCAACUGAAGAUUAAUUAAUUAGUUGAGUUGAUGAAGGUGCACCGAUGCGUAUUUACCGUGAGGGCGUCUAGCUCAGCCAAUGUCGACGGCCCGACAUUCAAGCCAGAGACGGAGCUAGGGCUGCUGUGAGAGCUGGGCGGAGGAGCAGGUGCUGGAGGAGGUGCGGGUGCGGUUGCCAUACUAGGUACGGGUAUGGGUGCAGUGUUCAUUAAGUUGCUCCCGGUGAAGCUGGGCAUGGGAAAAUCACUUGGUGGCGCAUUUGGAUUUUGUUGCACCCAUGUGACCACUGUUGAAAUCAAGCUUGUAAAGGCAUCCACCAUAUCAGAUCUACAGGCAGCGAUUAUCUCAGCUUUGGUCUCAGCUUUUGCUUUCUCCAUCGCCCGCGCCACCUUCUCGUUGAUAGUCACUUGACUGAACUUCUUUCUUUGUCAUUUGGCCUCGGGGUCCUUGCUAUAAUAGUACUUCCAAGUGGCCUCAUCCCCGGCGCCAUGCACACCUCCAUAUUGCGGCCGCUGGCCAGGCGGGUGUCCCAUCAUUAUGUUCAUGGCCCGGUUGAAAGGAGUGUCCCACUUGUACUUCGCCAAUGACUGAGUCAACUGAGUCGAUGAGUUGCUCUCGGCCGCAAGCUUGUGUUGCUCUCUCCUGCAAAAUGGACCGUGAAUCAUUUACGAAUGCGACUAGAAUGUAGUAGACUUCAUUGAUCAGAACCUAAUAUGUAAGGUGGUAAAGGAUAAUUACCAGUAUUCUCAUGAAUUUCCUAGUCGGCCUGUCGGUGAAAAAAAUCUUUUUCUUGGGGUCCCACGAGAAUCGGGCCCUGAUGAAGUCAUGCUCCUAUUGGUCAGUGAACUCAGCCAAUGGGUCUGGGAUCCCCUGACGUUCACGUUUUGUGUCCUCCUUAGCCCACACGAGCCUCUUUCCCGUGUAACCACGACUUCGAAGGCGGUGGUUCCCCAUGUUCUAUGCCUGCAGUUGCUUGCCUCUCUCCGACCUGGCCUUGGCAGCUUCUUAAUUGCAAGUCUCCUUGAACUUUUCAAAGUCCUCUAUCAUAAUUUUCGGAUUGUCUACAACAAUCUCGGCGUAGGUUUCAUGGUCUACUUCAAUCGCCUUUUUCACCCUAGUUUUCCAAGCACUCAGUGCGAUGCUGAACUUCCCUAGGGCUUUGUUGUUGAAUUUUUUCAUGGCAUCAUGAUCCCAUGGGUCGACUUCGUCAUUCCGACCGGGGAAUAGGAAUCUUGCGUGCAACCUAGUUAGAAGCAGCUUCUUCAAAUUUUCAUUCUUCCGUAUUUUUGUGGUGUUGAUGUUAGCGGUAUCCCGUAGGAUGCAUGCUAGUUGGUUGCCGUAACACGCUGCCACUUCUCGCGGAUCUAUUGGCUCGAACUCGCUAGGGUGCACCGCCGUGACCACCAGUCUUCCGGUGCCGAGCUCAUUUGGGCGUUGUGUCCUCUUUUCCUUCUUAACCUCACUGGCUUGGGAGGUCCCACCUUUCGUGCUAUAGUUAGGAACAUCAUCAGCGCCAGUCUUAGUGCCGGUGUCAUUGGUGGCAUCAGUGUUGGCGCCGGCGCCACCAUCGUCAUCAUCUGUCAUGACAAGGCGGUCUAGACACCCAGCUUUCCGUCUCUCCUGAUCCACCAGAAAGUCGAGGUAGGAGUGUGCUCGACCUAAUUGGGAGUGAGAACCUCCGGCCUCAUCGGUGUCGGUCAUGUUUCCUAGGGUUCAAUGCCGUAGUCGUUUAAUUACCGAGCUUUAUAUAAUAAUGUGAAUAAUGACAAAAAAAGUGACCUUUGUUUUGCCAGAAAUGUCGUUUCAUUCCCGUCGCGACAAAUCUCAAGCACUCGAUAUGUCCAACUUUCUAGCACAAGUCAUGCCGAAAUUCAUGAAAAAUUUCGGCAUGACCUUUGCUAGAAAGUGCACAUAUAGAGCGCCUGAAAUUUGCCGGAAUGGAAAUUAAUCUACAUUUCCGGCAAAACAUAGGUCACUUAGCAACCGGCAAAACAUAGGUCACAUAUAGAGCAUCUCGCAAGCAAUGGAGCAACUCCAAAUGGACUCCAAUGGACAUCAUUUUAUUUCAUUUCAUAAACUUGCUGCUAUGUCCAUCAACAUUGCAUUCAAAUAAAAUUGCAGACUACUGUAAUUGACUAGUUACAUAAAUGCAAAAUUGAUCACCGCAAAUUUUCACUAACAAUACUUCCUGUACUUGCUGCCAAUACAACUACUUGUGGCUUAAUACAGAAAAACAAUCUUCAGUUUCCACUAUUCUUCAGUGGCAGAAAAAUGCAAAAUUGAUCACCACAUAUUUUCAGUUCCUAAUUUGCUGCAAACAUGACACUUUCCAAGAUAUUUUUUGAGCAUUAUUUCUUGCAAUGAUGCUAGCUACUCCAUUUUCAGUGGCAUAUUCAGUGGCUACUUCAUUUACUUUUUUUGAUAACCAAUUUUAGUCCAUAUUUGGUUACAUUUUGUAGGUUAAUUCGUUGUGCUUAUCAAGAUAGUUGGUCCAACACUAAUGUUCAGUUAUCAAAACUGAAAUUUGCUGAAGUUUGCACAGUUAUCAAAACUGAAACGUUCAAUUAACUGAAAAUUGAAAAAAAUUCUGUAAGUGAACAGUGUGCUCUAUAACUGAAUUCAAAUGAGAUCAUAUUUGUAUUCUAGUUUGCUUUGAAUUCUGUUAGUGAACAAUUCUAGUUUGCUCUAACUGAAAACAGCAGUAGCACACAUGCAUCAAUGCCAGCAAAAAAAGAGAAUGCAGGGGAAGAACCUACUGCACCUUGCCGAGCACCUUGCUUCCGGCCACCUUCUCCUCUCGCUGAGCACCUUGCUUCCGGCCAAACCUGUUGCAGAGAACACAUACGACCGGUCAGAGAGAGAGAGAGAGAGAGCGAGCGAGAGAGCGAGUGAGAGAGAGAGAGAGAGAGACUGCUGGGGGGAGGGGCACCGACCGGUGGAGGGACUGAGGGGGUGGCGUCAGGGUGAGGGCUCGCGGAGUUGAGGGGGUGGCGUCGGGGUCACCGAGGCAUAGGGGGUCCUUCUCCUCCUCGUCGAUCUGCAAAGAGACCAAAUUUNNNNNNNNNNNNNNNNNNNNNNNNNNNNNNNNNNNNNNNNNNNNNNNNNNNNNNNNNNNNNNNNNNNNNNNNNNNNNNNNNNNNNNNNNNNNNNNNNNNNNNNNNNNNNNNNNGCGAGAGCGUCGGAGUGGGAGGAGCCGGGCCAGGGGUGCACCUAGGGCAGGGUGCAGCAUGGGGGGAGGGAGUGUCGCGGUGGCCAGUGGACGGCGUCGGGGUCGGGUGCGGCGCGUGUCGACGGCGGUGUGGACAGGUGCCGGCGUCGGCGGUGGGUGGGCGGGUGCGGGCGUGGGCGGUGGCGUGGGCGGGUGCAGGCGGCGACGGCGGCGUGGGCGGGUGCGAGAGAAAGGGGAUCGAGCGAGAGAGUGAGAGAGAGAGAGAGGAAAGAGAUGGGUGCAGUGGCUCUGUAUACGCCUAUAGCGCGUCUGGGCAGAACACGCUAUAGCUAAGUUAACUAUAGGGCCGCUCUAGCGAAAACGCGCUACUGCUAACGUUUUCUUUUUUUUCUUUUUCUUUUUCUUAGCUAUAGCGCUGCCCUGGCAAAAACGCGCUACUGCUAACUUUUUCUUCUUCUUUUUUUAUUUUUCUUUUUCUUAGCUGUAGCGCUGUCCUAGCGAAAACGCGCUACUGCUAACUUUUUCUUUUUCUUUUUUUCUUUUUCUUUUUCUUUUUCAUAUUCCACAAACUUCCUUCUUUUUUACCUUAUUUUUAUUUCUCUUUUUACUUUUAUUAUUCUUUUUCUAUUUCAUUUUCCUUUUUCUUUUUCUUUUUAUUUUUCUUGUUCCUUUUCAUAUUCCACAAACUUCCUUAUUUUUUAUUUUAUUUUUAUUUCUAUUUUUACAUUUAUUAUUCUUUUUCUUUUUCUUUUUUCUUUUUAUUUUUCUUGUUCUUUUUCAUAUUCCACAAACUCAGGGGUUUAAUUUGGUCUGUCAUUUGAGCAAUACCACUGUUACCGUCCGGAUAAUAAUUAGUAUAAUAUAUAUCUUACAUCAUUUGACCGCUAUCGGUGGUAUACGAAAUAGCUAGACACACACAAACUUUGGGAUUAGUUUGUCAGCUUGGGCGACGACGACGCUUCAGACUGAUCUUCUUCCCUCUUUUGUUCGUUGUCGAAUAAUUGAGCCCAUAGUCGUGACUUUUCCUUCUCCAGGGAUUACGAUCUUUCGUAGGUAAUGUAGUCUUCAUUCUUCUUUUGACAUAUGUUUCAUCGUCAUCAGCAUCAUCUUCCCUCAUCAGAUCACCGUACUGGUCAUAGUCUUCCUCAUUGGCGACUCCAUCCAUUCCGGCGAUGCUCCUUUUGCUUCUCCUCACGACAACACGGCUGGGAUUGAUCGGAUCAGUUAUGAAGAAACAUUGUGUCACGUGUUUAGCGUGUAACCAUGGCUCAUUUUUGGCGAUGGCGUUGACGGUACCGCUAUCAUCGGAGUCGGGUAUACACAUGGUAGUGAAAUGUCGGUUUUCUCUAUGUACAUUUUUAGCCCAUCUGACACGGAACAUCGUCGCGCUAUGCAAUCCAGAGUAGUUAAGCUCCCAUAUCUCUUCGACCCUCCGUAAUAUCUUUCAAUUACAUUCCCGGUCAUGGCUUCCAUUGUCACCCCUGUGUUUUGGUCAUCACUGUUUAUAUCUUUCUCCUCCGUGUAGAACGUGUAUCCGUUGAUAUCGUAUGCUUGAUAGGUCACGAGGUUGGUCGAGGGGCCAUGUGCUAAGGCGUAUAUGAGUGUUCCGUUCGGACAACCCUCUUCUGGGGGAUUAGCCAGAACUCGCUCUUUGAACCAACGCAAGAAAGUGGAGUUGGGCUCUCUAAUAACUUCGGCAUCUGUCCUGUGCACCCCACGGUCACGGUACUUCUUUGCGAUGGUCUCUUGUGCAGUGUCACGAAAUCUUCUAGCACAUCUAGGUGUUGUAGCACUACUAAGUUUGCCCUGUCAAGGUCGUUUUGUCGGCCCGAGCGUAACACAUUCACAUCCCUAUGACCGUUGGUGUGACCUCCGCCUUCGAGCCUUCCACAGUGCUUGUUGACGGGUAAACCAACAACAAGAUUUUUGGUCAGAUAACUCUCAAAGACAGAGAUGCACUCUUUGGUCAGAUAUCCCUGGGCUAUGCUUCCAUCUGGACGGGACAUGUUACGAACGAAUCCUUUGAUGACCCCAUUCAUCCUCUCGAACGGCAUCAUGCUAUGCAGGAAUGUCGGCCCUAGGUCGAUGAUGUCGUCUAUGAUGUGGACACAUGGAUGCACCAUGACAUCAAAGAACGCGGGCGGGAAGUACAUCUCUAGCUCAUUCAAUAUGACAACGAUCUCUUCUUGUAGCCUAUGGAGUUGCUUCACACUGAUCGACUUUCGAGAGAUAGCAUCAAAAAUGUGGCAUAGGUCAGUAAGCGUCUCACGCACAUGUGUGUCCAUAAUCCCGCUAAGUGCAACCAGGAGUAACCGCGUCAUCAUCACAUGACAGUCGCGAGACUUCAUCCCACUGAACCUUUUUUUCUUAGUGUCCAGAUAUCUGCUUAUCUUCCAACAGUAUCCGGAACUAACUUUGAUUCCGGCAAGGCACUUGAACAAUUGAUCGACCUCCUUCGGAUCUAAGGUGAAGCAAGAGGGGGGGCAAUAUUGGUCUUCCUUCUUGUUUACUUUUUUGCCCCUAUCUUCCUUCUCCGUCUCCGUCUCGGUCUCCUCUGACGACCUUUUACUGGGCAUUUGGAGAUCUUUCCUGAUUUUCAAAAUUUCCAAUUCUUUUCUUGCCUUCAGCCCAUCCUUGGUCCUCUCCGGGAUGUUCAUCAAUGUUCCAAGCAAACUGUCAAGGAUAUUUUUUGUGAUAUGCAUUUGAUGAAGGCUAUGAGGCGUGUCGAGUAUGGGCCAGUAUUCCAAGUCCCAGAAAACAGAUCUCCUCUUCCAUAUCUUAAGCAGGGGCUCCGGUGCCUUUUGCUUCGUCUUUGCCGGCGAGGGGCACUCUUCCCAGUUCUUCAAUAACUCAUAUAUUUCUGCACCGCUACACUUACGUGGAGGAUCUCGGUGCUCAGCCUUACCAUUCAAUAGAUCUCCACGCUUUCUCCAUGGGUCAUCCUUCUCGAGCCAUCUUCGAUGCCCCAUGUACACGAUUUUCGAACACCCGCCAUCUUUCGAUAGCCGCAGAGAAGUUGUAUCAUCCAUGCACCUCGUGCAUCCGCAAUAUCCGUGGCACACCUGGCCGGAGAGAUAGCCGUAACCGAGAUAGUCCUGCACCGUCGUGGUCAGCGCGGCUCUCAUGUAGAAAUACUCUCCUUUGCUUGCAUCCCAUGUCUUGGCCGGCGUUGUCCAUAAGGUCUAUAACUCCUCUUUCAGUAACCCGAGAUACAUAUUUAUAUCAUUUCCCGGUUGUCUCGGCCCUUGAAUAGCAUAGCCAUGUGUAUGUAUUUUUCCUUCAUGCACAACCAGGGGGGAGGUUGUACAUCCAUACAAACACGGGCCAUGUGCUAUGAUUGGUGUUCUGGUUGCCAAAUGGAUUCAUGCCAUCACUACUAGCGCCAAGCACGAUGUUCCUUGGAUCAUUUGCGAAAAAAUCAAAUUCAGCAUUUAAUGCUCUCCACUGGCUAGCAUCUGCGAGGUGUCUCAGCUUCGGUUCAUCUCCGUCAUUUGGCUUCACCCUCUCCGUGUGCUAGCGCAUAAGCUUUGCUUCCUUAGGAUCCACGAAAUACCGCUGUAGAUGCGGAGUGAUCGGAAAGUACCAUACAACUUUCCGUGGAGCUUUCUUUCUGGCCUUUUUAUAUCGUGAAGCAUUGCACUUUGGACAGAUGGUUUUUUCCGCGUGCUCGUUCCGAUAUAUGAUGCAAUCAUGGAUGCAUGCAUGGUAUCUAAUAUGUGGCAGAUCAAGAGGGCACACGAUUUUCUUUGCCUCCUCGACACUAGUAGGACACAGGCUUCCCGCGGGAAGAACCUUCUUUAGGUACUUCAGAAGCUCAUCCAGGCUUGUAUCUGUCCAUUUGUUUUUUGCCUUCAUCUUUAGAAGUUCUAGUGUGAAACUCAAGGGGGUCACCUCGGGAUUAUUGCAACCAUCAUACAAAGGAGUCAUCGAGUCUACCUCCAGUUGCGCCAGUUUGGCCUCCUCUCUAGAAGCAGCUCUGUCUCUAGUCGUCUUCUUGCGAAGCAUGUCUCGAACAUGCGGGUCCCGCAUGGCUUAACUUCGUAGCGACAAAGACGGUGGCGUGUCCGUGUCUUCUCCGCCUUGAACUGCCUCUUCGCCAUCGACAUUUCUGAGGGCUUCUUCCUCUUUGGACACAUAAUCGGUCGUCUCUUCGUCUGGUGGCCCCAUGUCGUUAUUUCCUGCCCCGUCGACGUCCUCAUCAUCAUCAUCAUCAUCAUCAUCAUCAUCAUCUUCACUUAUCCAUCGAGUAUGGCCAUGCAUGAAACCAUGCAUGAGCAGGUGCGCCUUGAAUUUACCACCCUUAAAGGGGUCGAUCCUGACUCUUCCUUUGCAUUUUUGACACGGACAUAAAACAUCCCUCAGUCUUUUUCAUACAUGUCAUCCACAGUGGAUUGCCAGUAUCUUUCCACCAUCCUUCCAUUGACCUUCAUGAUCACCUGCGGGCGGAGCAAAUAUAAUAACCACGUAUAUAUGCAUGCAUGGAUCAAAUUCAUACAAAAAUUCGGCAUGACCUUCCCUAAACAUAGGACAUAUUGAGUUUGCAUGCCAGAAAUUCACCGAAACGGAAUUGAAUCGACAAUUUGGCAAAACAUAGGCAACUCAUGUCACCCACAUUAUUUCAUCAAAUACACAAUGUAGGCAACUCAAAUUAUGCCACACACAAUUCGGUAUAUUCUCAUAUCACCCAUAUAUAGAUAGUUUCGGUCCUAUCCACACAAACACUUUUUUUUGCUCACCUAUGUGUUGAGAGGGAUAUCGAGCACCUUUCUUCUUAAUUACCUAGUAGCCCUAUAGAUAUAUAGCUCUAACUAGCUAGCUAGCUAGGGAGAGAGUGGGANNNNNNNNNNNNNNNNNNNNNNNNNNNNNNNNNNNNNNNNNNNNNNNNNNNNNNNNNNNNNNNNNNNNNNNNNNNNNNNNNNNNNNNNNNNNNNNNNNNNNNNNNNNNNNNNNNNNNNNNNNNNNNNNNNNNNNNNNNNNNNNNNNNNNNNNNNNNNNNNNNNNNNNNNNNNNNNNNNNNNNNNNNNNNNNNNNNNNNNNNNNNNNNNNNNNNNNNNNNNNNNNNNNNNNNNNNNNNNNNNNNNNNNNNNNNNNNNNNNNNNNNNNNNNNNNNNNNNNNNNNNNNNNNNNNNNNNNNNNNNNNNNNNNNNNNNNNNNNGAGGGGGUGGUGGCGGAGGGCAAAGAAGAGGGGGGUGGUGGAGGGCAAAGAAGAGGGGGAGGGAGGGCUCUAAUGGAGGGGUGUGGUGGAGGGGCAAAGAAGAAGGGGGUGAUGGAAGGGCAAAGAAGAGGGGAAGGGGUACAAACCGGAGUACCGGAGGGGUUACCGAAACCCCCCAGUGGAAGAUAUGGGCCAUAUGGGCCAUAGGAGGGAGGCUAACCAGCCUACAAGGGGCUGUUGCGCCCCCCACAAGGGAGGAGGCCCAAUUGGACUAGGGAAGGGGGCCCCACCCCCCUUUCCUUCUCCUACUCCCUCUCCUUCCCCCUUUCCCCCUCCGUUAGAAGGAAGGGGGGCGACUAGGACUAGGAGUCCUAGUAGGACUCCCCCCAUUGCACGUGCCCUAGGGCCAGCCUCCUCCCCUCCCCCCCAUUAAUAUACGAGGGUGGGGGGGCACCUCAAGGCAGAUCAACAGUUGUUUCUUAGCCGUGUGCGGUGCCCCCCUCCACCGUUUACUCCUCCGGUCAUAUUUGUCAUAGUGCUUAGGCAAAUACCUGUGCAGAUCAUAUCACCAACACCGUCACCACGCCGUCGUGCUGACGGAACUCAUCGACUCCUUCGUUCCUCUACUGGGUCAAGAGUUCGAGGGACGUCAUCGAGCUGAACGUGUGCAGAACUCGGAGGUCCCGUACGUUCGGUACUUGAUCGGUUGAUUCGAGAAGACGUUCGACUACAUCAACCACGUUAAGUUAACGCUUCCGCUUUCGGUCUACGAGGGUAUGUGGACACACUCUCCCCCUCUCGUUGCUAUGCAUCUCCUAGAUAGAUCUUGCGUGAGUGUAGGAAAUUUUUGAAAUUGCAUACUACGUUUCCCAACAAGGAGUUGAUAUACAAGGAUGACACAAGACAUGCAAGGACUUGACAUACUCCAUUUCUUUCUUUUUCUUUCUCUAUGCAGUCCUUCCCUUUUAUUUAUCCCCUCUAUUGCCCUUCUCCUAUAAGGGCCUUGGUCUCAACAACUAGCUGAGUAUCGCAAUAUAAAAAUAUUGUUGGCAUUCCUUCAUUAUGACGGUGGUCUUAGGCAAAUGCGGGAGUUUAUACUCAUUUCCUCCUUUAUUUUUCAUAAUCUCAACCAUAACUGCCUGCCAUGUCAUAAAGCUUCUAAAAAGCUUAUCGACCUCGUCAUUCUGGAACUCUUCAUUCACACCUUCUACCAAUUCCUUGAUAUUUCUAGGUGAUCUGCAAUCAGCCUAGGUUUGAAGUGAACUGAAGAAGCAGAGGUCUAAAACUUUCAUUUCAGGGUUGUUGGUUUGUUCCAACAACCGAAUUUUAAGAUCCGUCGGUGCUACAGCGUGUAAAAAACCCUCGUCACUAGGCAAAACAUGUGUUUUUCCAUUGUACUGUUGAAUGAAGAUGAUUCUUAUGAUAUAUUCAUUGGGCCACUUCUCUUGGAAAGCAGGGAUCACUUUGUUGCAUAGAUAAUCCCUGAUGACAGAGGUCGGGUCACUCUCACUGAUUUUAGUUCUUUAAAUCCCCUUAUCUAUUUUGACUCAUUCUAACAACCAGAGUCUCUUGGAUGAAGGCCCAAGUGUUGAUCUUGCCAUCAAAUGUGAUAUCUCCAUCGUCAUUGCAUCUUGGCUUGGCCACAACAGUGAGAAACAUGACUUUCCAAAUGCUAUUCUUAUUCUGCAUGGUGCACACAGGUUUAGGUUCUUCUGGUAGUAAAUAGUAGGUGUUCUUCUCUCUUGUCAUAUCAUACCACUUCCCAUCGGAUAUAGGCCAUGUAUGUCAUUGUCUUGAAAAGAGGAUGGGGAGUUGAGAUCUAAUGCUCAUCGAGCAUGGAGAUGCAAAACUUUAAUUUUGCAAUUUUAUUAUCUGUCUUGAGGAAAGGUUUCACAGUACUAGUGAUGCGCUUCAUCUCACCCAACUGGAAUCUCCCAUGUGGGGUCGAACGGGGAACACCCAGAGACCUUGCUAGAGCUCGAUCUGCCCUCCUUUUGUUGAGUAGGACUGUCGAUAUCCUCGACAAAUCCAGAUCUUUCCUCUUUCGUCCACUUCUACCCUUCUUUAUGUUUGAGGCAUCUGCUUCUUGGCCUUCUACAAGCUAUUGAGUUGCUUCUAACCAUAUUCUUUCAAUAAUUCAUACGCUUGUAUUCAACAGGAUUGCAAUGAGCUGCUUGUCCUCUGAGCAAAUAUAUCCAUGUCUGUUCUUGAUUACUCUCAAAGCAAAAUAAAUACCAAACCUUUGUUCAUUUGUCGGGUUUACUACAUUUCUUCUUGUUGCUUCCCCUUGACCAACUACUCCCUCCUGAUGAAUUGCUUCUUGAGGAUCUCUUGGAGGACUGAAGUUGAGAUCCUAGAACAUCUCCUCUCUUGUUGAAAAGGAGUAAGAAGUCAACUAGCUAUUACAAGUAGUACUAGAUCAUGAAAAUGAAAAUGCAAACUUUGUCAAACACUUAAAAUACUUAAGACUUUGAAAUUUUGAUUUGAUGCAUGAGAACAUUGAUAAAUUUAAAUGUUCUACUCCUGAAAAAUGAAUAUUCCCUAUACUGCAAGUUUAGCUGAAUUUGACUAAAUACAAGAUCGUUUAGGAGUACAAGAACAUUUUUUAAUUGAACUUGUUUAGAAUUGUGUUUAAGAAUAAAAGUGGCAAUGUUUGAAUAGCAAGUUUCCUGAUUAGGCUAUUAUGGAAGUAUCUUAAUAUGGUCCAAAACAUGAGAAAGAAAAGGGAGAAGUCUAGGCAAAUUUGCAAAAUAUGUUUUGAAGUGAAACCCCUAAAAGCUCAAAUUCCUUUGUUUGUUUAGGGCUUUGGUGAUAUAUGCUACAUUGUUGAAGUAUGCAUGUAUAAACCAGUUUUAUUCCAUCACACAUGCAUUGUAAUUAUUGGACGUGUAUGCAUGACUAAGAUUCCAACCCUAAAAUCAGCGACUCACAUUCAACAUGACAUGUUUGAUUAGCAAGAUAGGAAAAUGGCAAUGAAUUUAGGAGUACAGAAACAUUUUUAAUUGAUUUUUUUUUAGAAUUCAUCAUGCAUUCCAACCAAAAAUUCAGUUUGCAAAGUUAACUAAAUUGACUAAGUUGCCGGCAAACUAUACAUUGGAUUCGCUAGACUGAAUUUGACAACACUGAAUUCGGGGUCAAGUGUCUAACAACAACACUUGACGGAACUUAUGGAAAGUAAGUGUUUAAAUUCAGUGUCAAGUGUUUAAAUUCAGUUUGUAGCAAUGCAUAAAAAUGUCAAGUAUCUAAUUUAGUGUCAAGUGUCUAAAUAGCAAGUGUCAACUGCACUUGACAUAUGAAUUCAGUUUGUAGCAACACUUGACUCAAUUCAGUUGUAGCAAUGCUUCAUUUGUAAAACACCGAGUCAAGUUAAAUUUAGUUUAUUCAGUGGCAAGUUAAAUUCAGUGGCAAUCCUUUUCUUAGUUUUGGAUUAAAAUUAUGUUAUGUUCAGUGGCAAGUUAAAUUCUAGAGUAAAAUUCAGUGUCAAGAAUUCUUGAGUAAAUUUUUGUGCACAUAAUUUUUUUCAUGGCAAGUGGCAAGUUAAAUUCCGGAGUAAAAUUUGGUUAAAUUACCUGUUGCCUGGUCACCUUCUUGGUUUUGCAUAUCUUCAUGAUUUUUCUGAUCCUCCUCCUCCCGCAAAGGAGUCAAAUUCAAUUCGGGCAUCUCUUCGAGCUGCAGCUUGGGGGUAGAGGCUCGCGCUGGAGAGGAGGAGCAAUGCCUAGGCGGAGGAGCUGGAGCACACUGGAGCUCAUGUGUGCCAAGGCAGAAGGAGCUGGAGCGUGCCCAGGCAGAGGAGGAGCGCGACUAAGCAACAGAUCUACUGUGAGGGCGUGUUGGAGGAGUUAUGGUGCCCGUUGGGAGGGCGCCCUGAGCUGUGGGGAGGAGCCCGAGCUCGUUGGGAGGGCGUCACCUUGAGUUGCGGAAUGCUGCAGAGAUGAGCCCGAGCUGGGGGAUGGGCAAUCUGAUUGAGAUUUGAUAUUAAAAGGGUUUGAUUAUAAAAUUCAUGUUUAGUAUGUUGUCCCCUUAUGACAGAUAUUUCAGGACGGAGGGAGUACGAUGGAUCAAGAAUAUGUUUUGUCGCUGGUUCUCUUGAUCCUAUCUUUCUCACCGUGCGAGGCGGCAGCACAACGCCACGCGGAAGCCUUUACCUUUUCCAGCUUACGUGCUUCCCCGGCCUCCGUCAUGCUCACCAAAGACAAGCUCCGCCUCGACAGUCUACUCUACCCGUUGGUGAGAUCUGGCCUCCCAGCCAUCGGAGUGGACAACACCAUUAAUGCCUCAUAAGGGUUUAAAUUCCUAGCUUUUGUAAUCAUCGUAUAAUUUUGGAUAGUAUUUUUUUAUGUUUUAGGAGAUUUUUAGGAUGGUACAUUCGUGGAAUUGUGACACUUUCGGUUUAGAGAAACUCUAGCAGAUCCUGCAAAAACGUGUCAUCUGAAAACAUUAUACAGCUACGACGAGGCACAGGGCAGAGCAGAUCCUGUAACAUGUACUAUAAACUUUUUUUGCUCCUUUUCCUCCUCACUCUUCUUCUUCCUUGGGACGCAUGCAUGGUCAAACUCGAACUCUAGCCGGCCAGAACGGUGCCGCUCCGGCCUGCUGCCUGCUUCGGUCCGCCGCUGGCGCUCCGGGCCGCCACGUGCUCCGACGAUGCUCCGGCCGGCCGCUACCAAGCUCCUCCGCCUACUCACUGCUUGCGUGCAGUGUCGCCAGGCCCCAUGCUCCGGCGAUGCUUCGGCCGGCCUCUACCGAGCUCCUCUGCUUGCUCGCUGCUCGUGCGCGGUGUCGCUAGGCCCCCUGCUCUGGCGUUGACCGCUUUAUAGGUUCCCUCAAGAACGACUCGAAAACUCCAAAUAUGAGGCAUGGUUGCUCUAAUGUACGAAAUCUGUAAAAAAAGGGGGGGGGGAUCUUUCAUUUAGAGGAUCUUUUUUUGUUGAGAAAAUGCCAUUUAGAGGAUCUAUUCGGUGCGUUUUGUGCAAAUUUUAAGGUUUGACCGGGUUGACGAUAACCCCCCCGCCAAGGCCACUUAAACCCCACAUGUCAGAGACAGCGGCGGGGGAUAUAUGAUAAAGGAUUUGCGAACAAGGGGGGUUAUCGUCAAUUAUCCCCGGCGCCGCCGGAGCUUUCUGCUGCCGCCGCGCCAUGUCCACCCCAGCUGCUCGAUCUCGCCAAUCGGAGGAUGGACGCAUCAGGUACGUAGAGUAUGCAUCGCCAUGAAUCAUCGCGACCUUCCUCUCCCUUCUUCACCCGAUCCCCUAACCUUAUCCCCCAUCGUUGUGUGUGUAGGUCCUCCUCUUCGUCUCCCAGCGGCAGCGAGACGGCGGCCAAGAGACUCACCGACGACCUCCUCGUCGAGAUCCUCUCGCGCGUGCCCACCAAGUCGCUCUGCCGCUUCAAGUGCGUCUCCAAGCACUGGCUCGGCCUCACCAACGACCGCAACUACCGCCGGAAGCUCCCCCAGACCUUGACCGGCUUCUACCAGGGGAAUCAUUUGGUAGAUUCAGCUCUCCCCUUCACCAAUGUCUCGGGGAGCCGCCAUCUCACAUAUCCCGCCUUCCUGUCCAACCGCCGGCGGGUCAAGGUCAUGGACUGCUGUAACGUCCUCCUUCUCUGCUCCUCAUACGUUGCCGGCGACCAUGGCGACGAGUUCCGGUACAUCGUGUGCAAUCCCGCCACAGAGGAAUGGGCCGAGUUCCCAUACUGCGGCUAUUCCGGCCUGUCGGCCGUGUCCCCUCAUUUCCAUGUGUUUUUAUUGCCGGCGGCGGGUAUGGAGGACCAACAUGGCGUCUGUCUUACCGGAGUGUAUGUCUAUUCAUCUGAAACCGGGAGUUGCGUUCAUAAGGAGAAGAGAUGGAGCCGCAGUAUUGUUGUCGCUAAUGAUCGGUCGACUAUCUAUCUUAAUGGUUAUCUGCAUUUCUGCGCCAUUGUUGAUGGUUCUGCCGGUUGUCUAGCUGCAGUGGAUAAGGAGGGGGGAGCAAGGACUAACUUUCGUGUUCCUGGUCUGGAUGUUGGUUUUAUUCAGCUGUCACAGGGCUGCCUGCAUUAUGCUGGUUUUGACACAGAUGAUGAUAAUGUCGUUCGACUGCUAGUUUAUGUUCUUAAAGACUAUGACCGCAAAGAGUGGAUACUGAAGCAUAGCGUCGAAACUUCACAUUUGCUUGGAGGGCGACACAUAGAUUACCUUGAUGAGGACUUCGAUUGGAUUGCAAUUCAUCCAGAAUGUGACUUGAUCUUAUUUGUUGUGGCCCAGGAGGAUAUCACAUUCAUGUGCUAUGAUAUGGAUAGUGGACAAGUUAAUGUGCUCUGCAAUCUUGAAGAUAGCCAGCAGGCAUAUUUUCCGUAUGUGCCACUAUAUGAAGAGUUACAAUCGUUGCACAAGUGACGUCUUAUGUGUGCUAUGAUAUGGAUAAUGGACAAGUUAAAGUGAUCUGCAAUCUUGAAGGCGAGCUGCCAUAUUUUCAAUAUGUGCCGCUAUAUGAAGAGCUACAAUCGUUGCACAAGUGAUGUCUUAUUCAUGCUAUGGAGCAGUGGGCGUUGUAUGUCUGCUUGAAUUUGGUCCUCCUUUCUCUGAUGUAUGCAUGUUUUUAAGUUUGGAGCAAUGCUGGUUCGUUCUGGGGGCACUGCGGCUGAUUUCUCUCUCGGACUAGUUAUUCAAAGUUUCAAUGCACCUUCUGUUGUGUGUACUUGUUUUGUCUUGGCAGACCAAUGGUUCUGGACAACGGGAGAUUGUGAUA